This 99177-nucleotide long non-coding RNA is filed under the name Prunus persica (peach). RNAcentral's name for it is "long non-coding RNA (PPER_LNC004398)". The stretch from base 70891 to 70968 matches the Rfam family "Small nucleolar RNA snoR28". Lineage: Eukaryota; Viridiplantae; Streptophyta; Magnoliopsida; Rosales; Rosaceae. The record is from RNAcentral.
AGUUCUAAGAACUACAAUUUGUGGCAGAAAUGAGAACCUCAGGACAGCUGAGGCAUUGCCCUACAAUGUUUUAUGCCUUGGCAUUGUGCCUCUUGGCCACAAGUGUGCUUGCCACUACGCCUUAUACUUAUUCUUCACCACCUCCACCAAAGCACUUGGAGACCCCUCCAACCCAUUACAAGUCCCCCCCACCACCGAAGUAUGUAAAACAUCCACCACCUCCAUCACCAUCACCCCCGCCACCCUAUUAUAAGUCUCCACCACCGCCUUCUCAUUCGCCGCCUCCUCCUUAUGUGCACAAAUCUCCUCCACCACCCACUCACUCACCACCUCCACCAUAUGCUUACAAGUCACCACCUCCCCCUUCUAAAUCACCACCUCCUCCUUAUGUCCACAAAUCUCCUCCUUAUGUCCACAAGUCACCACCUCCACCAUCAUAUUCUCCUCCACCUCCUUACCACUACAAGUCACCACCACCACCAUCUCCAUCACCUCCCCCUCCAUACCACUACAACUCUCCUCCUCCUCCAGUGAAGUCACCUCCACCUCCCCAAUAUCACUACAAAUCACCUCCACCUCCAAAACACUACUAAGCUUUAUGGGAUUUUAGCGACUUGAACCAGUCCAAAUAAGGUCUUCGUUUCGAUGUUCCAGCGGUAUCACUUCUUUUUCUAGCUUUGUUCUAUUCGCAGACAAGUGUGUUUGUGAAUAAUAAAGGUCUGACAGAACCCUUCGUGUAUUCUGUCGUAAGAACUCACUGUAUCAAUUAGUUUUUUUUUCCUUCUCCUUUUAAAGAAAUGAAAGCAAAGAGUAUUUCAUAUACGUACUUGUUUUUAUGUAGUUCCUAUGCUAUUACAUAAGCCUUUUGGAUCAAUAAAAUUAUGUGUUUCUUCGUGGAAAAGUUAAAGUGCGAUAAUGUAUCACUUCAUCAAACAUCAUAGAUAGUUUGGAUCUACACGAAAAUCCAUGAGAUUCUAUUUUGGGUGACACUUUAUAGAGUCCAUUUCGCAUUUUAGGUUGACAAUCAGAAUCGUGUAUUUCCGAAAUCCCAUGAAAGGAUCAUCAUUGCAAAAGAUAGUCAAAUUCGAAAUUAGUAAAACAUCUAACAUUUAGCUAAUAUUUUGCAAGGAUAAAUGAAUAGUGGGGAGUGCUCGCACAAAGUCUCCAUAAAUAGUAUUAUUUGAGAAAAACCUCCAAUUGAAAGGGACGUUAAAAUAAAAGGAAAAAAAAGAAUUUGUCAAUCAAAACGCAAAAAAGUGCUUAUUUAUUACCCAUUGAGUUAGCUAGAGUACUAAGUCCGUUCUCUUACACUCAAGUUGGACCUCAUUCCCUAUAAAUUAGAUUAAUUUAAGGUAAUUUAGACUAUUCGCUUAUAUAAAAAAGAUAAAGAUGAUUAUUGAAGGUUUGAGGAAGAUUUUUGUACUUGUAAUAUUGUAAAACAAUCAGUGUUUUAAAUAAUUAAAUAAAAGUGACCAUUUUGUAAAAGAUUUAAUUAAAGCUCUCAUGUAGCAAUUUGAGUCCUCCGAGCUAAAAUAUAUUACAAUCUUAUCCUUAUUUGUGCAUGCUCUAGGCACUUUGCUGCCGUGUAGUCGAAAACAGAGCAGAAGCAUUCUUACAUGAAUUUUGUGCACAUAGUUUUAAUGAGAUUAUACUUAACACACGAGAAUAUUAAAGAGACCCUAGAUAAGUUGUACUUUCAACUAUCUGACUUCAUAUGUUUGUAAAGUUGAAAAGAUGAUUUGAAUUAUUGCUUGGUUCCGUGUCUUACAUCGAAAAAGCCUAAUUACUACACCUAAUUAAAAAUUGAUGGGUAAAGAGUCGCACUAAAGUUGCCCGCCUCUUUGUUUUUCGGUCAAAAAAAUGUCUUAUGUAUCGAUAAUUUGUAGCUCAAAUGAUUAUCAAUUAUUUUAUAUGAAGCCCGAAAAAGGCACGUACCCACCUCAGUCCGAAACAUUUUUUAGUUUAAUUUUAGACCAAACACUUACUACCUCACGUACCCGCCUCAGUUAGAAAUUGUAUACUACAUUUUUAUGAAAGCGCAAGAAUUAUAUAAUGCAGAAUGUAACUGGGGAUGUAAUAGACAGACUAUCAUGAGCUCAAAGUUUUGGAUUUCUGGUUUGACUAGUCCAAUAAUGAGUAUGAAAACGAUUUCAUUUUCUUCUCUGCACAUAGCUGUAAAACAAUAACUGUUUGUAUUACGUAUACUGACUAUGGAAAAUAUUAUUCUAUUUAUAUAAAUAUGUUUAUGUGUAUAUAUAUAUAUAUAUAUAUAUAUUAAGGGAUAAGAAUCCCAAUCCCAUACACGACAAUGCACGUCAACUUAGGCGGUGAACUCUCAAAUAAAAUCAAAGUCUAUAGCUGUAUAAGUUUAUAAACUCCCUUUUUUUCCUUUGGUUUCAUUUUCUUCCUCACCUACUAAAACAAACACAUGCAUAAAACUUGAAUAUAUAUUUAACUCAUCUACAAGUAUCUUUCAGAGCCACCACUUGCUUGACAAGUCAGUCGAGAGACAAAUACAGGUGAUUUAAUCUCUCUAUAUAGUAAGGCUCCUUUUACUUCAUGAAAAAGGAGAUUUGGAGAUGGGAAAUUAAUUGCUUUUUCAUAUUUAGUAAGUUCAGGUAUGAGAAAUUAUUUCAUAACCCAUGAGAAAGUAGGGGGGAAAGUGAAAUCAUCCUCUCAACUUGGGUUUUGUUUUCCCUCCUUAUGGAAAAGUUUGGGUGGAAACUCAAAUUUUGAGUUUUGAGUCCAAAAAGUUCUCCAACUCAUAUAAUUUAGAAGGUGAAAAUUUGAGAAAUCUCAUAUUUGGGGUGGAAUCCAGUCACAAUAUUGCCUGGACUCAUAUUUUUUGUGGGCCCAAAAUCUGUUUUUUAUUCUUUUUUUCUUGGCUGGAAGCCCACUUGCUGACCAAUCAAAUCUGAUUUGCUGUUGGGCAAUGGCUAUAUUUUGGACUCGUGUAUGGGCAUGCAAAUAAAGCUGGCGCACAUUUCAAUCUUAUUGGGCAAUGGCUAUAUUUUUAAAAUAAAUCUGAUUUGCAGUUUGUUUUUUUUUUAAAUGUGAAAUUCUAUUAAGUUUUGGAAUUUUAAUUUAUUUAAGUAAAAAUGUUUAGAAAAUUAAAUCACGAGUAUUGAAAUAAAAAUAAUGUCAAGAAAAAAAAAUUUAGAGUUAAUCAUUCUUAAACAAUUUAAUAAAGUUGCAGACUUAAAUUAUGAGUUUGUAAGGUUGGAAGAAAAAAAAAAUUUAGUCCUGAAAAUACAUGAAUAGUUGUAUUUUUUAGGGUGAAAAUUUGAGUUUAACCCCAACAUGGUUGGAGAUGGCCUUAUAUGACCCAAAUUACACUUUGCGCCAUCAACUACAAAAUCUUGCAAUGUCAAAUUUAAUUUUUACAAAUGUAUUCUUUUUGUCCGUUUCAUCUAAUAAAUUUCUAUAGCUUUUUUUUUAUUUUUAUCAAAAUGAUAAUAAUAAUUAGUUAUAGUUAAUCCAAUGGGCCAUGCAUAUGAAUAUGAAUGCUUGGAAAAUGCAAAAGUUUCUUGGUCACGUAUGCUAUUAUUAUAAUAUUAAUAUGUAUAUGUAUAUUAUAUACAGAUAUAUGUGUAUACAUAUAUACAGUCCCCUUUUAUUGAUGGAUUCUUCAAAUAAUUUUAUUUGAGGGACGCCCUUUAGGGUACCCUAUAAUUUUUUUCUCAAUGAUCCAAACUAUCUAUUUUUUAGGUCUUCAUUCAUAGAUCAUCCUUACAAAAAAUUAGACAAAUCAGAAACCGUUUCGACAUGCAAUUGUGUCUUACAAAAUCAAUGAACACGGUGCUUCAAGAAAAUGCUAAAAUUUCAAUAACUUAAUUGAGUGGUCAAAUGAUAUCGGAUUCAAGUGAUUUUUUGUAGAGAUGAUCUUUGAAUGAGUAUCUACAAAAUAGACGGUUUGGAUUAGUGAAAUACAAUCCGGAGUGGGGCCUACAAGGAGUGUCCCUCAAAUAAGCUUAUUUGAGGAAUCCCUCAAUGGAAGCUCUCUGUACAUAUAUAUACAUAUACAUAUGCAUAUAUAUAAAAACUAUCAAGUCAUAGAAAGACGAACACGAGGAAGGUCACCGUUCCAAAGAGAAAGAAAAGGAUACAGGAAGGAGCCAGCAACCAACUAUCUAACUCCACCGUAGAGCGCAUCACCCUCCAGCUACUACGUCAAUGAAGAACCCAAGACUUUAUAGUUUGAACAAGCUAAAUAUGCUUAGGUAGAAAUUGACUCCCGAUUUAGAUGCUUCUCUACUGUUAUCAAACACAAGGGUCUGGAUCCCGCUCUACCAUAUCUGGAGCGGUAUAUUUAUAACAUUUCACCAUUCAUAUCGAAGUGAAUAUUAUACAACAUGCAUGAUUCAUAUGGAGAACAUGGCGACAUUCAUAUUGACAAAAUAUCAAUAAUAUGGAUGACACAUAUCGAGCAUCCCACUCCAACUACAGUGGAGCGGCAUACCCUUAUGAAGGGCCAUAUAACAUUUAUAUUUUAUACGGUUUAUUGAAAAAAAAAUUGCCAACAUAUCGUUAAAGGCAUUCCUAAAACAAAUUAUUUGAAGGAUUCUUCAAUAGAGGAAUAUAUAUAUAUAUAUAUAUAUAUAGUGGCGGACUCAAUCAAAGACAAUUGUGGCCAGCUGCCAUCUCAAUUAUGUCAAGAUAUAUAUAUAUAUAUAUCUUGAUGAAAAAUAAUAUAAACUAUAUUUAUGACAAUUAUGAAAAAAUAUUUUAAAAGAAAUCUGAGUUGGAAUUGUCAAGACCUAUUGGGAGAAGUGAUGAUUGUUCAAAACAAAGUCGCAUAAAAAUCAAUAUGUCAUAUCUUCAUUAUGAUCAUGGCUUACAAAUUCGGAUUUUAGAUUAGAAUUCGAACGUUUGUUUCAAUGAGACCAACACUGAGUUGUUACUUUGCUUGGCAUGCUUGAGUCCAAAUGAUUCAUUUUCUUCUUUUGACAAGCAAAAGCUCAUUUGGCUUGCUCAACUUUACCCGAAUGAUUUUUCUACAGAAGAACUUAAGGUACUUAAAGAUCAACUUCAAACUUAUAUUGAUGAUAUGCAUUCCAACACCAACUUUUUAGGAUUACAAGGUAUUGCUACUCUUGCAAAAAAACUAGUUGAGACAAAAAAGGACAAGCCAUAUCCACUAGUUUAUCUUCUCAUAAAAUUGGCGUUAACACUUCCAGUUUCAACAGCUUCAGUAGAAAGGGAAUUCUCUGCUAUGAACGUCGUGAAGAACAGAAUGCGUAAUUGAAUGAGAGACCAAUGGAUGAAUGAUUGCUUGGUAGUAUAUCUUGAAAAAGACAUAUUUAAUAAUACUAAUAAUGAUCUUAUUAUGCAACAUUUUCAUAAUAUGAAAAGUCGUCGAGGACAAUUGUAAAUUUACUUAUUAGACAUUGCUAUUAAUAUUCAAAGUUUGAAAUCUAUUUUGUUUGAUUAUAUAUUGGUUGAAUUUUUUUUUAAGCCCCUAGAUGAACGAAAGUCUGGAUCCGCCACUGUAUAUAUAAAUGGAGAGAGAGAGAGCUGAAAUGAACAUAUGUUUAUUCAAUGCUCCAAUUUAUCAAUUUCAGGAUCUUCAAGGCUUUAAUAAAUUAUACUGAAUGAACAGAUUUAUUCAAUUGAUACAACAAAUUUCAGGGUAUGUAACCAAAAAUGGCCCACAUAAAGAAAUCACAAGUAACAUAUCUCGUGUAUGAGUAUGACAACAAAAUUAAAUAAUUAAACCAUAUAAUGAGUUGCAUGAAAGCUGCAAAGACAACGUCCAUGCUAAGCCUCUUAUUCUCAAGCAGUUUUCAGGGCGCGCAUUUUGAUCAGAUGCAUAGAAGCCACCAGGGUAAAACUCUCUCUUGCAGCAAUGAUUUGUUUUACCAAUCUAUAACCUGCAAUGCGAAACAAUAUUCACAAUUAAAAAAAAAUUAAGAACAGUUAAAAGUUCAAUAAACAUGAUUUCUAGGAAUAGGAGUUAGAGAAAUGUAUGCAUAAACUUCUAAUUAGGUCACACCCUUACAUGAAGAGAAGAGAAAUUCAACUUGUUUAGUAAUGAGUGGGUGGUGGAGGAGACGCGUAAUCAUAUGGUUUACGAGGUGAAGGAGAUGGUGGCGGCGUGACUUGUAAGAUAAGAGGAGUGGGGAUGGGGAUGGUGGUGNNNNNNNNNNNNNNNNNNNNNNNNNNNNNNNNNNNNNNNNNNNNNNNNNNNNNNNNNNNNNNNNNNNNNNNNNNNNNNNNNNNNNNNNNNNNNNNNNNNNNNNNNNNNNNNNNNNNNNNNNNNNNNNNNNNNNNNNNNNNNNNNNNNNNNNNNNNNNNNNNNNNNNNNNNNNNNNNNNNNNNNNNNNNNNNNNNNNNNNNNNNNNNNNNNNNNNNNNNNNNNNNNNNNNNNNNNNNNNNNNNNNNNNNNNNNNNNNNNNNNNNNNNNNNNNNNNNNNNNNNNNNNNNNNNNNNNNNNNNNNNNNNNNNNNNNNNNNNNNNNNNNNNNNNNNNNNNNNNNNNNNNNNNNNNNNNNNNNNNNNNNNNNNNNNNNNNNNNNNNNNNNNNNNNNNNNNNNNNNNNNNNNNNNNNNNNNNNNNNNNNNNNNNNNNNNNNNNNNNNNNNNNNNNNNNNNNNNNNNNNNNNNNNNNNNNNNNNNNNNNNNUAAGGAGGGGGUUGUGGAUGAGAGGGAGUUGAAGUGACUGUAAAAAUAACGAGGGGUAUUGGAUUUAGAUGGUGGUGGUGGUGAUUGUAAACAUAUGGAGGAGGAGGUGAUGGUGAAGGUGGUGGUGGUGAUUUGUAGUAUAGGGUGGAGUUUCUUGGUGGUGAUACCAUGGCGGGGAUGACUUGUAGUAAACUGGUGGUGGAGGAGAUGAAUAAGCGUAAGGCUUGUCAUCACUAGCUGCUACAUUGGUGGCUAUGAAGCAUAUAGCCAAGGCAAAAACCAGGCUUGGCCAAAGAUUGGCCAUUUUGAGCAAACUCUUAAUCACUGAGAUCAAAGGGUUAUUUGUGAAUGAUUACUGAGGAGAAGUUCGCAGCUUAUAUAGUGAUCCCUUCAAAAACAGAAGCAUUUGUUUAAUGUUGUUUGAAGUUUCCAACCUCAUAACAAAGCAUAUGUAUUUUACAAAUUAUCACAAACUCAACUUAUUAACUUAUAUAAGUUAAAAUCUAACCAAUAACACAAAAUCCUACAGAUAUUCUCAUUUUUUUGUCCAAAUAUUAAACAAUUCGAUAAUGGUAUACCACUUGCCUUCUAGCCUUGCACAAUAGUCUUCAAGCAUAUGCACCUUGAAACGGUCUAGAUCAAAUAAUGCAAAACGAGUUGCAGUACUGAGAAACUUAUAAAAUACAUAAAACAAUCACACUGUUUGACAAAUAAAUCGUGAAUAUAUAUAUAAUUCUGAAUUUAUAUGAGGAAGUAGUUGAGAUUAGGUUCAUUUUAGGAACCUUCGGACGGAAUUUAGAACGUAUCAACGUUCGUUGGUGUUAAAAUAUAAAUCAAUUUCAUCAGCAAUCUGAUUCUGAAGUAGUCUUGCAAAUUUACUUAUACAUUCCUGCACUGCAUAUUUUAUAGCAAAUCAUUGUCACUGAAGUCUAACAGCCAAUAAGCUCAUUGGCAAAAAAUAACAAAUGCCUGCAUAUUUUCUCACCAGAAUUUUCCAGCCAGCACUAAUAUGAUGAAGGCUUCCCUGCAAAUUGCCAAUAAAGUUUCAGUUUAACGUUUUCCUGUUUGUUUAAUGGUUUGUGUAGAAAUAACCGAGUGAUUAGGUUCAGCUUUCCCUGUCACAGAUGCAUAAAGUCAAUUGCUUCCUUUUCUUUUUUUUAAUAUGACUUGUGUUUUUCUAGAGAGAGGUCUUAGCAAAUUAAUCAUGUUACAAUGGCAUAAUAUGAAAUGCAUUAUUAGAAAAAAGUACUAACGUGUAAGGAAUUUGUACUAAACUAUUAAAAAUAGCUUUCUUGAGUCAUAAUGUAUGAACACAUUACUCAUGAAACUGUCCAACCUAAAAUCUUAUAUAAUCUACAAAAGGCCGAGUCCAAGCAUUUUUAUGGAGCUAAAAUCCGAUAACAAUUUUCUACUUUAAGCCUUCCCAAAUGCAUGUAUUUCUUUUUCUUUUGGUCAGGCAACAUGCAUGUAUUUAUUUAUAUUGAAAGGAUAAAGUCAAUCUGAAUUUUUAUUUUCUUUAUUUUCUGGAUUGCUACUCAAGUUUUUUUAGUAGUAUGAAGUUAACAUGUAGCAUAACUCUAUUAUGCCAUAUGGCUAGCUACAGGGCCAGAAGCAGAGCUUGCAUUGUGUAUCAAAACAAAACAGCUUGCUUUUUAUUUAAUUUUUUAGUACAAGUCAUAGUCUAAACUAUAAGGAGGGAGGUUUUUCACACACACUACAAAUGUGUCACAGGGAAUCGAAUUGGAGACCACUCGUCUGUAAAAUAAGGCCUUUUUCCACUAUGCUAAACCCUGUUGGCAAGCUUGCAUCUUUUGGCACACUAUCGAAGCUAUGUGUUUCCAAAUUAUAAAACUAAAUUUGUUGUUUCUUUAUUCAAGUUUAUGGAAUUUUUUUCCCCAAAAGUUUAUUGAUUGAGUAAACAUUGUUUUACAUUUGCAUCUAGAAGGUAAUAUAUGCAAUAUGAGGAAAACACUCUUAAUAUUGAUGAAGGCAAAAAAAGCAUGAACUUUGGAUUCAAACGAAAACAAAUUUAUGUUUUUCCAAUGACAAAAGAAAAAUUACUACAAUUGGGCCCUCUCCUAAUAUAGGGAGCUAAAAGAAUUAGUUAAAGAGAGAACAGAAAUGAAAAUAGAAGUAGGAAAUUACUUAAAGCUUCUGAGAGAAAAGAAAUAAACUAAAAAGGUUUGUAAAUCGUUGUUUUACACACACAUUAUAAGUCUUGACAAACUGAAUAAUUAUUUUUUCUGUAGAACCAUCGUGCUAAAUUCACAAAGAAUGAAAUCAAUUAGCAAUUGAAGUUUUUGUUUUUGUUGGUGAAGAAGAUAAGGUCAUGUAUUGGUUAUAUAUUAAAGAAAUAAUUAAAAUAUAAGUUCAACUGCAAAUGUAAUGUCAUGCCAUGUUCAUUAGGAAAUGUCAUGCAUGAUAUGAUAACUCAGUUUAUUACUCGCUUAUGAUUAUUGUUUUUAAAUUACCCCGCAGUUGCAGCCUGCACUGCAUCUGGGACUUGUUCAUCACCACAGCUCUCUUGCUUGGUUGUGAUAUGGAUAAUGGAGUGCACAAAGAGAAAUGUAGAAGAAGCAAAGUAAUGGGUUUUAUGACCAAAUAUAUGCUACGGUCAGUCGUCUAUAUGUACAUACAUGGAAACCGUUUAAGCAUGUAAAGUGUCUAUGCACACGUGGGCAAUUUAUAACUCUUAAUGAAUGGAAAUCGAUCUGAUCAACAAUAAAAAACCACCACAUGAGCGACUGAUCCUAACAAAAUUUUACACAAUAUGAAAAGACUUUUCAUUACAUUCACACUCUAAAGAUCCAAAAAGACAGAAUUUCUCACUUCCUAAUGCUUCAGAAGGAAAACAAAAACAAACAAAAGAACCGCCACUGGCGACUAAUUUGAAAAAUUCAUGCAUUCCAAAUUAUGUUAUGUCAAUUACCUACUAGAUACUUAAAUACUGUCUCCUCCUCAUUCUCAAUAAAAUAAAAUAAAAAUAUUGACUCCUUGGAAAAUAGCGAAUGAAAACGACCAAGUGUAUUAAAGAGACGGUGAUGAUAAUAAUAACAAUGAGAGAAGGAUAGUAAACUGAAGGUUUCCUGAUACCAAAUAAUGUCACCAUAAUACAAAACUAUUCACAAUUAUUGCUUUUUAUUAUAAUCAUUUAAUCAUCAUAAUACUUCUGAUUUACACAUAUUACAUGCAUAUCUUGUAAUUGGUUGGUUAGUAGAAACAUGAGAAAGAAUAUAGAGUCUGGUAGUCUGUACAGUAGUAUAUACCCGUGGGGUAUGCUAAAUACAGGAAAACAGAAAAGUAGUAUAUACCAGUGGUGUAUGCUAAAUACAGGAAAAGAGAAACUAACAAUCAAAUACUAAGCUUGGCGCGGAAGUCUGAGCUAAUAAUUCCUGCAGUAAUUUCAUCCAAACAAGCCAUCCGUAUUCGUUCAGGCGUCGCUGGAUUAUCUAGUGGAAACCACUCCUUAGACCCUACUUCCGCUCUCGCAGCUAUGAUUGCAUCUUUGAUGGCAAAAAAGACAGCUGAAGCCAAGAAAAAUGGUGGCUCACCAACUGCUUUGGAUGAGUGGAUCGCCUUCACAUUUGGAUGUCCCUGCAAUUAGCAAAGAAAACAUCAAACAAGUCAAGACGGUUGCUUUAGGUUGAAAUCAAUCAUUAAAGCCAAGUAAAUUCAAUUUCUAUAAUUACAAAUGUAAAUUAAAGAAUUACAGCAUAACUUAGCCCUCGAAAAAAUGUUGGGUAACCUGUUUUUAAACUGUAUGGCAUAACGUAGCAUCGAAAAAAUAAAAACAGAUAGGGAGGGGGAGGGAGGUUUGAUGUUCUAAUAAAUGAAAUCCUAAACAGCUUCCAUCCAGGUUUGAUAAUUUUUAAUUUUUAAUUUUGGGAUAGGAUACACAAUGGAUAUAUUAAAAUUGGGAAGUACAAUCAAAGUGGAUCGGGAGUCUUCACCCUCUUAACUACAAGAAACAUAAUAUCGAGAGCACAACAAAUAACAUAACAGCAGCUAUCCUAACAGAAAACAGAAAAGUAAUCAGCCAAUCUGAAUAGAAGCUUUUGAGAGAGCUAAAUAAUUUCCCUAAAUUCAUGUGUUCUCUUUUCUUUCUCCUUCAUUUUCCUUAUUUUUUUGCCGCCCUGCAUAAUUAUGCACUUCUAUUUGGUUCAAGGAUUUCUACACAAUAAUUAAUCAACCAACCACAUUAAGCCCCAUUUUGUCACAAUAUAUUUAAUCAACCCCAAACCAUUUCUUUACAGACACCACAGACAAAAAUUCCCGACACCAUCUUCUAUCAAGCACAUAGUCUGGUAAAUUACAAGUUGCCUUUAGUUUUAAUUAAUGCUUUUCAGUAGAAAAGAAGUUGUCAGAUGACAUGUUAAGACAGAUACACUGAAUCCCACCCAUAACUUGAUCAGACAAAUUAACUUUCAGAAGUAAUUUAUAAUUUAUAAAUGCCCUUACAGGGUAAUGAGCAUACCUUCAGAAGUGAAACGCUAAAUUUGAAGGGGACAUCAUUUAUGGAAGGAAUUUUGUAAUUUCCAGGUCCACAGGUGUAGAGGCAACCUGGUGAGAUCCACUGAUGAGCAGAAUCACCCCACUUAAGUUCUUCUAGAGCUACCCAUCCCAAACCUUGUAUAAAGGCUCCUUCGAUCUGCAUUAGAAGCAUAGCAUAAUUGAUAAGAACAUUAAAUAUAUCACCUUAUUCAACCAUCCCAACUACUCUAGAUUAUUAGUUAUUGCAACCGAAAUGAAAUAUAUCACCUCAUUCAACCAUCCCUUCCCCAAUUUUAUAAAACAACACUGAACAACAGCAAGCUUGACAUUCACAAACUAGAUCAGGAAUUUGUUAGCAUGUUCAUUAGUUUAGAUGACAACAGCAAUAUCAUGAAUAGUUUACCAACUAAUACUUAACAUCAGUAGCAGCUCAUACAAGCAUGUUGCGUGGACAUUUCAUCAUUCGGCCAAAAAUAAAAAUUAAAUCUCCUUUAGGUUCUUAAAUUAUCUCCAUUUUCUCACAAGAAAUGGGAUCAUUGUGGGCCCCACUAGAAGUUCUAACCCUAUUUAGGUCAAUGCUUGAGUCUGUUUCUGUAGUAUAUCUUACUUUCUAGGAAAGUUAUUCCUAUAAUCCUGUUGCAACAAACAUUCCAAAAAAUGGGCUUACUAUUAACUUGAGAGUGAAUGUAGUUUUCUUUUUAUAAAAAUGAUUCUGUUGCAAGUUACAACAAAAAAUCCUCAAGAAUGGUUCACUACAUGUAGCUUGAGAUAGGGUUAAAAUUCCCAUAUUUUUCAUGGAUGUUUAUUGAUAAGUAAAAGAUUUUGACAUUUUAACGAAACUGAUAAGGAAAAGCGGAGAAAAGCACCUGGCCAACAUCGAUUGCUGGGUUGAGAGAGUAUCCAAGAUCCAAAAAUAUGUUUGCCACCCUAGUGUGAAAAUCUCCAGUCAAUGUGUCAACUUCAACCUCAGCAAAAGCAGCCCCAUAGGUGAAGUAUCUGAACGGGUUCCCUUUACCAGUUGUCCAAUCAAAAUCAAUUUCAGGUGUAAUGUAAAACCCAUGUGCAGAAAGAUCUAUCCGCGCCACAUAGCAUGCACUUGCAAGCUGACAAUAAUUGUGAAAAACGAAGAUAACAUAAAUUUCGUAUUGUCAAAAAUUCUCAGUGCAAGAUUGCUUGCACAAAAGAUCCCAUGUACUGUCCUUUGGAACUAACACAUGAACAACAAAUUUCAACAGACUAUCUAUAAGAUUCAAAACUUCAAAAGCAGUUCUUUUAUCACUUAUUCACUUUUUCAAUUCCCGUGUGAUACAACUAGGUUAGCCACGCAUCUUCGAUGUUUGACAAAGAAUUUAAAACAAAUGAAAGAGAGAGGACACCAUGUUUAAGCAUUUGGUUGGUUUUAUACAGUACACAAUCAAGAAAUCAUCAUACUGUGAAUGAUACUCUUAGGUAAAGCUUCAAAAUUGAUUCCAAAGCGAGACAAACAAAAUCCAGCAUUAAAUGGUGAAAUCAGAGAUGUCAAAUGGAGAAUCAGAUUACUCAACACCCGCCUCUUACAUGAAUGAUAUGGUUGGAAUUUGGACCAAGGUGUUUCCAGUAUUCAGAUUCAAUAUAAGUGCCUAAACAUGUAAAAACUUGGUAGAACAUGACAAAAGACAACAACAAUAACAAUUAUCAACUACGCCAUCAGAAAUCACCUUUUUAUAAAGUUAAUCAAGACUUAUGCAAAUAACCCAAAAGGGAAGGAAUGUUCACUGAAGUUCGUGGCUGAUAAACUACUAAGACCAAAAAUUCAGGUUUAACAAUUGAUAAGCUCAUACAACAAGAAAUUUACGUUGAACAUUUAAAUCUUUCUAACAAACAUUUUCAGUCUCUUUCAUGGCAUUAAAUUGAUUGCCAACAUCACAACAAUCUGAAAAUGCUUAUUUUACUAUUCUCCUGACAGUUUUAUAUUUAUUGAAAUACUUGUAAUACAUUAAAGCUGUUUUCCUCUCCUCUUUUUUAGUUGUAAUUAACACUUCAGAUAAGUAACUUCUACACCAUCCAAAAUUGUUACAGUCACUACUCCUCAAGGGAAAGAAGGACAUGUACUCUUCUUUGAAAGAAAAGAACCACAAAAUAUACCAUGCUGUAUGAUGUGAGCAGAAACUAGGACAACAUGAGUACCUCAGCAAAAGAGCUGAAAUUUUGUUGUGAAGCAAUAGGCUCCAUGCGUGCCUUAAUUUGCUCACAUGCAUCCAGAACUGCAGCUCCAUACAUAUCAGAACUCGCGGAAGCUGCUGUUGGUGAUGAAUUAGGAACCUAAUUUGGCAGCAAACAUGAAGACAACAAAAUAUGAGCAUGGGCAUCAGGUGUUUAGGCAUAUACAAAUAAUAAAGCAAUAGAAAUGGAAAGGGAAUCUAAAUCAGUUACUCCUACCAGAAAACCUUUCGAAUAUUAAUUGACUAGCAAUCUAGCCAUAGCCACGGAUAAUUACAGGCUCAACUUUGUUAGAUACAUUCUCUUAAAUUUUAAUACUAUCAAAAGUUAUUCCAACAUAAUUGCAGCAACAACACUUCAGCAAUACCCCUGACAUGCUCAUGCAAUAAACUUCUUGGAGAAUCUAGAAUCUCAUAUCGGGAAAUCUAAGCCUCACAAAGUCAUCCACAGAUAUUGGACCCCUUCGCUUGUUGCCAAUUAGUUUUGGGUUGGAUGCCCUAAUUCUAAAAUGGUAUGGGAGCAUGUUCCAUUCACGUGUUGGGCCCGACUUGUGCCCAACUUAUGUGUUGGGCCUAUUGAAUUACAUGUUGGAUAAUGUAAAAUCCCACAUUAGGAAUCUUAAGCCUUGCAUAGCAAUUAUAAGAACUUGGGCCUCUCCACUCAUUACCAGUUGGUUUUAGGGUUGGUUCUCUAAUCCUAACAAAGCUUAAGAAUCACUUGAGAAAGGCUUCUCCCCUAUUAUCCCCAUCUUACAUGUUUAAAAUGUUGAUACAUCAAAUCUUUUUACUUUAGCUUUAGCUGAUUAGAUGAACCCCCGUGCAUUUUACUGUACUUUAUUUCACAUUAAUCCAUGGUGAUUUCAAAAUACAUAUCUGAUGGUUGACCUUUCUAAGAAUGAGAGAACUAGACCUUUCUAAUAUCUGAUUAGCAGAAACAAUAUGCAAAAUCAAAGCAAUAUACCAAAGUGACCCUUUUUUAUUUCAAGAUAAUGAAACACUGUCAGCUACCUUGUCAGUACUUGUCUCUGAUAUAAAGACAGAACUGAGAGGGAUAUUGAAGGCAGAAGCAGCGACCUGAGCAACUUUUGUAUGCAAACCUUGCCCCAUCUCAACACCUCCAUGUGUGACUAAAACAGUUCCAUCUGUGUAGACAUGAACAAGAGCACCUGCCUAAGGCACAUUUAGCAUACCUGAUCAGGAUUCUGAUUGCAUGAUUAUGUAGUAUAUAAGAAAUUAAAAUAAUGGAAUCAAUUUUGAUAAAAGAAAAUAUAAAUGCACAUUAAAAUGGAACACAAAUUAACUUACUUAUGUAACAGCAGUUCGAUUUCUAUAAUCACACUGAGAGAGGAAGGGGUAAAUUCAUCUCUUAAAUUUCGAACACUGAUAACAUGAUGUAAAAUUAUCCAAACUAUAAAUCUGACAAAGGCUUGUCACAAUACUGAGGCUUCCAAAUCUAUAAGAUCCACUUGGAUGGCUUUCGCACCCAAGUGGAAACUCUUCGGCUUCAAAUCGGAUGGAGUUCAUUGUUUUAGGUAAGAGAGAGUUAAGGUGGAAUAUAUAUGUAGCAUCCUAUAGGCUAUAGCCAGUUGAUAUACUUGAAAAAGAAAAAAUACUGACAUCAUAGGGAGACAUUUUAAGUAGGAUGCCUAUGACAGAAAGUUCAUAUCCUUUUCAGUAACGCAAAACUCAGAAUCAAGAGGGAGUGUUAUGUCCAGCCAUACAUCUUAUACUAGAAUAAACCAUUAAAAAAUCCUGUACUUGAAAACUCUAUGUUCUUAGCGUGUUUUAGACAAAAGAUAGUUAAGUCCGAAUAAAAUCCUGUAUUUGUCAAAGCUCUAGUUUUCUAAGAGGUAAAAGAGAGAGAAAUCAAUUAAAUCUGAAACCAAAUAACAUUUUGUGAAUAUUACCUGGUUCAUAAGCUUUAAUGUAAAUGAUAUGCCAAACUUCGUUGGAACCAUGGCAACACCACGCUUCCUCCACCGAUUUUGAAUAUUAAAUUGGUCAACUUCGUAGCGAGCUUUUAAAAAUUCACAAGAUAACUUUAGUUCACUCCAUAGCGGACCCAGUGUACAGUGUUGAAGUUGUUGACCAUAAUGCAAUAUUGACCCUUCACCUUGAAAAUUAAUUUCCUGAAGGAAAGUGAUAUUACAGGCUCGUAUCAGAAGGAAUAUGAUGGUUAUGGAGUAAAGGUGCAAGUGCAACAUAAGAACUACAACCUGAUAAGAUUUCUUAACUUACUCUUAUCUCUUCGGGGCUUUUUUUGAGUUCUGCAGCAAUCCUUUGAAUCCAAUUUUCAGUAAUAAGCAUACCUUGAGGACCACCAAAUCCUCGAAAAGCAGUGUUACUUGGAAUGUUUGUGAAGCAAACCCUUCCCACAAUCCUCACAUUUGGAAUCUCAUAGACAUUAUCUGAGUGAAACAUAGCACGUUCAAGCACAGGAAGGGACAAAUCUAGUGAGUUUCCACCAUUAUUGUAGAUUUCAAGAUCUAGUGCCAACACCUUUCCCUCAUUUGUAAAUCCAACCUAUGUCAAAUUACAUAUUCCAUCAAUACCUUUUUUUUACAUCACAUGUUAUGUAAAUUUAACAAAGCAAAAAAAUUAAAAGCCACCAAAACAACAACAGCAUAAUUAUUGACAAUAAAAUUCAAUAAAAGGAAGUAAGGCCCUUCUCCUUCUCCAUCUUCAUCUCCAAUUUUUUCCUUUUAAAAAAACAAAAUAAGGGAGCUUUUCAUACUACUCCACAACCCCUCCAACGAAAUACUCUGAGCAAACAAGAAUAAAAUCAGGUUACAGAAGUUCUGUUACCACAAGGUAAAGGAACCAUAGAAGAGCCCAAAUUGUUUACUAGAUACCAAAGUCCCACUAUAUGGCAUGAGAACUCUUUUCUUGAUUUAUUUUAUAUAGCUUAGCUUUUAUCUGAAAAGAUAUAUGAAUAAGAAAAAAAAAAGUGCAAAAACAGAAAAAGUUUCUGCCAACAUCAGAUUGUAAAACAUACAAGUAGGACAUAAAUGUUGAUGUCCAACAGAAAAAUCAAAAUAUAGCAAAACAAGUAAACCUUGUACUUUCCAAGAAAGCUAUGGCGUUGCCCAGUUAUCAUCAUGUCUGUAUCACGGUCUAAUGUAAUUUUAACUGGACGAUUUAAGAGAUAUGAUGGUACAGAGGCUGCAGCAGCAACAAAAGCUGAUCUAGUCUCCUUGCCACCAAAACCACCACCAAUCCGUUUAGUUUUACAAACUACUUUUGACAUUGGAAGACCAAGAACAUGAGAAACGUAUUUCUGAUGCUUCUGAGGGGCCUGCACAUUGACGUAAUCCCGUUACAUUUCUGUUAAAAUAAACAUCAUAGACAUUUGAUUGACACUAGUCCCUAACAAACUUUUGGACAAAACACUCUGCAAUCACAUAAAUACUUGUAAUACAUACAACCAGUAUUUAAGGUGCAAGAAUUAACAUGAAGAAAGGGUGAGGGGGAGAGAGAGAAAGAUUACGGUGUCUAUGCACAAAUAUUAGAAAGAAGUUGGAAAGCUAUACAAAAGGCAAGCCCAAGCCGAAAAGGAAAGGGUGAGUGAACCCUACCAAAGCAUCUGGUCCAAAUGAAAGGAUGAGUGAAUUUUUCAUGGUUUUGGGAGAUGGUUAAGGUGGCUAGGUGUAAAAGCUUCUUCCACCAGGGUAGACUACUUAAAAGCUGAAUCACACUAACAUCUUUAUGGUCUCCAAGGGUCUUUGCCUCAAUGAAUAUGAUGCAAUUUCACCAAAUAUGUCGCUGCAGUGUUCCAAACAAAGUCAUCUUCAACGUAUUGACCAAUACAUUGAAAGGGACAUCAGUGAUAGGUUAGCUUCUUUGUGCAUGUGGGUGUGCCAGUUUGCCAAAUAAUAGAUAAUGUCAUGAUUUUCAGUGAGCUUCCACAUGUGAUGAAGGGGAAGGAUGGUUUCUUAUAUGUUUAAGGGUGCAUGAAUUGUUUCUUAUAUGUCAUUUUCUUUACUGUCAAACUGACAGGGCAGAAAUUGCAAAACAGAGCAACAUUAUGGUGGACAUAGUAGAGUUUUGAAGGUCAGGGUGCAAAGAAGAAAAACAACUCAAACCACAGGGGUGUAAAGUGUAACUAACCCUUUCAUUUUCCUAUAUAUCCAAUAAACACAAGCUAGCUGCUUACAAGACCUGCUGGCUAAAUAUGGUUGUCUCAAAAACCAGACUCCUUCCUACACAGGCUGCUUAAAAGCAAAUACUUCCCUAAGUGUUCCACUUAAUUGGACGAUGGCUUCUGAAUAGAGUAGAGUCUUACAAGCAUGGCUUCAUGUUACUGGGCACAUAUAAGGGUAAGAGAUAACCCAUGCUUAUGUAAACCGCAUAGGUUUUAUUAGUUGCUAUUACCAAGGAGGGAGGAUGUCCGACAUGUAGCUAAUUUAGUUGAUCAUUAAAUAUUCAUUGGAAUACAAGGAUAUUUUUUAGCAAUACUUUGUACCUAAUGGACCCCAACCCAUUUUAGAAGUGCCCUUGAGCAAACUGGAUGUCUCUUUUUUCAUUAAAAAAAAACUCAUCAAGAAAGGAAAAAGGUACAACCAAAUACGGGCACUUGGGUCAUAUCUAAACUGAUUCAAGCAGUAAUCUUUCGAGGGAUUUAUAAAAAACCUGAGUGGAUGAGAUCAUAUGAACUUCGUUGCCACCAUCCAUUGUCCAUACCACACUGCUUUGUGGCUCCAAAUAGAAGUGUUCCUGUCCUCCCACUCGAACUUCCCCCACUAUGACAUUCUCACAUUGACGUGAUUGAAAGCAAAGAUCCACAUCCCCUUUCCUAAAACACCUCUCUGUAUUAGGAUGGUAACUAUUGGCAUUGACGGCAUCCAGUAUUGAUAAGAUGGGUGGGAGCUCUUCAUACUCAACAAGAACCUUCCUUGCUGCUAGUUUUGCAUUUUCAUGUGUAUCAGCAACUACCACUCCGAUAACCUGCAUAAAAAAAACCAUGGAUAAAAACAUAAAAGAGGAGAAUCGGUUAACACAGCACUAAAUACACCAUACAAGGAAUAAUUUUAUCAUGCCUAUAUAGCAUUUGAUAAAUGCUCAAUAUAUUUUCCAUGUCAUUUCUUGUAAUGAGUCAACAUUCUGAAUUGUAGAAAUAUCUUUAGAAUACUGCAAACCAUCAAGUGAUGUUUAUUAUGGGUCCAUUUUACACCACACAUCAUUCUCAAAAGUUAAGGAUUCCAUUACAUUGUGGGCUAGAAAGAGAGAGAGAUUUAUUAACCAUCAUACCUGACCAACACAAGUGACAAAUUCUGAAGCAAAUAGUUCCUCGUCGUAAACAACUGGUCCAAUUUUAUUAUCAGCUGGAACAUCGUUAGAAAAAAACACUCCUGCAAACCCAGGUGAUAACUUUGCUCCAGAACCAUCAAUUGCAAGUAUACGAGCAUGAGGCUUUCUGCUGAGUAUUAAAGCAGCAUGCAAACCAUUCUGAGGCAAUGGUGUGUCAUCAGAAUAUUCUGCCUCUCCUGUAACCUGGUAGAAAUUAUCAAAUCAGUACAAACUUCAUAAUGCUGCUCUACAAGAAAAAAAAUCAUGCACUGUGCACAAAAUUAAACUGAUUGACAGGGCAAAAAACCCUUGAUGCCAUUUAGUAUCACAUUCAAUAUUAGCCUGGCAGUAGAGAAGAUUUAUCCUGUCCAAAUCUUGAAUGUCAUUGUCAACGAUCUUCAUCCUUGUGCACUUUGAUUUUCUUCCUCUGAGUUCAGGGACUGGUCUUUUCAUCCUAUUUAUUCGGAUUGGAAUGCUGUUGUUAUGUAAUGCUGUUUUGUUGUUUUGCUCUUAGUCAUGUUUUUACUUGUUUUAGAAAUAGAGUAAAUGGAUUUUUUUUUCCGGGAACACCCUGUUCCCUGUGUUGUGAAUAUCUUUUAUUAAUGAAAGCUGUGUUUCUCAUAUAAAGAAGAAGAAAAAAAAUCAUAAUAGCCCAUUCCUUAAGGCUGAAGGUUGAACUCACAAUUUUUUUCAUUGGUUGUCUCAUUACAGUAGGAACUAAGAAGUAGACUUUAACAAGAUGACAACCACAGACAUCAUGUAACAUUAGCUCACAUUCAAAUAUAAAUGAAUGUGAGAGUGGUUCACGCCUGGAACCUGGAAUUGCUUGAAUUUUUUUAUCUUUUUACAAUUGGAAUCUCACAAGAAUGGUAAGUCUGACACUAGUUUUUGAUAGGCAUUAAAGGGUUAUGGCAGUCUGUUCUCAAGGAAGAAUAUUGUUAGAUGUACCUAAGGCACAGCAGCGAGAGAGAAGUUGUUUUCUUUUCUUUUUCAUUCCUUAUUUAUUACUUCUGCAGAAAGAAAGGAGAGGUCUCAGUAACAUAUUGCACCGAUACCAUGUUGAAAAAGACACUUUAGGAAUGGAAAAGAUCUUUGUAUUUCAUAUUCAAAUGAAAUGAGAACCCUGAAUUAUAUAGGAUUCCAGUACAUAAAAUUUUUGGUAAUCAGCUCUUUGACUUAGACCUUAACUGAAGCUAACAACCGUGGACUAAGCUCGGCCUCACGCAUAUGACAGUAACUUUAUUUGACCCGAGUUUGCUCCCUUUCCUGCUCCUUUGUUGAUUGAAAAAAGAAAAUAUUUUACAAAUCUUUUGGGAAAAAUGGUUAACAAAAAGGGGCCUACGCCAACAGAGUUUCAAACUUGUUGCAAGCAUUUACAAACCCAUCAAACUUUAUCUGCAUAGACAUGAUCCAGUAAGUCUCUUCUUCUAGCCCAUUAUACAACAUACUUGAUAGCAAAAGAAUUAGGUAAAAGAAAAAAAAAACGAAAAAGAUAAUGCAUACAAAUAUCAAGGUUCUCAAUAUCAAAUUCUGUUAAUCUGGGCUCGAGAAAAAAAAAUAAUAAUUGGUAUAUCGGAAAAGAUAAAAGUAUUAUUUCCAGUACAACUAAGUACAUACCUGAAGUCUUGCUGAUAAAUGAACCUCAGGAGACCCAACAGCUGUCCCAUGUUUUGUAAUUUCAUAGUCUUGAGUUCCUAUAACAGGUGGCCGGAGAAAUGAUUGUACAGCAGAGAGAUGGGAUAAUGGUACUCUCUCCUUAAUGCAAUGAUCCCCUUCCAUCUGAUGAGAAACCCAAAGAAAAAAUUUGAAGAAAAAGCUAAGGGUCAAAGAUUUACGAAACUCCACCAUCCCACCAGGAGCAUCAUCCUUGAUCAAUACAUCUUUUUGCAGGACUUUCAAAGCACCCUGCAACAGCUCCUUGUUCCAACUCUUUCCAAUGAGAAAAUCUUUUGUUCUUGUUGCAGAAAGAGAGAGUGGAGCAACUCCACCAUAAACAAUAGAUGCAUCAGACACAACCCUACUGUCACCUCUUUCCUCAAGAUGAACACGAAUUCCAGCAUUCACUAUCGCUAUAUCAUCAUCCCUUCUGUGAGCUUGCUUAAAUUCUUUCACAUACUCAAAAGGCCUAGUCCAAGGCAAAAAUACAGAGAGCAAAAUUUCACCACUUGCCAGAUCCACCUUACGAUAACCCAGGAAAAACUUUUCUGCCAGCGUCGUUCUAAUGUUCCCUUUGCAAUCAAUAAUUCGAAACUUUGCUCUAGAGGCCAUCCAAAGAGGGUUCAAGUCUGAUAUUGGACUGGCUGUACAUAUAUUUCCACCCACACAUGCAACAUUUCUUAUUUGCAUCCCAGCAAACCAUUUUAAUUGUUCAACGAAGGCCGUACAAGAUGAAGUUUCAUGAACUGCACGUUCUGUUAUGACCUUUCUUAAAACCUUAAGUAGUUCAGAAAGUCUUACUGCAGAACCUAUCUCUACGCCAUCAUCCUUGACAUUCAAUAUACUGAGUUCAGAUACAUGAGUAACAGAAAUCAAUACCCGAUACUCAAUUUUCUUAAACCUCAUUUCAAUUCCUACCUCAGUAUUACCUACCAAUAAUUUUGCAUCAGGGAAUUUUUGUUUCAACUCUAGCACUUGUUUAAGUCUCAAAGGUCUAAACCACUUUAACCCACCAAAACCAGUUAAACUUAAAUACGUCGAUUUUCUCAAUAGUAGCUCAGGAGGAAAAAUAAACUCCUUGUCUGUGUAUGAGCUUCCAUCAAUUUCACUGUAUGAGACAGGUUCAUACCUCUUGUCGUCACAAGUACCACUUUCAGGAGUGGUGCAUGAACUCUCACUUUUCAAACCACACGAACAGGGCUUUCCAGUUGAAGGGCACACAAACGCACCUCCUUCACGGCUUAGCGAAGAUAUAUCAAUGUAUGGUGUAUCAUUUGUUUUGGCAAAGACACGAAAAGCCUCAACAAUUGGUCUGUAACCUGUGCAUCGACACAAAUUUCCUGCAAGGCAUUCUUCAAUCUGCUCCUCACUAGGUGGUUUCUGACUAGACCUUAACAAUGCAUACAUCGACAUGAUAAAACCAGGGGUGCAAAAUCCACAUUGUGAGCCAUGAGAUCUUGCCAAUGAUUCCUUGAGAACAUGAAAGAAAAUAGAAAUAGGUGAGACUCUCUAUAAGGCAAAUUUGGAACUGCGUAAUUUGGUUACUAUAUGAUACCCCAAAAGAAAACAAAAAUUCAGAUAUAUUUUAGAAGCUCAUCUUGUAAUUUCCAAAUAAUAUUGAUCAAACAUAACACUAUUACUGGGCUCAUUUAACAACACUAUUGAUGAGAAGAGGAUGAGAAAAUGGUUCGGGUAACUCCGUCCCCCAGUUUCUUUCCUCUCCAUUUCUGAAAAUACAUGUUUAAUUCCUAAUUAAAUCAUGAACUAAAUAUUAAGUUUGUGCGCAUUCUUAUGGAAAUUCUUCACUUUGAGAUAUGUUCAAGUGAAUUCUAGCCUAAAUUUAACGAGAGAGAGAGUAUGAAUGAGAGAGUUCUAGCCUAAAUUUAGAGGAUUUUCAAUUCUUGGAGCACAGCCACUCCCUAAUAUUCCAUGAAUGGAGAUUCCAUAAUCGAGAAUCCCCCUCCAGGACCUAAUCCAAUCUCAAAAAGCAAUUCAGCAUAAAGUGAUUUGUCAGAUAUAUUGUGUCAUAGGCUCAUAGUCACAUAUGAUGUUUCUCUGAUCAAGAUAUCCCUUCAUUCACCCAAGAAAUAUCAACUGAAUUAUCAUAAUUGGAAGCAUGAAGUGGCAAAUCAACUUCUUUGUCUUAUGGUAUAUCUCACCAUAAAGGAUGCUACCAAAGACCUGUAUUUGCAGUCAAAAAAUUCCUUUCUUACACAACGCAAUUAGAGCUGGAACGCUUUAAGCGCAUAUUGAUACAACAGGAGCAGGUUACCAGAAUUAUUUGCUUUCUUUUCUGUUCUAUAAAAUUUUUCAAAAUUGUACAGCACUCUAACUUCACAUCUUUUGUGACUUUUACAAAGGUUGCAAACCAUGGUGAGUGUGAGCUAAGUGAUUUUUAAUCCUGGAAAUACCUUCACUGCAUUGUAGAUUACAUAAUAUGGCUAAGUGAUGUUUAAGCCUACAAAAAACCGUCACCUAAUUGUUGGUGAGUGUGAGCUAAGUGAUGUCUUUCCCUCUUCAAUUUCGUUUGAAUACUUCCUAUAAAAAUCAUUCCUACUCAUGGUUGCUUACAGAAAUACUCCCAAACAGAAGUUCUUAAGAGUUCUUUUACCAAAAAUAAAAUGCUUAAGAGUUGUUGACCAAAUAAACAAACGCACCUGACAGUGGAAUGCACAAAGAAAAAAAAACUAGACAGAUACAGAGAAAAGAAAUGCAGGUCAAUAGGGGAAUGUACCUUACAGCUACUGGGUUGUGGGAUGCACCUUGGAGCUACUGGGUUGUGGGAUGUACCUUGGAGCUACUGAUCAUCCCAGCUAUGGGGGUUGUGGAUUAGGGGCUGCUGAAGAAAGGCUGGGAAUUUGUUAGGUUUAGAGUAAAUAUCUGGAGGGAUAUAGGCUUAACAGCAGCUGGGCAUUUUGAUUUUGUUAAAAGAAAAAUCAAAAACCAAGGAGAAAUGUUGUUGUUUGACCUAAGUAAUUCAGAAAUAAAUGUGCCCAACAAGCAUGCUUCAAUUGUGCAUAAUUAGCAAGAGCCAUACGCUUCUUUAAAGAGGCGUAAUUCUCUUGGCAUUUUACUUAAAAGGUAGACAGUAAAAGGCAGCUUUCUCUUCCUAAACUUAUUUUUCUAAACUAGGUAAUCCUUUACAAUAGCAUUAGUAUAAGAAAAAAGUAAUAAUGGAUACAAACAGAAAAGAACAAAAAAAAAGAAAAAGAAAGGCAGCAUAGAUUACUUGAAUCGGAUGCAAGCCCUGUUUGUGGCUCCCUAGUCCUUCCACCGUAAUUACGUGCAUCCCUUCUACAGAAUACAAAGGAGCCAAGCAUGCAUUGACAGCAUAGUGCCUGAAAGAAGAUUGUCAAAACAACAAUAAUUUCAGUGUGAUCCUAAUGUAUGGACUCCAAUAACAAGUAUGACACAUGCACGCACUUGGGUGUACGCGUGCACAUGUGCAUGUGCAUGUUUAUUCAAGAGAAAGAGAUACUCACAAACAUUUCUUCCGUUCUUGGUCAUAAUGGGAAACCAUAACAGUGCAAGCACCGCAACCGCCUUCACCACAACCAAGCUUUGUCCCCGUCAAACCUAUAUCUUUAUUGCCACAAAGGCAAUAGAAAUUCUAAUUAGGUUUUUUCAACAUAGAGAACCCAAAGUUUGUAUCACUUACAUAAAGGACAUUAUAAAAGAAAAUGGACAAUAAAAUCUUGCAGUUAUCAGCAAUUAAGAAUGUACAAGAUAGAUAUGCAGAGCAAAUAUUAACCGUUCUGAAAUUUAUUGAGAACAAUCAGCUCCAUAGGUCAAGAUUACUCUUGUUUUUAAGAAACAAACAUGUUCAUUGAACACAGUGGACGAGGCGUUCCCUAAACUACACCCCACUAAAGAACAACAAAACAGAAAACCAAUGAAAACAAAACAAAAGAAUAAACUAAUAUAAAAUAGCACUCCAAUCAAAAAAAUAAUAAUUAACAUGAAAGAACCAACCCUUAAAAUCUGAGCAAACUGAAGCUCAUAAGUAUGGGCCAUAAACACAUUCUGAACUACAAACGAUCAGCAUCCUCCCCCUCUAGCAACCUCAAAAUUUCACUCAUUUUUUGCCAUCACAGCACAUUUUCCUAGCACCAUGCCCCUUUUUCUCCCUCCAAAAACAUAGGCUUCUCACAAAAUAAUGCAUUACAAGUAUCUGGGAUUGUCGAAGCCUCACCCAAGUAUCUGGUAUUUCACCUUCAAAAUUGCAUGAUACGGACGGAAAAGAGAACCACAAGAGUAUCCAUUAGUUGCCAUAAAUAGGACACUCCUGAGGUUCCAGCUCCUAAAUUCUCCUAUCCUAGCUAGAUGGGACCAGCAUAACAUUUUCUAGAACUUAAAGUAUCUCAGUUAGCUCUCCCAACUCCAAGUCGUUUAAGUUUCUUCGAAACCCGAAACCCCAAGACAAAGGAAAAGAAGAAAAGCUAGAACAAAACUAGCAAUAGAAGCAUUAUGAGAUCUUGUAAGAACCAAACAAACUUGACAGAAUACAAGUAAAGAAACCCGUAAAAAAAAUUAAGCCUGAAAAACAAACCAAACUAAUCUGAGCUCAAAAUUGUCUCUUCCCAUACUUCCUGAGCAGCCAAACAAACAAACUGGGCAAAACCAAUUGCAAUUCCAAUUUUAUAAAUUUAAAAAAAAAAAAAACAGAAUAGAAAAUAGAAACAAUCAGAAUCAAACCUCUGAGGUACUCAAGAAGGGUGAAGUGAGCCAACCCAUCAGGCAAAACUUUACGAAUUCCAUUGACAUACAAUAUGGCCUCUUUUGACUCCUCCCCGAUUUGUUCCAGCUCCUCUUCGUUCUUCAACGAUCCCAUAAUUUUAUUUUCUGUCUUUUGCUUAAUUCCUUCAAACCCAACAACUUAGAAUUGUGAUAAAUAUUAAGAUUCAAAAGAAAUCAAGUUUUUUUUCUUCUGUAUGUGAGAGAGAAGUGAGCGAGAAGAAGAUGGAACGGAACAGUAGGGGACUGGGACACGGAAGAUCCGUACUCAGAUUUUGGGGGAAAAGGACAAUAACAAAAAAACAAAAACAAAAAACAAAAAGUGUUAUAAAAUGAACUGGGAUAUGUGCGAAUAUUGAGCUGCACGUAAACCUACGUCCCCGGAGAGCAGCAGUAGUAACUUUUCCACUAUGUAAAAUAAUAGGGCUACAACUUUAGUGUUUACAAUAUGUAUGGCUCACUCAAUUUUCUCUCUUGGAGAAUUUCUCUCUUGCUCUCUUUCCUCUCAACUCACUCACCCUCUUUCUUCCUUCUCUUCCUAUUAUCUAUGUGUAAACUUCUCUUGAUGGAGGUAUCUAUUUAUAGGCCUAAGACAUUGGUUGUUCACCUCACAAUAUAAUUGGUAGACAACAUCAUUAAUAUUCUUCAAUCAACAACAUCAUUAAUAUUCUUCAAUCAAUUGGGUAGUGGUUUGGUUUGGUGGGUGUGUGGUUAGGUUUGGUGGGUGUUAGUUGGCUAUGUGGGCUUCACCUAUUCUUCUUUACUUAUUCUUCUUUACAACAAUGUUCAAAAAAGUAAGAAGAGAAGUAAGAAUGGAGGAAUUGAAUUCUUAGGUAAAAUGUUCAAAAAAGUUCUCAAAAUACACUUAUGUCCUGAACCAACUUGUCUAAGCUUAUAUCUUCUAUUUUUUUAAAGAUAAAAUUAAUUUAAUAUAUGACACUUAUAUUCUCAAACAUUAAAAGAAUGAGAUUUUCACACACACUAGCAAAGUGUCAUAGGACUUCAAACAUGUGACCAUUAAUCUGUAAGUAAAGACCCUUUUUUCACGAGACUAGACUAUAUUGGCGAAUAUUUUGUUUUUAUGUGUGCAUGUGAAGUGGUGUGUUGUGUGCACAUCAUUAGGGUAUUUGCCCCCUUAAAGGAAGCAUUCUAGCUCGCCCACUGUUUACUUUCCCAUCACAUUGUCAUAACCAUUACUUUCCACAAUUUUCUCUAUCUUUAAAAAGAUAGGUGAAUUUCACUCCAUCUACUAAUUGCAAUAAUUAUGUAUAAAAAUAAGUGUGUUUCGACAUAAACAUAUUAACUACUAAAUAAUAAUAUGCAUUAGCCUACGAAAAGAGGCUUACAAAACACCCCCGAUUUAUUAUGAACUGUCUAGUUCACAAAAUAAAGUACUUUAAACUUAUCAUCUCUCACAAUGAAAAUGAUUCAGUUGAAUUUGAAAUCUGUAGCUUUGCCUCUUGUUGAUUGAGUAGUUUGAACUCCUUUUUGUUUGGGCAACUUUGUGUAUUCGAUGAAAAUAUGCAUGAGGAGCACAGUGGCGGCGAAGGAAGUUACUAAAACGCCCACCCCUCUCCAUGUCGAUAGAAGGGAGAACUUUUGGCACAGUUUCAUCAUCGCAAAAUAAAUUAGAUAGCAGCUGCUGCUAUGAGCCUGUUAGAGAGAGAGAGAGAGAAGGCAGAGAGAGAAUUUUUUAAGAAAAUAUGUACAAAAAAAAUAUAUUUAUUUUGUAGGAAAGAAAAAGACUAGAAUAACUUACAAGCAAUGCCAUAAUAGAUCGACCAGUGUCAUGAAUUUCUUGGUCACCGAAGGUACCCUCAGCCCGAAACUUGUCCAACAUGGAAUCCUUUGUGUAUUCAUAUAAGAGGAAGAAUCGAAAAUCACAAAGGUUAUUAUUUUUAACAAUGAGAAAAAUGAAAAUAAAAAUAUUCAGUCUCUCUUUUUACUGAUACAAUGACAAAAUAUAUGAACAAUUUUUUUUUUUUAAGGAAAAUACUUCUUUGGAAGUAGGAACUCCUACUUUCUUGCCAAUCACAGUUUGACAUGUGUGCAUAUAGAUUUUUCUUUUUGUAUUUUUGAUGAAUUAUUUUUGUAUUUAUGUCGAGUUGUGACUUGCAUGAAAUAAAGAAUGCCUCCUUUCCGGGAAGUAUGAAUUAUUACAUUUUGUAUGGAUGGUUUCACUACUAAUAGUACAUGAAACAAGCAAAGUACAUCGAAAAUUUGACAAAAUAAAAUGUAUUAUAUAAUAAAUUAUUCUACUACUAAUAGCACGACUGAAACCCUUUUGUGAUAUCGGUGUUCAAGGGUUCAAGCGUACCUUGGCCACAAACCUGUCUCUGCACCACUGAGCAAUGGCCUCAUCUGAUUGUGGCAAAUCCUUCAUUGGGUAUCGUUUUAUAUGUAUUUUUACCUAUCACAAGUCACAAUUUGUAUGCCAUCAGAAAAGGGCUUAAAUAUUAAGUUUUGGAGUGAUGUCUAAUUUUUUAAUUUUUUUUUUAUGUUUAGAUUCAUCACUUUGUAAAUAUGAGUAUCGAUCGAGUUGCCACAAUCAACUUAAAAUUUGCUUAAUACUUGAAUGUCAAACUAUAAAGCAAAUUGCUUGCUAAUUAUUUGUAAUUGGAACUCGAUGGUUUACCAUAGUACUUUUCCUUUCCAUCAUGGUAUGCAGGGAAGGAGUUGAAUGACCUUCUGGAACAGCAAGAGUAACAUCAUACACUGCAGGGACAAAUGAUCUCAAAUUCUUCACUGCUGUAACAAAACCCUGAGAGAUUAACAAAAUGACAAUCAAUUUUCAAAUUCAAAAACUCGUAAAAGCAAAAAAAUUAAUUAAUUAAUUUCUAUUUUUAGUAGAAGUUUUAACAUAAAAUUUGACCUUGGUACGAGGAAUCAAGACAUUCUUAGGGAUAGGCAGUUUCCUAGAAGCAGCAAACUUUUGAGCUUCUGAAAGCUUGUCAGGGGUCAUGCGUGUUCCUUCCGCAAAUAUGGUAAGCCAAAAUGGCAUGGGAAAAUCCUUUAACCCUUGUAAACUUCUCUGCACCAUCACCCAAUUAAUAUCAACACAAGGAGGGACCCAAACAAAUUAAACCAAACUGCAUGGUGAAACUGUUUUCAACAACGUAAUAAUAAUGUUACAACUUACAAAGCACCAUAUCAGAAUCACAUUACUAAUCAUAUCUCUCACAUAAGUAUAGUAAAUCAUACUACAGUAUGACCGGAGAAAUCGAUUCGUGUCAUAUAAAUAAUUUCAUCCGAAAGUUGUACCUUUAGGUUACUUUCAUCUUUUUCCCAGCUUCUGUUGAGGAAAACAAACCCUAGAAACCAAGAUGUCCACCCAAAAAUCUGCACCAUGUAUAUUUAAAUGCGUUAUAUUAAUCUUGAUGGAGUUUGGUUUCAAAAUUCACACUGCCGUACUAAUUAAAGUGAAUAAGAACUUAACUCCAUUUUGGAACUUGUACCAGUUUGACAUUGCUUAUUUAGAGUAAUUAGUGAUUUUUUAAAAAUUUUGGAAAGCCCAGCCUGUUUAGUAAACUAUGAAAAAAUCACUUAUUGUUAAAAAUUGUUGUGAGAGAAAGCAAUAAGAGAAAUCAGCUAAUGAGGUGCUUUCAUUUUCUGAUUAUGUAAGAAUCAGUUUUGAAGAGGUGCUAUGUUUAAUGAUUAUCCAGCAAUCAUUUUCUGAUUAUGCGAGGAAUCAGUACCAACAACACUUUUAACAAAAAGUUUACCAAAUGCCAAACUGUUUUCUCUCACAGCUGAUUUCUAUCACAGCAAAUCUGACAGCAAUUAAUUUCACAGCACAGCAAUACCAAACUUAUGUAACUAAUGCCAUUGAAUAAGAUGAUGAUUAUAUAGUUUUUGCCCUAGAAACUCACAGGAAGGAAUUUUGCAGAUUUCUUCAUAACCAUAAGAGCACUACGGAGGCAACCCAAUCGCUGCAGGAAGCAACAUAUAUAUCCAUAUCAAAUUAGGUUCCAUAGGAGAAAAUUUUAGCAUGUUAUAAUAGCUAGACAUUCUGGCUAUAUAUUUGCAGUUAAUAAGGGUGCAAUAUUAGUACCUGAGCUAAAAGAAACCCAAUAAGAAUAUCAGCAUCACACAUGUGGUUGGGCAUGAGAAGCGCAUGCUCUUCGCCUGUAAUUUUCCCAAACAUAAUAAUUUUUCUAGAGCCGAAAAUUAUUCUUUUGAGGGGUCUUUCAAAUAUCCUUAUGGGGCCAUUCCGUGUUAUAUUUUAAUGAUCCGAACUGUCUAUCUUUUAGGUAUUUCUUUAAAGAUAAAAAUCACAUGAGUUCGAAUUGAGCACUCAAUUAAUGAUUAUUGUUUUAGUGUUUUUGUGAAGCAUCAUGUUCAUCUAUUUUGUUGAUCACAAACUAAAUGUCUUAAUGCGUUUCAAUUUUUCUAAUUUUUUACAAGGAUAUAAAAACUUGAAAAAUAGAUAGUUCGAAUUGUUGAAAUAAAAUUCGUACUUGGCCCCACAACAUGUCUCUCAAUUAAAAUUAUUUGAGAGACCCCUCAAUAAAAUUGUAGAAGAACAUCACGAUAGAAAAAAAAAAUAUUUAUAGUUACCCAUUAGUCGAUAAGUUUCCAAAUCUGUGUACAGUUUAACCUGUAAUCAAAAGUAAAGUAGUCAACACUUCUGCAUAUGUGUGGUGCCAUAAAGAGAUAUUUAGUCAUAUACCCAUUCUUAGCACUAAAACUAUAAAUAAACCCUACACUAUUUAAUUUUUAUAAACAAACCCAAAAAUGACAACUGGCCCUAUUUAAUUUAAUUUUGAUUAUUAAAUUACUUUGAUGCCUUAUUUAGUGUUUUGGGCUUUUUUAUGAGGUUUUUGAGUUGAGUUUAUUUUAAGAAAUCAAUGACAAUUUUGUAAUUUAAAAGAAGUUAAAAGCCUAUUUGUUAUGUUGUAAAUGAGCUUUGAGUGUGUUUCUAAAGUCCAUUUCAUAUAGAGUUUUUUUUUAAUAAUUUGGGCUCCUAUAUUGGGUAUAAUAAUGAAUCUCCCAUAAAGGUGGAAGUUGCUAACAAUUGCUGGAGAUUGCUCGGGCAAUAAUUUUUUGCUACAUAAUUAGGAUUAGUAAUCAAUUAGGAUGAUAAAGUGGAAUCGUGUUCAAGAGCAUCCACAAUUAUACUCUCUAUUUCUUAGCUAAAAUUUCGUGAAAAAUAAAAGAAAUCUAUUUUAGGAGCUCUCUAAAAAAUUUCAACUCCAACCAUACUCACUAAUUUGGAGAGUCAUAAAUGCUAUAACUCUUUUUUGAUUGGUCCAUCUCUAUUAAAAAAUAAAAUAAAAAUAGUUAGUAUUAAUUAAAGGUUUGAAAUACUCAUUAAAUAAAACAGCAUUAAAUUAUAGGGAGCCAUUAGGAGUCCUUUCUCUCUCCUCAGAUUUAGGAGCUUCUAGAGAACUCCCUAUUUUAGGAGGUGGAUAGGGAGCAUGGUUGGAGUUGCAUUUUUACGACUCCUCCAUAAAAUUUGUCUAAGAAGGUAGUUUAAGGAGCCCGUUGUGGAUGCUCUAAAUGUUGUAUUUCUUCCAUUGUUAAUCCGAUAAUUUAUACAUAUGAGACUUUUUGACUAGAAAACAUUACCUUUAUUAUCAUAAUCCAUCAACAAAUAAUUAAAGCGACACUAAACUCAUCAUGGACUGAAUUUUCUCCAAUGAGUCGAACAUAUAUAGAGGAUCGUUUCGGUAUUAAUAUGAAAAUAAAAAAUAUGAUCCUACAAUAUUUCUUUUUUGCUACUUCCGGACGUUAUUAUCAUGCGGAUAUCAUGUAUUUUCUACUACCCCUUCAUGUUUUCAUUCAUGUUUACAAUGACAUCCGUAUAAUAAUAAUGUGCGGACAUCCGAAUGAGAGUAUAUAUAUAUAUAUAUAUAUAUAUAUUACAUAAAAGAAAAUUAACUAUAUAAUGCAAAUUAAUUAGAGCACCUUAAGGCCUGCCCACCACUCCAAGAGCCAAAUGUGAUCCAACCAUAAAAGUGAUGCAAUUGUUCCAUUGAUCUUUCUAUAUGUACUCUUGGACAAAGGUCGAAUAGUAAGAAAGCAAAUGGCCUACAAAAGUAAAACCAUUAGCUAUGCCACCUUCCAUCGCAAAUUCAAAUCUACUCACAUCAUCUAUAUUUGCUGCUGCUUAAGUAUUUGAAAGUGAGUUUGACCAACAACAAAAAGUUAAAUGUCUUUUCGGACAACAAUUAACAAUAUAAACUCUUCAAUAUGAAGUUAUCAUAAGCUUAUAUGUGAAAAGCACACGAAGUUUAUUCAGGAUAUAGAAAGUACCUGGAGAAGGUUGACAAAGAGACCAAGGACAACAAAGAUUACACCAAAAGGAAUUGAGAAAACUACAGCUUUAAGCUCCAUGGCCAAAACACACACAAUCCCUACAAUUACACACCGAGAGAGAGAGAGAGAGAGAGAGAGAGAGAGAGAGAGAGAGAGAGAGAGAGAGAGAGAGAGGGUGGGAGGGAGAUGAAGGGGGUGUUAUAAAAUAGAGAGGGAUACUUGUAGUUAUAUGUUAGACGUGUUAAUUAAUCUAUGUUGCUUUUUGGACUUGUUGCAUGAACUAAUGAUUCAUUUUCUUUUAAGAUAGCAUGGUUGGCGGGAUAACUUAUGGGCCCAUUCUAUUGGCGUACCAACUUAAUUAACUCAAAUUUAUGCAACGACAAUUAGGGUUUAUUUUCAGAGUUGGGCAUUUUCAUUGGCCGAACCAAACUGGUCUAGUCUACUGUCUUGAGUGUUAAAUUUAACAGUUUCGAAAUUAGCAGUUUGUAACCCUAGCAAUUUAGAACAUUGACUUUUUACACCCGAGGUCUUGUACUUGAUUUCCCCUCCUCUUCUUUCUCUCUCGGGCUUGUAACCCACGUAAUAUUGCUUUGUAUGAGAGAAACUUUGGCGAUUAUUUAUUUUUGGGUAAGAUUAGGCGAGCAUUAAUAUGAUGUCAUUGGAUGAGUGUGAUUUAAUUUACUUCUUAUACGAAUCUCAAAAUUUCAUCUCAUUCAAUGGCCAUUAAUAUGAUGGUGAUGCUCAUCACUACUAAUUCAAGGUGGUGAGCAAAAAAGUGUUGACUAUCGCUUGUAUUUAAAUAUAAAUAAAAAAAAUCUUAUUUUUCAUCAUUAAGCUUAAUCAAUCUAGAAAGAGUUAAAAACAAAACAAAAUAAUAGAAAAUCAGGGGAGUGAGGAGUGUCUUUGGAAGUGGGGUAAAUGGGGCUGGUGUGACGGAGCCAUAAAUUUAAGUAAGAGAAGGCACUCUUAAAAAUUCAAAUACUUUCUUUUAUGACAAAUCAACCUAGUUCUUAAUUUUAUCACUUUUCUCUAUUUUUUUCUUUAUUUUUUGUAUGAAUAACCUAUCACUCUUUUAUGAUAACAAAAUACAUGCAAUUCAAAAGAAAUUUAGACAUGAGAAUGAAAGAGAAGCAAAAAAAAAUAGUGGGCAUUUAAGAAUUUGUGAGGAAGUGCAAGAGAGAGACGAGAGAUUGGGGAAGAAAAGGGCAGAGAGAGAGAGACGAUGCGCCCCACUUUCUACGUCCUACCAUCAUAGUAGCUCUACUGCCGUACACACAAUCCUGUUAAAAUUCGGCGUAUCAUGUACACAGCAGCAAAAAUUUAAUCUUUGUAUGCUGGCUUUACCUGUACAUUAGGGAAGCAUUUAUAAGUGUAAUUUUCAAACUUCCCAUUGAUUGUAAAUUGUAAUUGCUUGGGAACAUGUUGCUUUAAUUCUUUGUCCGCUGAAAUUUAUCCUUAUUCUAUAUUCUAUAUUUUAACAGGAUUUUAUUUCUGAUGUCCUUUUUAAGGAUUGUUUAUUCCCUUGGGUCUUUGGUUGUUGGGGGACAGGGUUUGCUAUAUUAGGAGUUGUGGUUUCCUCUAAUCGCCCUAGGUGGGAUGAGGGUAGGCUACCCGUUUAGCUCUCGACGACCAAACCCUUAUAUGUAGAGAUGCUCACUUAAUCUUCUUAACCAUUAUCGUAUGAACCGCUUGUUUUGUUUUCCCUUUGCAUUAAUAUAAUUCCGCGUUUUUUUUUUAUAUUGAUAACCAAAUCCCAAGUCAUUGUAUAUUUCCAUCAAAAGUCCUUCCAAUUAGCUCAAGUGAUGAGGAUGAGUGGGAAAAUGGAUUAGGAUUAGAUUAUAUUCUCUCCAUUGUAGAAAAGAAAAAUAUAUAAAUCAAUGAAUCAAUAAAUAAAUAAAUACAGAGCUGUCUUGCUAGAACAAUACACAAGCAUAUUGCCUAAAAUUUUGUGUGUGUGUGUGUAUCCACAUAUAUAUAUAUAUAUAGUUGUAUAUUCCAUUUCCAAGCUACAACAAGAGAACAAUAAGCUUGGCAAUUUCAAAUGAAGAAACCCAAAAACAAAACAAAAAAAAAAAAAAAAAAAAAAUUAUAAUCACAUUUGAAGACACUGUCAUGCCUAAUUGUUAGCACUAAUACUUAAAUAAGAAGAUCAUUUCUGAACGAGUCUCUCCUUGGUUUGGUCUUGUGGGGUUAUAUUGAGCGGUGUCGAACGCUCUGAUUCAGAUGAAUGGAUGAGGAUUUGCAUAACAAUUACAACAAGGACCAAGAAAGUAGCUGAAAAUGCAAUGCCUUUCCAUGAGGAUAGGAGGGAAGACCAUGGAACGAAUUUGAAAAUUCCAUAGCCAAUUAGGCAGGACCAGAGUAACACAACCUAUAUAUUGUGACAAGAAAAAUGGAAUUAGAAUGAGAAAAAGAGGUAAGAAGGAUUAGAUGGUCAAUUGUGAAAUCCUACAAUUAAGGACUUCAUAGGUCUGCCAAUGUUUUGAAGUUGCUGGUCACUGAAUGUGCCUUUAGCAAAGUACUUCUCCAGUAAAGCAUCCUGGUAGUUGAAAAGUUGGAAAAAAGAAAGAAAAAAGGGCAUCAAACAUACAUAUGCAGUUACUAGGGGGCUAUAAAGUGAGCAGUGUCAAAUGAUGAUGAAGAUCUGUUUAUGUCUGUAGGCACGAUUGCAAUUUACUGCGCCCUAUGAGCCAAUUAAAAAGGAAAUGCAUUAGCAGGCGGUUGUGUCCCAAGCAGUUAAGAGCAUUCACCCUUGCACUCGAGGUCAUGCAUUUGAUUUCCCCUUUCCCCAAUAUCACUUGUAUUAUGAAAAAAAAAGAGAAAAAAGAAGGGAAAGGAAAUGCAUGAGAACCAAAGCAAAAGCAGCUAUACCCGGAAGGAUAAAUACUUUAAAGCCAAAUAUGAGAGUUAUGGGACUUCUAUGUCUUGGCUGCACACAAUUUUAUUGAUCUUUCUCAGAUCAGCUGAGCUGUAUCAGUUCAGAAACCUCCAAAUAUCGAUCAUUCUUACUUAUUGCAUUUUUCUUGGGUUAACCUGGGCUAUGUGUCCAGACAACCCCUUAAAAGUUUCAAGCAUAAGAGAAUUUAAUAUAAAAAUAGAAAGGAAAAGAAAGAAUGUAUUAAUGAGUAUACCUUGGUAACAAAUACAUCUUUACACCACUGUCCAAUUCCGUCAGCCGUUUCGGGCAAUUCCUGCAUUGAAUGUCUCCUGAUUUGUAAUUUUACCUGUAAGAAUCAGAAACUCCUUAUACUUAGUAACAUAUUUUUCUGACCUUUUUCCCACGACUAUUGGCACCAUUUCAUUUUUCAAGACAAGUUUGUGUUCAGUUUUCUGAGAGAAGCCUCAGUCCCAUACUGUGUAGAAGGAUGCAAGGGCACAUCCAGCUCAUCUAGCACGAAAUGUCCCCUUCUACAGAAUGGCUGUCCUGUUUAGUUUUCCCAUAUAUAAUUUGAAAUGAUAUUGCUUUGUUUUUAUUUAGCAUUCAAAUGAGCGUAAGUCUAUCCAGAAUGGACACUUAGACGGACACAGGACACCCAAGAUAGAAACUUCUAAUUAAGUAACAAAGGAACACUGCAGGAACAGCCCUUUCUCAUAAGCAUGUCCAUGCUUUUCGUGCAUAAAAUUUGCUAGGUCUCAAUUUGUCAGUUCAGUAUAUAGAAUCUCACGUAAUUAUUCAUCCAUGAGUACUUUGUAUAUUCCUUUUAAAAAAAAAAAAUUCUGGUAGCAUCUUUGGUUAUGAUAGUUAUAUGCUAAAGAUCCAUUUCCACAUGUCAUGUAUGUGCACGGUUGGUAAUUAGGUUGAGUGCAUUGAAAAGAAGCUGGUUUAUUGCUAAACCAGCCAGUAAAUAUAUCCCUGAACCUCGUCCGGGUCACAUUUUCUAUGGUCUUCGCUAUUUUACUCGUGGAUUCAAACUUUCUGACUUAAAUGCUAUCUUAAAAAUUUGCAUUAUUUUUACAAACAGAUUACUCAUUACUAGGACAUUAGUAAAACAAAAGUAGUAAAGAAAUACAAACCAUAUUUAAGAAACCCUGUUGAUUCCAUGCAAGAUGAUUUAAAGGUUCCUAAGUAAAACAGUUCACUAUUUAAGAGAAAAACAAUCAAGCAAUUCCAAUGCACCACACCAAUUGAGAUAUACAGCUAAAAACUGAUCAAUGACAGUAAGAAUGUGUAAUGUUCCCUACAAGAAACUAAUGAUGCACUAAAAAAAAAAAGUUAGCUAUCUAAUAACAAGUAACUUUAUCAGCAUAUGCAGAAAGAGUUUUGUUGUCCUACCACAGAAGAUUGCCCUCGAAAUAUUCUCAACAAUGUAGGCGGUGGCUGAUUUUUGGGAACAGCUACUGUACAAUCAUAAAUUGCUGGAACAAAUGAGCGCAUCUGGCUUACUGAUGAAACAAAACCCUGAAAGUAUGAAAGAAGUACUACAAUUUUAAAUAAAGGGGAUACACAAAACUGUGGAAAUUAUGUUGAUGAGUCACAUUAUGAAAUUAUGGGAAAAAGGAAAUAAUGGCAAUGUACAAGGAACAUCUAGUUUAAAAAAUUCAAAUAGGAUGCAGACACCAAUUUGACUCAAAAGGAAGGAAAAAUGAUAUGAAAAAAAAUUGUAAAUAGACUAUUACCUUUGUACGUGGAAGCAAGACAUUCCUAGGAAUAGGCAACCCUCUUGAAGCAGCAAACUCUUGAGCUACCAUUAGCUUUGCCUGAGUAAAUCGCGUUCCUUCUACAAAGAGAGCCAACCAAAAAGGCAUGGGGAAAUCCUCUAGUUGUUGAAAACCUGACUGUAGUGGGAAACCCCAUGAGUUAUAAAAUGACAAAGAAGAAAGACUGUGUCAAACAUAUGCGUAUAAACACAUUUACAGAUACCUUCAAUGUAAUUUCAUCUUUAGUCCAUCUUCUUUCCAAGAAGAAAUAUUCAGAAAACCACAUUGACCAACCUAUGACCUGCGUGCAUGAAUCACAUUAUUAACCCUUACUGAAAGAUUAUCACAAUACAAAACUAAAUAAAUGAGUAAAUUAAAGGACAAUACAUAAGUUAAAACAUACCAAAAAAAACAUCAUUAAUUUCAAUACGAAUAGAAAGAUACAUGUUGAGUGAAAACUCACUGGGAGGAACAUUACUUCUUUCUUCAUGAUGGCUAGUGCACUACCAAGGCAACCUGAGCGCUGUUAUUAAUAGAUUCAUUUCAAUCAGUUAAUUAGAAAGAACAAAGAUUAAAACAUGAUUUUCAAGAAACACAAUGGUUAACAGGUAUAAUCAAAUUGUUGACUCUGCCAACUCUAACUGUAAUCCUAUUUUCAUGACAUAGAGGGUGAGGGGUUUGGAAUAAAGAAUAAAGAAAAGAUACAGUGGGCAGGAUGGUUUUCUGGAACUUGGACCAGUUAUUCGGAAAAUAUUGAUGAGGUCAACAGAUGAAAGACAACAAAGGAAGAAGAGAUUAUGGUAACUUGUUUUUCAUGAAGUCAGACAAUUAUAUGGCAAUUAUAUGCUUUUAAAACACAGACAACGAUUAGUGUGCAUGUUUAACUUCAUACAAGUGACACUGCUAGAAAUAAAUUCACAAAGAUAAGCACCUGAGCUACGAGCCAUCCAACAAGCCAAUCAAUGUCACUUCUGUGAUUGCAAAUGACAAGUGCAUGUUCUUUACCUGUAAAUUCCACAAACAAGACAACAGUCAGUCAACACGAGAGAUUUGUAAACGUAAAAAAAACUCAAUUCCUCUUCUUUCUUUUUUCCAUCAAACUCUUAAUUCCUCUCUAUGACUGAAAGAUUAUGGAACACAACCCAUUAAUAAUAGUCACCUCACCCAUUAACUGAAAGGUGUCUGAAUCUACAUACAACUCAACCUGCAGCAGAAGUUCCAACUAGUUAGACCGUGAUUAGGAUCUAAAACCCAAGUACACCCAUCCAAAACAGGAAUGCCUAUAAGUUCACAAGGUAAAUAUGGUGGUGAUAUAGCAACAGUUUUGUUUCCACUGCAUAUUUGGCAAUCUAAUGCAAUUCACAGUGUGUAAAAAAAAAAUGGUUCUAUAAAUUAGAGUAUAGAACUUAAAUGACAUUGACAUAUUGGCAAAUUAUAUGAGAGGAGGAUUUUUUAUCCUGAAGGUGCAUGCCACUUUCCUCCUUUGCUGCUCACUUUUAAGCUUCAAUAUUUCUUGAAAGAUUUAGCUUUUUGCACAACCCCAAAGAUUUAGCUUUUCAUGUUUGCUGAUAUUUAAUUUAUUCUUACCAUCAAACUCUCGCCAAUAAGCCAACCCAAAUUGUAAGCCCCCUAAAAGUUUGGGAUUAUCAAUUUGGCUAAAGAUGUGUAUAUAUUGGUUUCAUCAUAUCUUACCACGGUGCAUUUCUCUAGAAAAGGUAACAAAUACUAUAAAUGUGUGCUAUGGAAAAUUUCCCAAUGAAGACGUAAGGGAAUAAACAAUUUAUUUUUAGUACAAAGAAAUAAACAAUUUUCAGAAAGAAUCACACCUUGAUGCCUGCCCACCAAUCAAUAAGCCAUAUGAGUUCCAACCAAAGCAACUCUGCAACUACUUUGUUGAUCUUUCUAUACAACUUCUUUGAUAUAGGACGAAGAAGGAUGAAAGAAACUACCUGAAAGUGUGUAUAUGAAUAAACUCAAGAUAUGUGCACUAAGUUAAACAAAACUAGAAAACUUGGGCAAGAAAUGCUUUAUGAAGGUAAUUGAGAGAUUUGAUAACAUUCAUUAGAUGAUAUAGAAAACCAGUGGCAGGUCCAUUCUAAUGUCGUAGCUUUACUAGAGAGAAAAAUGUAUUCCAAGUUUUGGCAUGCAAGUCCAGUUGUAUGGAGAGUUUGAUGCACGUUAUUGUAAGGAAGAUAUGAAAUGUGAGUAAAUGAGGAGUGUUAAGGCACAUACACCAUAUUCUAAUAAGACAAUUGGUUAAAAAAAGACAAAGGUUUAGAGCAUAUAAGUAAAUGGCAUAUUUCUUAUUAACCAUUCGAUACUCAUCCAAGAACUUAGAACAUGGUAUAUGUCUCUUAUUAAAUUACUUAACAGUAUGUCCUUGAACAUUCUUGUAUGUGCAAUAUGGUGUCAAGGUUUGGUAGCGAUAUACAGAACAAGGAUGCCAUUUAUUGAGCCAAAAGUUAUGUCAUUCAUCUUGGGAGUAAGCACCUAUUAAAGGCAUUACUUUACUGAUGAUUCAACUUUGCAGCUCUUCCCUGUUUCUCCCUUCAAUUAAAACAUUGUUAACAACUAAUGAGGAGUCCUGUAAAUUUAAAGUUGUACCGUUGUGUUUGAAAUUUACUAUUUGAUUACAAUACUCGAAGAAACAGAGGCAUUACAGAAAACCAUGGCCCAAAUUGUAGUCGAUUUUGAAGACCGGCAUCAAUAAAUCAGCAUUGCUAAUUUCCCUGCCUAUAAGUUGUUAUAAAUUGUUAAGAAACCACUCUAAAGAAUAGGUUAGAAAAAUAUCUACUUGCUGUUUAAAAUGCAAUUGGGUCCUUCAAUUUACAUGCCCUACCGUCAGGAAAAGAAGCACAUAACCACAUAGCAAAAGGCCACAACUGGUAAUAAUAUCAAAUGGGAUUUCUUCCAAAACACCAAAUUGAAAAAAUGGAAGCAAAAGGCAUUGAGAGAGAGAGAGAGAGAGAGAGAGAGAGAGAGAGAGAGAGAGAAAUUAAUCAUUAAUGCAAGACAUACCUGCAUGAGAUUAACAAUGAGGCCUGAGAGAAUGAAAACAACGCCAAUGGGAACGAUGGCAAGUACAGCAGGGAUGGCCAUGGCUGCUAAUGCUAUUCUGGCUUUGGGUUUGGAGAGGAAGAGGAGACAGAGAUUCGAUGGGAGACAGAAAGAGCGUUUGGGGAUCAUAACGAACGAACACUGUCUGCGUGCGUGUGUUUGUUUUGCUGAGACGCGAACUGGAAGCCGCUUCAAACGCUUGACGUCGUUACAAAAUUUUAUUAUUCUUCAGCAUUUACAUGAAGCGGUAUCACGUGAUUCGUCAUGUGGUGUGGGCUAUUGAAUAAGUUCAUUAGGGAUUUCUUUUACAAUGCAAGUAUGUUUGUACUCGUUAGAUUGAUAGAUUUAUUUCUACUAAGUUAUAGGUCAUGAUUUAUUGGACUUUCUUCCCAAGAUUUUGUACUAAGAACCUUCUCAUUACAGAGUGUAAAUUCGAAGUAUGCCCAAAUAACGUCUUUUGCUUAGGGUUAUAAUCCGCAACUUCAGAAAAAAUAAGGAUGAUUUUGAAAAUUAAUUUUCACUUUUUCAAAAAAAUUGAAAUUUGACAUAGUUAUCAAACGGUCUUAAGUUGCAAAACAUCAAAUUUGAGAUUACCUAUCCCAAAACUUAAAUCAAACAUUGUCCCUAAUAUUCAAAAUUAAAUAGCUUGUAAUGUUCUUAAAAGUAAGAAGGGAAAAGUGGGAAAGAUAUUACCAUGAUGAAGAUGGAUAGUAAGAAUCCUUGCACACACACACACAAAAAAAAAAAAAAAAAACAUUAUCAACCAAGCAAAUAGUCAACAACAAAGUCUAGUGCAGUGGAAAAGAGCCUUAAUUUGCUAAUAAGUGGUGUCAAAUUCGAACUCCUAUGAUACCUUGACAGCAUGUAGAGGUGUCAAACGGAUCAUAUAGGCCCGGUCCGUUUAGAAUCGGCCCAUUUAAUAAAUGGGUUGUGUGGACCCGUCCAUUUAUGAAAAUCAUCAAUCACGCCCGAGCCCAUAUGGGAUAUGGGCCCACGCCUAUGCAUUGCAUUUUUUUUGUAAUUCUUUUUACAAUUUCAUUUAAAUCUUUUUUUCAAUUAUGUAUAUACUAAUAGAUUUAUUAUUUGUUGGAAAAAGAGGCCAAUAACUUUAUUAAAAUUACAUUUAAAUAGAAAAUGACUAAUAGUGUGGGUGAGAAAACCUUUCCCUUACUUAAUCGGACGGUGUCGUGUCGAACCUUACUUAAUCGAGUUGUGCUCAGACUCGACCCGAUCCGUUUGACACCUCUAACAGUGUGAGUGAGAAAACCCUUCCCUUCUCUCCUUUUGAAGUUUGGCCGAAAAGAAGAUAAAAGAAAGAAAAUACCAAAGAAAAUAAAAAUAUAGAAUAAUCCAGCAAAGGAAAGAAAUGCAUGAGCAUGGAAACAAUUCCCAUCGCUCCUUUGCUUUGACCAAAGUUUCCAUGGCUCCCAAUGUAAUCUUCUUUUCUCUAACUUCACUGUAGAUUAUCUUCAGUACAUGCAACCCAUUAGAAUUAGGAUUCUCAGUCAGAAGCAAGUAUAUUCUUUUUGGGUUUCCUUGUUUUUUCCAGAUUCUCUUAUCAAAUAGGAGUCGGAAAGGAAAAGAACUAGUUGAGGCACCUAUAAAUACACAAUGUAAGACGAGAAAGAAAAACAGAGACACAAGCGUGCACACACUUGAUGUUUCUUAAGGAAUCGUUGUGGCUUUGGAGUCUUUGUCGUUGAAGUAGGCCGGAAAGACUUUACCUUUCAGAUUCCAAUUCCAUUUCAGGUCAGUCAGGUAAUCGAUCCUACUGAUCUUACAUAUUUAAAUUGUUAAGAGAAAGUAUGAUUAUGAAGGAGGUUGCAGAGAUUUUGAGGCAUGCAGAGAUAAAGAAGGGUAGAGGGUUGAUAAGGAGGUUAACGGAGAGUAACCCUAAGCAGCCACUUUAUUGGAUUGUGUCAACGAGGUUGGAGGAGGAGGCUGGGGAAACGGAGGCCUCAAGGUAAUUGAUUGAGAAGGGGUGUAAGGAGUGCCUCAAUAGUGAGGAUGUAUGGUUGGAGGCCUGCAGGAUUAUUGCGAUUUCGAAUGAAGAAGAAGCUAAGGCGGUGAUUACUAAUGGGUUGUUUUCAAUACCCCAUUCGGUGAAGUUGUGGAUGCGGGCUGCAAAUUUGGAACAUGAUGACUCAAAUAAGAGCAGGGUUUUGAGGAAAGGGUUGGAACGCAUUACUAAUUUCAUUGUGCUGUGCAAUGCGGUGGUUGAGCUCACCACGAAAUCGAAUGAGAAAGAUCUCAUCUUGUUGCUUUAGAGGGCUGUGGAGUGUUAUCCACAGCUCAUGGAAUUGUGGCUUGCACAGGCAAAGUUAGAAACUUGUGAACCCAAGAGUCCUAGAAUGAUUCUUGCGAAAGCCGGAGAAAGUGGGGGAGGCACAGAGGGAGUAUGGAUGAAGUCAGCAACUGUUGAGAGAGGGUUAGGUAAUGUUGAGAAUGAGAGCAAAUUGCUUGAUGAAGGGUUGAAGAGAUUCCUUUCAUUCUUUAAGUUGUGGUUGAUGCUUGGACAGCUAGAGGAACAGCUUGAUCAUUUGGAAAGAGCUAAGGCAUAUGACUUGGGCCUCAAGCAUUGCCCCAAUUCUAUACCGCUCUAGCUUUCUCUUGCUAAUCUUGAAGAGAAGUUAAAUAGGGUGGCUAGUGCCCGCAGUGUCCUCACGCUAGCCGAGAACAAAAAUCCUCAGAUCCCUCAACUGUGGGUUGCUGCUGUUCGAGCUGAAAUAAGGCAUGGUAAUAACAAGGAAGUUGAUAUUUUGAUGGCCAUGGCUUUGGACGAGUGUCCCAAUAGUGGUAUUUUGUGGGUAGCAUAUAUUGAGAGUAUGGCACCCCUACCACGUUUUCAAUGGAAGAACAAGAUUAUGGAUGCCCUCAGGAAAUGUGAUCAUUAUCCCCAUGUCAGCGCUGCUGUGGCCAAGUUAUUCUAGCAUCAUAGUGAGGUUGUAAGAGCUAGGACUUGGCUCAAUAGAGCUAUCACAAUUGCCCUAGAUAUUGGGGACUUCUAGGCUUUAUACUUCAAAUUUGAACUUCAACAUGGGAUUGAUGAAAACCAUAAGGAUGUUUUGAGAAGAUGCAUUGCUGCACAACCAAAGCAUGGUGAAAAAUGGCAACCUAUUUCCAAGGCCUUGCACAACUCUCACCAAUCAACUGAAGGUAUCUUGCACCAGGUGGUGGUUGAGCUCCGCAAGGAAGAAAGCUUGCAACAGGCAAGGCAACUGGCAGCUCAAAUUGAUAAACUCUAGUGGUCUCAAAUGUUAGAGUGGUUUCUUCCAAACUGCAUUUGAAUAGCAGAUUAGUACUCUUGGUAUUAAUUUAUUAGAGUUGUUGGAAUUGAUAAAAUUAUUCCAUAAUAUAUUUUCCUUUACAAUCUUCCUAUCUCUCAAAUUUGCAAAAGCAGACAUACACAUGCCUGUUUAAGGAUAUUGUAACGAAACGACUCCAAAACUAUGACAAUCACCAUUUUCUGUAGGUUGGCCUGUACAGAUAUACCUAGGAUCUAGAUAACCAAGUGUCCUAUGUCUGAACCAAUGUGCUUAUUAUCUAGGACUUGUUAAUAGGGACCAACCUUGAAGGUCCAAACCAGAGACUUUGGCCAUGAAACAGUAGUUAAAGUAUGUUGGAUGACUUGACAUUGCCAUGAAUGAUCAUUGGUUUUGAUAAGUCUGCUGUAGAAUGAAGAUAAGCAAGAGCUGCUGCAAAUUUUGAGGCUAUCUUCAAAAGGUAUCCCAAAUUUUUCCCAUUCUUAUGAUGAAUAUAGUAGAAACAAGGUCCCAUUGCAGGCGAGUUCAUAGACCAAUAUGGGAGCUUUAGUCUUUAAACAGCAACCUAAGAACUUCACCACAUUUUGAUGGUUUACUUUUUUUGUAAGAGUGACCACAAUUUCACUUAUAAAAUGCUCAAUUUGCUCUUCCUCCAUUGCUUUGUCUGGCAAAAGUCCUCAAUGAGACGUUUCAGUUCCACCGUCUUCUGAACAAAAAAUGUGAGCCUUCUUAUAAUAGUCAGCAGUCAUCUCUAGCUCCUCGGCUGUAAAAAUUCUUGUGCCUUAAUUCCAGUGAAAAAAUUUGCUGCUCUAACAAUAACCCUCUUUUUUUCUGGAAGAGCUUGGGUUUUAGCUUAAUAAACUUAUGCAUCUUCACACUGAUAUAAAUUCUGGAGAUCACAAACAAAAGCUGAGACUUGCAAGGUUACAUUUAAUUAAAUCUAAAUGUUAAAAGGAGCAUAGCACUUAUCAAAUUACAAUGCAUGUAGGGAGAAAAAGAGAAUCCCAUGACAAGGAUAAGAGUGGCUAGCUUUGGUUAAGUAUCCUCAAGUAUUUAUGUAUCCAUUGCUCUUGUGGCCUCAUCUAAAGCCUAAGAUAAACCAUAAUGAUCGACAACUUGUGGUUGGAGGAGAUUGAGCAGUUCAUAGGAAUAGUCCUCCCUCUAAUCAUGAUGAUAUAAAUUCAAAAGAUGAAGAAGAAAUCCCUGUCCAACAUGAUAAUAUCGGGGAGGAAACUAAGAAAAUAGAGAUUCCUAUUUUCAAUGGUACUUCGUCAAUCGAAGACUUCCUUGAUUAGCUUUAUGAAUGUGAGAAAUUCUUUGCUUCUGCUGAAAUCUCAGAGGCUCGACAAGUGAAGGUCGUGCUUGGAAGUUGAAGGGGAGUGUCGUUGUCUGGUGGGAUGAGCAGCAAGCCGCACGCUUAAGACAAGGGAAACGACCUAUGCAGUCUUAGCACAAGAUGCAGAGCAUGUUGCGAGAACUUUUCCUAUCUUGCAAUUAUGAACGGGUGCUGUUUGAGAAAUACCACAGUUGUGUACAAGGAAGCUGCACCGUUCGGGAGUAUUCCCAGAAGUUUUUCAACCUUGCUGCUAGAAACCGAUUAGCUAAAUCACAGGCGCAACAAACAACGCGUUAUCUUCAUGAGUUGAAGGCUAAUAUCCAAGAUUGAAUAAGUCUGCAAUGAGUAAAUACCCCUACGAAGGCUGAAGAGUUAGUCGUAGCUGCAGAAUUACUGGAGAAAACUCAGAGUAAUCAGUCCACUAGCUACUGAAGAAAUUUGGGAGACCCGUCCAAUAUGGGCAGCUCAAGCAAAGGUAGAGACUAGGCGCAACAAGAUAAUACCAAUGCAACAGAUAAAUCAACAGAAAUCACCACUCGAACCUCCAAUCAUUUUCAGAACCUUAAAUGUGGCAAGAACAACACCAACAGUCCGUUUGCCAAGUUUCGGGGUGACAAGUGUUUCAAGUGCAGCAGCAACGAACACCACACUGGUGCUUGUCAAGGCCGCAAACCAUUAAAUUUGGUAGAAGGAGAACUCGAGGAUAUCGAAGAUGGUGUGAUAGAUGAAGAAUAUGCGGAGGAGGAAGGUGAGGAAUUGACCUUGGUACUGCAGCGAGUCCUAUAUUCCAAGCCUAGUGACGACAAUCAAAGGCAUCAGAGUUUUCACUCCAAGUGUAUUGUUAAUGAUAAAGUAUGCCAAUUAGUGUUGGAUGGAGGAAGUUGUUAGAACGUUGUAAAUCGGAAAUUACUGGACCACUUUCAGUUGCCCACAGAAAAGAAUCCACACCCAUACCUAGUGAGAUGAAUUAAAAAGGGACCGAGUGAGAAGGUGCCUGAAACUUGUAAAAUUUCCAUCUCCAUUGAAAAAUAUUACAACGACGAAGUAGUUUGUGAUGUAGUCGACAUGGACGUCACACAUGUAGUUUUGGGCAGGCCUUGGAUGUGGGAUAGAGAUGUUGCGCACCGAGGACAGAACAAUAUCUAAAAAUUUACAUGUGGAGCACAUUUGAUCACUAUGUCCCCCAAGGGCAGGUCUUCGGGUUUAGAAACAACAAAAACAAGCUCGAAAUUAAUUACUAUAAUUAAUUCAUAACGGGAAGUUGCAGCAGAAGCCAAAGAAACCAAACAGAUUUGCGUUGUUGUCAUGAAGGGAUUACUAGCGGUUGAAGCUGACUCCUCAAUGGUACAGAUUCCUCAACAAGUGCAAACAAUACUAUACGAUUUCGAGGAAUUGAUUUUGGAUGAGCUACCAGAUGUUCUACCUCCCAUGCGGAACAUCUAACAUCAGAUUGACCUCAUCCCUAGAGCUGGUUUGCCUAAUUUACCCCACUAUUGGAUGAGCCCGAAGGAGAAUGAGAUCCUAAGAGAGAAAAAUGAACUUCUACAGAAGGGGUUUAUUCGAGGAAGCUUUAGCCCCAGUGCUAUACUUGUUCUUCUUAUUCCAAACAAAGACAAGACAUGGAGGAUGUGUGUAGAUAGCAAAGCCAUCAAUAAGAUAACCGUAAAGUAUUGUUUCCCUAUUCCUCGUUUGGACUACAUGUUAGAUGAGCUGUAUAGAGGGAAAAUGUUAUCCAAACUCGAUUUGCGAAGCGGUUAUCACCAUAUUCAAAUUAAGCCUUGGAAUGAAUGGAAAAUAACAUUCAAGAGCAAGGAUGGAUUGUAUGAGUGGCUGGUCAUGCCAUUCGGGCUAUCCAACGCACUUAGCACGUUUAUGCGGCUCAUGAAUCAAGUUCUACGCCCUUUUAUCGGUUCUUUUGUUGUUGUUUACUUUGAUGUUAUUCACUUUUAUAGUAAAUCAGAAUAUGAGUAUUUGGAGUAAUUAAGGAUGGUGCUGGAAGUGUUGUAGAACAAUAAGCUCUUCCUAAAUAUCAAGAGGGGCAGUUUUUUCACCAACAAAUUAAUUUUUCUUGGCUAUGUUGUGAGCUCUAAAAGUAUUCUUGUUGACAACGACAAGGUGAAAGCCAUCCAGGACUAGCCUGCACCCAAAAUCAUUUCCGAAUUACUUAGCUUUCAUCAGUGGUGGAGCCAGGAAUCUUACCACAAGAGGUCUUAAUGUAAAAGCCCCAAUAAAAAUUUAGGAUGGAAAAAAAUAUUGAAAAUGAAAUCAGAGUACUUUCAUUCAUAAUUCAUAUUAAAAACAACAUUACAAGCUACAAUUGUCCAUGAAGAGGUUUCAUAUUUUGAAAAUGUAGCAUUAUAGCUUCAUUUUCAAUACAAACAAAAAUAUCUCUCAAUAUAAACAAUCAAGCUAUCACUCAACCAUUGAUCUCCCAUUUUGUUCUGAAGUGGACCCUUAAUAAUAUUCAUGAUUGAAAAUGCCCUCUCCACUGAAGCAGUUGCAACUGGUAAAACUAAAGACAAUGUAAUAAGCAAAUGCACAUAAUUGAAUACUUGACGCAUCCUUGUCUCCACCAUUUUUUCUUGCAAGAUCACCAAUCCCUUCCAGUUGAGAGAAAUCACAACUCGAACGCACAUAAUGAAUAUAAAUCUCAAGUAGAUCUUCAAGUGCUAAACGAUCCUCAUCCGAAAAGUCUUGAGGAUAAAAUUGAGCAAGACAAAGUAGCUUUAGUUUAUCAAAAGCUAUAAAUGAAUCUUUCGGACUCAAACAUGCCAAACAAAUAAGCAACUUAGUAUUUACCUCAUUAAAGCGAUCAUCUAACUCCAUAAUUUGCUCAUCAAUGACAUAAAUAAAGAGCUCCACAAGAUAAUGAUGACGAUUUAUCUUUAUUCGAGUAUUAUGCCUUGACCUCCUUGGAAGUAUAAAUGCCUCUUGCAUGUUAGGAACAUCAAUAUGAUGUUUCUCACAAAAAGAAGAUACUUCAUUAACCAAUGCAUUGAACUCAUUAUUCCUCAUCCAAUGUAGUUUUUCCUUGCAUGAUUUCAUUAAAGCCAUUGCAUUCACAAUUUCUUGAUCUUUCCUUUGCAAUGCUUGUGACACACUAUUUGUGAGUCCCAAUAUGACUUUCAUCAAGAAAAGGUGAAACACAAACUCAAAAGUACGUAUUUCUCUCAUUAACUUAUUUGCUUCACCCGCACUAUUAUUGGGAUUAUCAUCAAUAACCAUUUAAAGCACAUGAACCAUGGAUGAAAACAUAGAAGUGAUGCUAAUCAAGGUACCAUAGUGUGAGUUCCAUUGUGUGUCACCGUCACGUUUGAGACUUGUUUCUUGAUUUAAGCCUCGCCUCGUUAUAAGACAAUCAUUUUCAAAAGCUACCACAAGCUUUGCUUGGAGUUGCCCUCUAAGUAAAUCACGUUGCUUACCAGAUGCUCCAACAUAAUUAACCAUACUAUUAGCCGUUGCAAAAAAAGAGGCAAUGUCUAUAUUUUUCUUUGUCACGGCAACAAGAGCUAGUUGAAGUUGAUGAGCAAAGCAAUGAACAUAAUAUGCACAAGGUUGUUCUCUUAAUAUCUUUGUUUUAAGGCCAUUCAACUCACCUUUCAUAUUGCUAGCAUCAUCAUAACCUUGUCCUCGUAGCUUGGAAAGGCUCAUACCGUUGCAAGAAAAUAAUAUGUUAAUAGCAUCCUUUAGUGAACUUGAAAUAGUGUCGGUAACAUCUUGGAUACCCAUAAAUCCUUCAAUUACAUAUGCCCUUUGUCAUCCACAUAAUUCAACACCAUAGCCAUUUGCUCUUUCACUAACACAUCACGUGCUUCAUCCACCAAUAUUGAAAAGAAUCUAUCUUUUAGACCAUCCAUGAUAGCAUCAAGUGUUUCAAUGGCACAUGAAUUCACAAGAUCUUUUUGAAUGCAAGGAGCUACUAAUUUGAGAUUCCCCGGAGCAUUUUCCAUUACAACUUCUCUAACUUUAUCAUCACUAUCUGUAAGGAAUUGCAAUAGCUCUAAGUAAUUUUCCCUAUUGCUUGAAGUGACACUUUCAUCAUGGCCACGAAAAUCAAGACCUUGUCGCAAUAAAAAUUUAGUGCACUUGAUUGAUGCAAUCAAGCAUGUGUGAUAAGCCUUACGAGCUUGGUCGGAGUGUUUGCUCACUGCCGUUUCCAAAUGUGUAUUUUGAUUCAUCAAAUUUGUAGUAGCUUCUCUAGCUUUAUUAUGAACACUCCUAAACGGUCCAACAUGCAUCUUAAAUCUUUCUCUCCCUUUCUUUCAAUUUUUAAAUCCAUCUCUAGUGAAAGCUUCACUAACCACUUGUUCAAAAUUGGUUUUAAAGAGAUAGCAAUAAAGACAAAAUGCCAUAUCUUUAGAUAUACUAUACUCCAACCAAUCAAACUUAUCAAACCAUUAAGGAAUGAAGCGUCGAUUAAUUCCUAACAUAUUAGUUUGUGGGAAACUUUGACCUCUUAGGUUGACAAGGUCCUUUUUGUAAAUAUGAUCUUCAGACCUCAUCUCACAUAUUAGCAUCUUAAUCUAUCAUUCGAAUUCUUAAUCCAGGGUACACUUGAAGAUUACCCAAAACACUAUCUAACUAACUUCGAAUUCUUAUUUGAAAUAUCAACAUUAUCCGAACUACUUGAGCCCGAUGAUGACUUUCUCUUAAAAAAUCGUUCCAUAAUAAUUCUACAUAUAUAAAAUAAUCAAAAUAAAUGCUCACAAUAUAAACAAAUCAUCAAUAUAAUCAAAAUAAAUAUGAAUUGGAUUUCAAUUAAAUUAAAUAUAUUCUACAUAUACAAAAUAAUAAAAAUUAAAAAAUCCACAAUAUAAUCAAAAUAAAUAUGAAUUGCGUUUCAAUUAAAUAAAAUAUAUCAUACAUUGAAUUGUAAAAUUUCACAAUAACAAUGAGUAAAAACAAUGCGAGUAGCUGGCGACACCACCACACGGUGACGACGACGACGGCAAUAGCAGCACCACAACGGCUGCAGCAAGGGAGGAGAUGGAGUUGAGGGUUUGGGGGAGGGGGGGGGGGGGGGCGGGCGCCGGGGGAGGAGAUUGAGUUGGGUUGGAGGAGAACACAAAAAAAUUUGGGGGUCUUAGAAUGAAGGUAACGGUGCUGUUAGAGAGGAAGGAUACGUUGGGCAUUUUCAUAUAUAUAUAUUUUUGGAAAAUAGCUUAAAAUGCCACCCUUUUCAUAAUUUUAACUGAAAAUACCAUCCCUUCCCAAUUUUUUUACAACUACUACAUAUAAAUACGUCUUUAUUAUGGACUGAUUGUACCCAUAUCAGUUUUUCAGAAAUUGGCUUCUCUCUUAACUCUCUUGGCUCUAUCUCUUCAGCCCGUAUCUCUUCCUCGUGUACCUCUCUCUCUUCGAUGCAAUCGUCUUUCUCCCUCAGCGGUGGCUAUUCAUCCAAGCUUAACUCCACCAUUGACAUCCACGAGGUACUGUUCAUAUACCUUUUCUUUGAAAUUUGGGGUUUUUGUGAAUUUGGUUUAUGGUGUAUGGAUUUGUAAGAAAUUGGUUUAGGGUUUUAGUGUUUAGGGGUUGCUCAAAAAUUGGGUUUUGGGUUUAUGGGUUUCUAUGAACUGGACAAUAACUCACACCCACUCUCACUCGCUCACAGGCACUAUUCACAUAAAUUAAACUCUUCAUUUUGUCACAGAACAUUUGGGCUUCGUUCACCUUUGUUUGGGUAAGUCCCAACUAUCUAUAUUGUUUGAUGCGAGUUUAAGCUCUGGGCUCUGUGAUUUCUACAAGACUUAAUUCCACAAUAUUCUGAUUUUACUUGUUCAAAUCAAAGCAAAGGAAGGGACGUUGUUUAUGGAUGGGUAAUUGUCAAAAACGACUUCUGGAAUCUACAUGCUUAUAAUCAAAUUUUGCAGAUUGUUAGUGGUCCACAGUCCACAUUUGAGACCGGAACGCCUCAGUCACCACUGCCAUCACUCUCCAUAGCUUGUUUCUUCAGAAGACAAAUCAUUCUCUCAAACUCUUCAGAAUUCGAUCAUCUGGUCAGUUGAUUCAGUUCUCUUAUGACAAUUUAUUUGAAGUCUUAUACAUAGUUUUUGCUCUAAUUUUUCGUUUUGAAUUAUUCGUUAAAGUUUAUUUAUUUAUUCAUUUAUAAUUUUGGAAUUGAUGAGAUAUCUGGUCUGGGCUUCAUAUUACCCUAAUUUAUUGUUCUUUAUUGUGAUUGUGAUUUUAGCUAAAGAUUGGGUGAUGUGUUUUUGUUUUGGGUCAUUUGAUAUGGUUUUGAGAUUGGUUCGUAUCUAUGAUUUUGGUUAGUGUUAAAGUAAAUAAAUGGGUAUUUCAUUCCUGCGGUUUUUGUGGAGGUACACCAUUGUAUCAUGCUUAUUUUCUCUUCUAAUGAUAUGGUUCUAUAAUGUAUUUGUUUGAUCAGGCUGGUUUGAUAAGCGCAUGAGCUGUGCUGAAAAGUGGCAAAAAAAAAACUUAAAAUGUAGAGCAAUAGGCUCCUUAAAUACACAUUUUCGCACUCAGCAAAAUAUGCUUUUAGAUAUAAAAAAUGCCCGUUUGAAUACAAUAGUGGGGUAAUAGGCUCUUUGAAUACAAUGAUAUAAUAAUAGGCUCUUGAUAAGUGCUGAGUUUGUUUUUUUUUUUUGUUUUUUUUUUUUUACAAAUAUGUGAGCUUAAUUAUGAAUUUGAAUGCAAUAUUUUUGAACAAUGAUUUAUAAUAGAAAAACGACAUACAUACAUUUUGAACAACGACUCUUUGAUCAUAGGAUAUUGGUAUUGCUAGCAACUAGUUAUGAGUAUUUGUGUCCAAGAGGACCCCAUUGUGAGCACAACUUUGACAAAGUGGUUAUCGAGAUAAGAGGUGCUAAGAAAUUUGAUAUUCUGAUUUGUUCAAUUACAUUGCACCAUCUUAUUAUAGUUAUAGCUAACCUCAACUGGCUUACUGAACAGUUGUAACUGAUAAAAGAGUUAUAACCAACACUAUUUAUUUGGAUAUGACAAUUUUUUAACUGGCUUUCAGCAGUUGAAUUAGUAGGUUAGUUGUAAAUAGCUAGGGUUUUGUUUAUGCUCUGUAUUUUUUGUUUAUUUUUCACUUAAUAUCCUAUAAUAGGCUGUUGAUAAGUGCUGAUUGUUUAUUGCUUGUUAUUAUCUAGAUUGCAACGGACUGAAAUUAUUUUUAUAAUACUGGCGUGUAGGGAAAUAUGGUUUCUCCAAUUAAGUUGAUGAUUGCAGAGGAAGAAAAGUUCCAAGGAAAAGCAUUCUCCCUAUCCCAUACAAAGACUGCAAUCUGUACCAUAAAGGAGAAAUUCAGUCAGCAACAGCUACAAAGGUUUGAAGAGAGUUGUUUUGGUCAUCUCCUACUGAUUGAGGACCUAAAGUGGACUUCGCCAAUUGUCCACAGCUUGUUACUGAGGAAGGUUGAUUCGAAGACAGUUUCCCAAGUGAACGGGAUCAAAUUCAUCAUUGGCAAUAAGGUGAUCCAAUUCACGGCACAGCAAUUUUGCGUCGUCACAGGGCUAAGGUUUGGAAACCUUCCCUUCAUUCCGAUUGCCACUAAUGAGAACUGCUCAUUGAAAAGGAAGUACUUUGGCAACGAUAAAACUGUCAACCUUUUGGAAUUAGAAAAAGCCUUCCUCGACUACGUUGAUGCGGACGAUGUAUUGAAGCUCGGAUUUGUAUACUUUGCUGUGUUUGUGCUGUUGGACAGUGAAAAACAUGUCCACAUUGACAUGCGAUAUUUGAAGUUGGCGAAAGACCUUGAAGAGUUUGUGAAGUGUCCAUGAGGUGCUGUGUUUUAUGCCAAGACAAAUGCGUCACUUCUGAGGGCACUUUGUGUAGAUUACCAGCGAGUGAAAGUGCCCCAAAAAGCUGCGAAAAUAAAAAAAUCUGAAAAGAAAGCAAAGACAACAGCAACUAGUUGACCAAGAGAGUACCACCUCAAAGGUUUUGCCUUUGCACUACAGGUGAGCAAAUUUUCAUUCAUGUUUAAGUUAAAUUUCAUUUGUUUACAGUGAGUGACGUUUUCUUCCUCAAACCAGAUUUGGGCUUAUGAGGUAUUUCCAGUUUUGGCUGCACUACAUUUGGUGGUGCACAAAGAUAAUGCCUACAUCCCUCUUAUACUACAUUGGAGGAGCAAUAUUUCGACUCGUUUUCAUGAGCUAAUGAGCCAAGUAUUCGAGAACCGUGAGGUUAGUUAUGUUUUUAAUGAUAAUGUUAGGCAUAUAAAAAUAUAAUAAGUUUACUGAUAUGUAUAUUGUCUGUGUAAAUUGCAGGUUGAUGUGCAACUUCUCCGGCCAUCUGUAAUUGACAAGCAGCAGCCGUAAUGGACUUGGGGUGACAGUGUUGACGACACUGAAGAACUUGUUGAGUUGUUUGGCGAUGAUGCUGAACAAAAAACCAGCACUUCUACCUCUGUAGAAGAAAAAGAUGAGGAUAUUGACGAAACUGCUAGCCUUCCGUCGUCUUCUAAGGCAAGCAUUACAUUUUUUCCAAUAUAUACAUCAUAAUACCAUAGGAAAAUAACUGCUGUAUUUGGGAUAUAUUUUGUAAAUAUUGUAACAUUUGCAUUAUAACUAAAUGCAGGGUAAACUCGCGUCCCUUGAGUUACGCACUUUGAAGCGUGACUUUCAAAGGACAAAGGAUGAAUUGGCCAAAGUAGCCAGUUCUAAUCGAGCGCUUCACAACAAAGUGCAUGAGUUGGAAGAAAUGGUAUAGAAAGAGUCAUUGAAAUGUGAGAGAGUCUGCAAAAAAUAAAAAGUGUGUGGAGGAUUUCGGCAAGACCCUCGCUUCCAUGGAACACUAUUUUAAGUUGGAGAUAGAGCAGCUAAAAAAAUGAAAUAGUGGGUUGAAUGAAGGUGGUGAAGGACAUGAGGACCUCGGUAGUCCUCAUAUGAAUGAAGGAGACGACAAUGACUUGUCGCCAUUACAUGACUAUGUUAGCCGCCUACAGAACUGGCAGCAAUGGAAACAUAAGUCCCCGAUGAUGGAGCCGACCCUCGCAGCCAUGUAGUCGAAGAGCAGAAAUGGCCGCUUCAGUUCCUCACUUACAAGUGCAUGAAGCAGCUGAGCAGGCACAAUCCGAGAAGCUGCCUACCUCGGAAGAUGUGGCCGGGUGUGACGAAAUCUGCCAAAGACUAUUGUUUUUGUUAGAAGAUUGGAAAAUAACUGACAGUAUGCCAUCGGGAGGUCCGAUGAAUCCUUCAAGUAUACCCAAAGUUAAUAUGGCUGGUGAUGAAGAAGGUAGUGCGAGUGUUGAAAAAAAAAGAAGUGAAAGGUAAAUGGUGCAGAAAGAAGCACCCAGCGCAGACAUUGUUGAGUCUAUUUACUGAUCCUUUGAGGAAGAAGAGGGCGAUGAGUGUGUCAGAUGCGACUGCAACCCUGCCAUCUUUUGAUCCAUCAAAACCCCUACCCAUUGAAGAUGUGAAGGCGGUAAUAGAGUUUUGCACUACCUGAAAAAACGAUAUUAGGUUAGGAUUCUUUACCUUCGAAAUCCAAUAUUUCAUGUUAUGCUAGUAUGUAGUCAUAUAGUAAUGAGAAAAUGUAGAGUUUGCUUGAUAUACAUGUGUAUAUUUGUCAUAAACAAAGUCAGAAUUUUGAGAUGAGUACAAAAUUCACCGUUGCAAGUUUGCCUUUUGUAGUGCGGAAGUGCAAUUGGAAUCAUGUUUAGUGGGCGUUGAUUUUUUCUAUAAACUCAUCGAUGAUACGGAAUGGAUUAGCUCAAGGGUAAGAAUACACAAAUCUCUACUUAAUUACGAUAAUUCAAUUAUUUUCUCGCCUUUAUUAAGGGUACAAUUGUAUGAAAUUGUGCUGAUAUUAUAUAUGUCAACUUGCAGCACCUGGACAUGGCAACCUUUCUCAUCUAGAAAAGGCAAUUCUCUCAUUCGUUGGUAUUUGGAACUCACUAGACAACGGCAGAUUAUUGCUUGCAGGUAAACAUGUUACCAUGUUACAUUCACUGCUUCAUUUGCUUUCGGUUGUCAUUCUGUAAUAUGCCUUCAUUUCAAUGUCUGCAGCAAUUUCUAGAGCCGAUCAAAUCGACUGCCAAGAAACGUGGAUCAAAGAAGGCAGCUAUUUCGAACACCAUUGACCUUCUACCCAGCAAGCUAAACAAUAUACAUCACUAUGUACGCGGUACGUGGCAACACGGGUAUGGCCAAGCUUGGACAAAGGUCCGGAAGGUCUAUUUUCCAUAUAAUCUUCAAGGGUCCCAUUGGGUUGCAAUCGAAAUUGAUUUCGUCAGACAUACUGCAACUGUGUAUGACUCCUACGUUGGUUUUGCCAAAACUUCGAAGCUGGCACGAGUGCUGUACAAUAUGCAAUUUUAUGAAGCUUCCGAGGUUGAAGAGGUUAAGCAACAGGGGCUGAAGAUGUCAAGGUUUAUGCCAUUCUCAGUUUGCAGCAUUGGAGAUGUGCCACAACAAUGAGAUGGGUAAGCUUUGUGAAUUUAGUGCAAAAUUUUACAUAACUGUAGUUCUAAUUUCCCAACUUAUUGGCCUGACAGUACUUCUUGCGGAAUCAUGACAAUAAAAUUCAUCGAGCAUCUCAGUGCUAGGAUUUCGUUGGAUAAAGUUGACCCUUUGAAGAUCAAAUCUUACCGACUGAAGCUUGCAAUAGAGGGUUUAAGGGGAAAGGCAUAUUUAUGAGGUAAAUGUCUUAAUGUCUGUGGAUUGAGUUCAGUCUGGACUUAUGACUUGGGAAUUAACUGUGCUAAUUAAUUAUGUCAUGAACUCCUUUAUAUGAAGAUGCAGAUGUAGAUGCUUUGCUAGAGGUACUUUAUAUGGUAAUCCAGCCAUUUUGCUAGAGCUAGUUGGUUUAGUUAUCAUGUGUACGAAGGUGAAAUCAUUUCCCGGGUCUUCAGCCCUACUGAUUUUCUGUGAGGUGUAAUAUUGUACAGUCUAGAAGCAGUGGCUAAUUGCCUUACAUGGCAUACACACCGUUUCGAUUUUUUAGGUUAACUAUUUUGUACAUCUCCAUAUAUAAAUAUAGUUGCUCUUUAUGGAGGCUUGCCUUACAUGGUAUAACAGUUUGCAAUUUCUGGUCAUUUUUGUAGCCAUUGUUCACAUUUUGUCUCUGUGGUUUUGUUCGCAAUUUAUGUGAUAUAGGUAUAUUUCAUUUCCUGCACUAGGAAUCUGUUAGUGAACUUAGUGAAGCAUACAGCUUUCUUAAGAUUUCUCAAUUUAGUUUUGCCUUAGUUCCUUUUAAAUAAUUUAUGCAGCAAUUCUACUUUUCUGCUUAACAUUAUGUUGUUAUUGGAAUUUGGAACCUCAUACUGUGAUUAAGUAAUUGUGAGUGAAGCAGCAGUUGGAGAGAUGACACUGCAUUUCUGUCAGCGUUACAAGUAAGUAUCAAUUUUCUAUUGUCUUGUCAUACAUGUAUGCAUAUCCACUAAUGUAAGCUGCUAUGUCUUGUAACAGUUCAUGCUUUUAUGUGAAAGUUCUCAAUACAUUGAAUGUUGUUACAGCUGUGAUGUUUGAUGCAAUUUUGGUUAUGAACUUUUUAUUAAUUUUGGAUUAAGAAUUUGUUUGUAGAGGAAGCUUUUAUUAGUAAUCCCAUUUUUGGUGGUUUUGAAAGUGAGAGAGGAAGCUUGCUCUCUAGUUGUGGUUGUCCCUUUGUUGGGUAGAAAAUGCCUUAUUUAUAGCUCUGGAAGCUAUUCUUUUCCAAGAAACCCUAAUGGUUUCUAUCCAAUUUAGCCAAACUUUUUCCUUUCUUUCUUCUCCUUUCCUUUGACUUAUCUUAUAAUGGUAAAAAUCUCCUCUGCCCAAUCUCACAAAAUCAGGAAUUUUUGGGAGCUCAAUGCUCUCCACCCCUAUUCUCAGCCAUCCCCUUUCCUUUCUUUCCUUCCUCAUUUCAUGGCCAGAUCUGAUGAAGGAAAUAAAUGGGUAUACAUGUUGGUUCGAAUGGUGCCCCUCCUCCUGGCAGCCUGCACGCUAAAAUCCCCUAGUCUUUGCAUGCCUUUGCUUGAAAUUUGUUCCCCCCUAUGUGCUGGAACUUCCCAACAGCUCUGCGUAUGUGGACAUCCUUGCUCCCUUCAUGGCUUUUGUUUUUCAGCCAAGUGCUGAGGCUUUUGUAGGUCGAUAUUUUAGUUACAUGGGCCUUCUAUGACUAUGGGUUGGUUUAUCAAAUAAAUGGGCUAACCUCCCCAAGUGUUGGCCUAUUUUGUUGAGGUAUUGGGCUAAUUUCUCUAGGAUAUUGGGCUACUUUCUCUCUCUCUCUUUUAUGCUCACCCACAUGUUUGGGCUCCUGAAAUGGACUUGAGUUUCGAGGCUCCCAAGCAACCUGAGACUUCCAUUUCUUGGCCCAUCAAUGGGCCUCAUGACAACUUGUUACCAUCCAUACCACAACCCACUCAAGCAAACCCCGGGCAUUUGAGUAGCUUGGGCUUACUUAAGCUUGUAGCGUGGUUUAGGUGGGAAAUAGUGAUCUCCCGCUUGGCAUGACACGCUUUUUAUUAUGAUGUUUGACGGGGUAAUUAGCAUGAAUUUGUAGAGCUAGUGCAUUUUAUAAUAUUCAUCUCAAUUCCUAGCACGACGGAUUAUUCAUUUGGCAUGGCAUGUGGAGCGUGACUCGUGCAUGGCGGACUUUUGCAUGCUCCAAAUUGGGUCUUUUCUCAAUAAUGUGUCGUAUUGGGCCAGGGAUUUAUUUGGGCCCAACCGUGGAUUUUUUGGGCCUCAACAAACAGAAAAUGAUUCAUGCAUAAUCAUUAAACUCAGCGCCUCUUCGAAACUGAUUCAUGCAUAAUUAGAAAAUAAAAGUACCUUAUUAGCUGCUUUCCCUUAUAGCUUUCUCUCACAACAAUUUUUAACAAUAAGUGAUUUUCUCAUAGUUUAUCAAACGGGUUGGGCUUCCCAAAAUUUUUUAAAAAUCACUUAUCACCCCAAAAAAACAAUGCCAAACGGGCACCAAAUCAAAAUAUAAAAAAUUGGUUUUAGUGCAAAAUACGAUUUAGGCUAAAAAUGAUGGCUCAUUAAGUUAAUAUAUACUUCAUAUUAAAAUCCUAUAAAAUCAAGUUUUCUUAUUUGAUAUGUAAGGAAUGAAAGCUGCCAAAAAUUAUCUUGAGAAAAUGAUUAUUCUGAAAAAUCAAUUUUCAUACUUAGCCAAUAUUUUUACAUAAAACAAUUUUUCAAUAUGUAUGAUAUGAAUGCGUGAAGGGACCUAAGGUCAAUCUAGGUAAAAAGCCUUAUAUAUUCAAUCUACAAAGAGUUUUACAAGAAUAACCUAACUCUUACGUAUUGAAGAAAUAUUUUCUUGAAAAAGCUCUCCUUAAGACAGUACUCAUAAAGCUCCAAAGUUUGAGAGCUAGAGCCCAAAAGAAAUGCAGAUAAAGCCCAAAAUCAAAAUGACAACAGACCUCAAAAAUGAUGUAAAUGCCCUAAAAUGAGGAACAUUGCACUAAUAUAUGUCAUCUCUUAUGUCAAAUAGUUUGAGACGCCUUGGGAGGUAAAGAGAACUUUUUUAGUUUAUUAGAGAUAUUUCUGGUUUAUUGUAGUGUGUAUAUAUUUUUUUGAAGCUGAUGCAGUUCUCUUUGAUAAUGAACAUGAGUGUUUUGUAUGGUUUUAUUUAUUAACUAUGAAUUAGAAUAUUAUCGUUUCAUAUCGAUGAGUUUAUUUUGUAUAUAAUUUUUUUUAACCUUUUACACGUAGACCCCUGGAAUGAAAAUUCCUAGAUCCGCCACUGGGUAGAGCAAUACCCGUCCAAGGGUUACCUCCCAAACCUGCUUUGAAUAUGUGGUCUGUUUUUAUUAUAAAAUAUUUAUGCUGCAUUAUAAUUUAUAACGCCUUAAUUUCAUCAUAAAUUAUCAUUCAACUCAAUUGGCACAUGAGAUGGCACUAUAGGGGAAAAGUGGGUCAAACUCUCCUUCUCCUCCCUCAAGUGCACCCAGAUUUGAUUCGUGUAGGAGACAAUCUUGAUGCAACCCAAUAUAAUACUAUUCUCUCUCACUCCCCAGCGAAUAACAAAAACAAAAAAACAAAAAUCAAUUUAAUUAUAAAAUUUAACUAAAUAACUCAAAAUAAUCUCAAUUUAAUUUGACAAAAUAUAUAUAUUAUAUAGUUAUUGAUUAUAUUAUAUUACAAUCAUACAUAGCCACAUUAUAUUAGGUAUUAAUUAAAAAUUAACUAUACCAUUCAGGCUCGUCCUUGAUUAGGAAUUUUUAAAAUUCAGUAAUCUUGUACCUGCCCUUAAUUUUUUUCCAGAAAUUCUCCCCGUUAGGCUCAGGGACCUGAUGAGGCCCCAGCCUGAUUUUAAAACACUACUAGCCCUAUGGCACAUGCUCACGCAUGUGCCAAUUGAUUUUCUUUUUUCUUUUUUAUUUUAUUUUUAGAAUUAAAAAAAGAUAACAUGGGUAGUUAUGUUCUAUAAAAGUAGGACUUAUUAUCUGAUUUUGUUUUAAUUUUUAAUUUUUUAAUAUAAAAAAAUAUAAAUAUACCAUAUUAUCCUCAUUUAAUUAAUAAUUUCAAUUCUUAAUACUUGAAUUAACUUUGAAUGUUUCACCAUUCUCGCCAUUUUGCUUUAUAUAUAUAGAUAUAGAUGAACUGAACUGAACUAGAGAAAUGCUAGCAACCUUCUCUCUAACCUUAUCCUUUGGACAUUCUCCCUUUUUUGUUUGACAUGUGUCAUUCUCCUUACACUUAAAACAAUGUCAUUAAUAUAUUAUACAAUUUAACUUUUGCUUUCAAACUUUGCCCUUAUUAAAUGUAUUCAAUUUAUUCAAAAAAAUUUCACAACUUUUACCAUCUUUUAUUUAUUUAUUUUUUUAACGUCAAUUAUUUUUUAUGUUAUAAAAAACUUAAUAAGAUUGUAAGAAAGUUGUGAAAUUUUUUUGGAUAAAUGGAAUACAUUUAAUAAGGGUAAACUUGGAAAGCAAAAGUUAGCUUGUAUAAUAUAUUAAUGACAUUAUUUUAAGUGUAAGAAGAAUGACACAUGUCAAGCAAAAAAAGGAGAAAGUCCAAAGGAGAAGGUUAGAGAGAAGGUUGCUAGCAUUCCCCAAUGGAUUAAUUGGUCUAAUUUAAUUAUUUUUUUGUUUUGCAGAUGGCAGCAUUUUAUUGGUAACUUCCACCGGUCCUAGACUAGAACCGUGAGCACCAAACUUCUCCCCUGUAAUAAGUAAUUUCUCUCCCCUCUCUCAUUUCGUUCGACCUAAACCCUCUUCUUCCUCGACCAAAAGAAAAACCCUCUUCUUCUUCUGGCUUCUUCGCUCGCCUCCGCCACCGACGUCUUCAUCUGCUUCGCUCGGCUACUGUGGAGGUAAUCUCAUGGAUCCGCAGCCAGAGCCAGUCUACUACAUCUGUGGAGGUACUGAUUUUGCGUUUGUUGUUGGAGAAAGUUGGCGGGCUAGGAAAUAGAGAAGGAUUUCUGAUACUAAAUCAUUGUUUGUGUUUGCUGUAGAUUGUGGGAUGGAGAUUCCCUUGAAGCCAAACGAUGUGAUUCAGUGCCGCGAAUGCGGUUACCGGAUCUUAUACAAGAAGCGCACUCGUCGCAGUAAGUCGCCUAUCCUCAUUCUAAAUAUGUUAUAUUACCUUACCACCAUGUAUCCUUUAUUGGGAUUCUUAAAUCAACUUUUUCUUUUCUUUUUUUUCCUCAAUGAAAUUAACUUGUAUAUGUUUGAAUUUUGAAUUGUUGCAAGCAAUUUUUUUUUUUUUUUCACUUUUUUUUUUUUUUGAAAAGGUGCAUAUGCAAUUCAUCACUUGCUUGCUAUUGAAAAGUACAUAAAUUUGGUGAUUGGAAUGGUAUUGUGAGUUGAAUUUUUAAAAGCCCGCUUAAAAGCACUGUGUGUUCGUCUGGUUGCCACCCUUUUAGUUUAAGAUGUGGAUAUGCUUUACAUUUCAUGCAUUCAUGUUUAGUAAUUAGCAGCUGUUAUCUGUGCAGCACUAAUAAAAAGUUAUUACUUUCAACAGAGUCUAUCACUUGCAAGUAAAGUUAUGGGCUCUGUAGAAAAUAGGUAUGUUGAUGCCAAAUGGUGAUACUGGUGAGAGUGAAAUGAACUUUUAGUUAGUUUUUGGGAUUCUGGCUUUGAAGACAUGGUUUUUUGUGCACAUAACAGAUUGUAAUUAGCUUACACCACGAUGCACAAUGCUGUUACUGAACUUAAUUAGUGGGAUUACUAGGGCAAAGUCAAUUAAAGCAUUGCACCCAAUUAUGCUCUUUUAAUUGAGUUUGGUCUCGAAUUGCUACUAAUUAAGGUCAGUGAUUAGUUUAGCAGUAUGCAUCUUGGUGUAGGCUAAUCACAAUCUGUUGUGCGAAUAAAACAAUAGGCGCAUAUGGCUUUGGUUCCCUGCUCAUUGUUCUUCUUCCUAGAGGGUUAAACUGAUUGAUUAAAGGCAAUUGUUUGGUGUGCCAUUUUGUUCAUGUAAAGCAUUAAAUUAUGCUAGCCGUAUAGUAAAGUGCUAUAUAUAGACUCAUUUCUUUUCUCAUCUGUCAUAAUGGCAUCACUGUGUUAUACAACAGAAGUUAUAUUAAUAUGGCCAUCUUUGGAAAUACACAAAAAGGACAUACACACAAGUUGUAUUGCUGCUAUCAUUUUUUUUUUCUUUCUAUUGUAUUGUACUGUCCUUCAUGUAGCACUGUGGAAUCCCUUUUGGCUAGCAUUUUUAUGGUGCUGUGAGUCCAAUUUCCAGUACAACUGUACAAGUGUUGGUCUUGUGUUUCUUUGCUGAUUAUGUCAAUCACUCUAUCAUCUUCUAUAUAACAUUAUUCAAUGCUUGAUUUGUACGAGUCAUUGUUGUUUUUGCAGUUGUUCAGUAUGAGGCACGCUGAAGAAGGACAGAGGAGAAGCAAGCUUCUUAGAGAGUUUCAAGGGGAUUUUGUGUAAUUUUAUAUACUUCCAGUUUUCUGAAAGAUACUUGGAUUCCAAAUGAACUGAAAUUUUCCAAGUGAACUGAAAUUGCUUAUUUUGGUUGAUGGCCAAUAUUUUGUAAUAUUUUGUGAACUGAAGUUGGCCUUCACUUUCUAUUGCGGUUUCUAGUUUCUGGUUGUUGGCCAAUAUAUUGUGAACUGAAUUUGCAUAUUGUGUUAUAACUGUUACAUGUGCCUUGAUUUGUUAUGCAACCUUUUGUUAUGAGUUCGUUGUGGUACACAUGCUUACUUUGAUGCAAGUGUAACAGGCCCUGAAAUUGCUUAUCAUGUUAUGAAAUGACACUAAUGUAGUACACGUGUUUAUUAUUGAUUGGUUUUCGGCUUUUGUACUUCUUCUUCAAAGCAGCCACCUACCUCCUUCAAUUUCAUUCUCUCUGCCAGAUCGACUUCCUCUAUCUGGUUUGUCCAUCAUCAAGUUAUGAGUGUCAAUUUCAUCAUCCCUUAUAAAUCCAGCACAAUGAAGUGUUCCCUGCAUGGACAAAAUCCAAACUCAAUAGCCCACUUAUACAUUCCAAAACAACAUAAUAACAUUGAUACAAUACAAUGACAAGAUCAGUCUUACUUGUAUUGCAUCUGUCCAAAAACGUCUACCUCGAAUCCUAUUUUUCAUUUGGUGGACACCAAAAAUGUCUAUUAGUAAAAAAAUUUAGGGACAUUUUGAAAAAGGUCGAAAGCUUGACGUAUGGAGCCAAAAAGUUGGAUUUUCUUGCUUUGGUGGUCUUUGGAUUGAUGUUGCAUUUUCUUGAUAGGAUGAUCUAUUCAUGUGAGAUGAUGAUGCUUAUGGCUUCACAUGGAGUUUAUGCUCCCAACAUGUUAUUUAUAUUGUGUAGCUCUUCUUUUCAUAAGCUAUUCCAGUAUGAGUUGUCAUUGUCUUCUGCUUCAAUUUGUUAUGCUAUCUAGUUAUAGAUUUCAUAAAAAACUCUUGCUCAUGUUGUGCUUAUCUUGAUUUCAAAUGUGUCAUCUGCUCUCCUGGAUGUAGUUUCUGAAUAAAUUUUGAUAAAGUUGGAUUGGUUAAGGAGGUUCAGACAAUCAUCAUUGAACAAUUGUUGCUCAGUUAUUAUUGCUCCUCUGUAUUUUUGAAUGUCCUACUUGGUAGAGAUAUAUGUCUUUACUGUUUCUACUGGACUAAGCAGUAUGAGAAAUAAUAAUACUACGUUAUGCUCUAUCUGGAUAAAUAUUAUCCUUAAACUAUUCUGGGCGUAUGCUAGUAAAAUCUAAUUUUACGCUCUUUCGUAAAGGAAUAUAAAAACUUAUAACUUUUAAUUUUGGGGAAAAUGAAUCUAAAUAUUCCUCUUAUGUGAUCAAUUACAAAAUCAUUUGGACUGGACGACGAGACUUGGCGGUCUGGCUUAUCUUCAUGAACAUGCAAACCCUUCCAUUGUACACUGGAACAUUCAAGUUAAAGGGUCAGUAUACAAAACUACCUACCGUCGUAAAGAAAAAUUAAUUCAUUUAUUUUUUCAUAAUUAAGGGUAAUAAUAGUGUUAACCUCAAUAUAUAUAUUUUUUCAACAAAGUUCUGCACCAUGACUUUUUCAGUGAAACAAUACGAACCUAAUUAUUGUGACCUAUUCCUGAGUAAUGGGACCAGGCUUUUGAUAACUCCAGAGUAAAAUAAAUCCCCCUGAUAUAAAACAACUUUUGUUUCCAGAGCUCCAACAAGGCUUUUGAUCUCAAAAACUUCAACAACAACAUUUAAAAAGAGCAAAAACCAAAGAACCUGCAUUUUCUAUAUUGCUUGUAGAAACAUACAUAAAUUUAAUCGAAUUUCAACCCAAUGAAGGUACAUGUACAUGACUUUGUUGGUCAAUCUAUGAUGACCAUAUUAGCUUCACUACUUGCAGUAGUAGUGUUCUCCAUUCCCAUUCCCAUAAACUGUGCUGUGGAAGAUUGCCGCAGACCAUCAUUAUCAUCAUCACAGUCGAUCAAGUGGUCGAGUAAAUCAUAAUCCAUCGAGAAGUCGAGCGCAUUGACUUGGUCUUCUUCACUACCAAAAGGACUAGGCCAAUAUCCAAUAUUAUUGUCAGUGAGGACCAGGCCUUGUUGAGUCUCAUAAACAUCUGACGCCCUCUCUUGGUUACAAACUGCAUACGAUCCCAAGGCUUGUUCCGUGAAUGGUUGUGCGGUGUCCGAAAGCAAGAAAUCGCUCAUUAGGGCAUCGCCAUCACCGCCAGCAUGAAAUUGACUGACGUCAUCAGUAUUGUUUGCCCUAGCUUGGGAAGAGACCACAGUUGUUGGGUAUGCAAAAGAGAUGUCCGGCUGAGAUUGAGUGAGUCCAGUUGGCAAGUAUGAAACGCUCCCACCAACUCCAGUAGCCUCAGACAUGGGAGUGCAAUCACCGAUAAGUUCCUCAAAGCUAGUCACUUGUUGCGGCCUUUGCCUCUUAUUUUGAGAUUGUACUGGAGUGUCAGUUUCAUUAUCCUCUUCUGCAGUUCUCAACUUUCUCUUCCCCCUGUCAUUCUUUCGAAUCCGGCAUAGCACAAACUGAUUGGUUGAGUUUGGUUUGGGCUUCACCAAUGAAGGGUGAAGGCUGUACUCGUGCAUAAUCCAGCAACCGUCUUGAACAGAUUUAGGGUUUUCAUAAUGAAACCUUUUCCAUGUACCUAAAUCGUUCUCCUUAUUCUCCGGAUCACUGACUGUGGUUCCUGAGUUUUCACCUUUCCAUGUCCCGGACCCUAUCGUGCGAGCCGCGCGGGAGUCCUUGUCACUCAGGCUCUUCAAUUUGGUGAAGAAAUAAAGGUCUUCACCUUUGGCUAAGUUGUGUCCACCAUAUUCAUGCCAUAUAUCCCAUGGCUCUAUCUUACCAUAAAGAUCCAUUUCUGGAAUAACAUUUUCAUACAUAAAGGAUGUGCCACGAACCUUGUUAAGAAGAUAAUAUCCCAAUAACUGAUCAUCUCUUGGACGAAAUUUAAAACCAACUGGAAGAUUAACAGCAGACUCACAAGGUGCCAUAUAUAAGCUAUGUAGCAGGUUCCUCUUCGACUUUUGUGGAGAAGAGAAGAUUAAAGAUGAACUUGGUUUCUUGGAAUGGAAAGAAAAUGAGUAUGUAGGCUGGUUGGCAGAGAGAGGGUGUUGGGGUGAUUCUUUAAUAUAUGGUGGUGAUUCUGUAAUGAGUUUCUUCGGGUUUUGUGAGAGGCAUCUUCCUUCCAUUCCUAUAUAUAUAGGAGUAUUAGGGCAACUGGAAGCUAAAUCUUAUGCGGGGAGGAUUUGUGUUGUCAUAUCUCCAUGUUAUAAGUUGAGGAUAAAUACUGAAAAAAAUUAAUAUAAAAAUAUUUGAGAUCCGACAAUAGUGCAAAUAAAUACAAAGAGCUCUUUCCAUUAAUGCCUUUUUAUUUUUUUGUCUGGACUUAUCAAAUAUAGAAAAACAAUUGAUUUUUCAUUUCAAAAUCUCCUUUUUUAUGAACCAUUAUUUACUUAUAUCCCUUUGGUUUCUCUGUGUUUUGUUGUUCCUUUCCCAAAUAGGAUAAGUCUUGGUAUCUGGAGAUAUUUUCAUAGAUAAUGAACUACAAGUGAUGAAAUAUACAAUAUGGAUGACUGUCAAACAUCUGCAAAACGGGAUCCCCUUUUUGAAUUUUUUUAGGUGGGCUAUACGUACUAAAGAUUAUGUUUUAUUAGUUUAAAUUAACAGGUUAUGGUUUAUUCUGGUUUAACUACGGGUAUUUGUUUAAAAAAAUUAAAUAUUUGAAGUUUUUCUCCUUGGUUUAGAUUUCUCUGCAUUAGCCCUACUUCUCGACAGAUCAUGCUCAUGAUUGUUUCUGCUCUAUUUCAGUCUUAUCUUGUAAUAACAGUUAGAAUUCAUAGCUUUUGGUAUUUAGUUUUUAUGGAGAUUUGAGUGUUUUGGAGAGAAUGAGAGUUACAGAGAAAAUGCGACUAUGGAGCUGCAAUAUUGCUGAAGGUACUAUUGUUCAUUUCAUUCCAAAAUUCAAGUAUAAUCGUUAUGAGAGAGAGAAGUGAGAUGCGUCUCUAACAGAUUCACACUGAGAUUAAAUCCUAGCCUUUGAUCCUAUCAUCCUAUGAGAUGAUUCCACUUGUCCUAAUUUGACACUUAGAUCCUAGGCUAGAUAAGAGACCACUUGGACUAUGAUCCAAUGGCUCAGAUUACAUUAGGAAAUUAAAACUUAUCAAAUGAAAUUCAAAGAAUUUGUAACUUUGCCUUCAAGAUAUCAGCUCAAGGGUCACACAUCAACAAUAACAAUACAUUGGGAUUGUUGAGGCCCAAAAAAUUUAGGGUUGGGCCCAAAUAAAUUCCCAGCCCAACGCAAUGUCUUAUUAAGAAAAGAUCCGAUUUGGAGCACACGAAAGUUCGUCAUUCACUCUCGCACGAGUCAUGGCCCACAUGCCAUGCCAAAUAAAUAUGCAUUCUGUCAUGCUAAGAGUUCAAAUAAGCACUGGCUUUACGAGCCCAAGCUAAUUAUCCCGUCAAGCGUCAUAUCCCUCUUCAAAGUGACAAAAUUCAAGCAUGCCAAGCGACAUACAAUGCCAAGCAAAAAAUUAUUAUUAUUACACCUAGCCACGCUACAUGCCCGGGGCUUGCUGAGUGGGUGGAUGGUAACGAGCUUUCAUGAGGCCCAUUGAUGAGCCAAGAAAUGGAAGUUUUGGGCUACUUGGGAGCCCCAAAACUCAAACUCAUUUCUUGAGCCCAAAUAUGUGGGUAAGCAUAAAGGAGAGAAAAAAGCCCAAUACUCUAGAAGAUAUGACCAAAUACCUUAGGAAAAGCCUAGCCCAGUACCUAAUAAAAUAUCUAGCGUUGUGUUCAGCCCUUGCCAAAGCUUCAUAGCGGAGUCAACAUGAAGCCAUUGCAAAACCAGAGGGAAUUUGUACGUGUAGGAGGAAUACCCAUUAGGCAAAAGCUCUAUCCAUUCUUUUUUCCUCUGCGAGCUCUAAUAGGGAAACCAAGAAGAAAAGCAGGUGGAGCCUCACCCACAUGGAGAGGUCCAGCUGUGUAAAAACCUUGGAACCCUAUGAGACUUGUUACCUAUGCGCUCUGGUUAAGGAAAUUUCACCAAAUAGGAGUGAAUGGAAGAAAGUGAAGGAAAAGCAAGGAGGAGAUCCGAUAAGAUUAAGGGGUCGAAGUGCUUAUAAAAAGGAGGCUUCUUCUACCUAGCAAAGUCAUCAUCUAGGGUGCGACCAAGUUUUGUCAAGCAGCUGGAAAUUCACUCAAACCACACCCACUACUUCACCACUAGCUACAACACACAUCUGGAGAUUAAGCUUUAUCUCUCACCUCUGAAACCUCUGCAAUUUCGAGCCCCAUCCUUCCAUUCUCUCAUAUUUUCCCUUUUGGUAAACUCUUCCAAAGCUUGACAGAGUUUUCGUCGAGCUGCCGGAAACUACUCAACACACCUAAUAUACCCCCAUCUCUCUCUUUUCAACAAACCCACUUAGAAUCCCUUCCCUUUCUCCUUAGAAUCCCUAUUUCUCAUAAGAACUCACAGCUCUCUCUCUUUAAUGCUAAACUCAUGAUUGCUUUGCUUCCAUGCCACAAGCCUCUCAUGCCAAGCUAAGAAUUUAUCUGUAAGCGACUUUAGUUUUGCUGGUGAAGGUAACAAAGGUGCUUCUUAAGCCUCAGCUACCCUUUCGAAGCAUUCUCGGGGCCUAAUUCUUGAACUCAGACCUAGGGAAAAUUUGCACCUAGUUGCUCCUUACGGCAGCCCAGGCACACAGUAGCUGCUGGAACAAGCCCCUAUAAGGAUUCAGUUGUAACAACUGCACAAGCUUACUUGUGCACCAAGCAGCAAAUAGAAACUUGGCACGCAUGUCUCUUCCAAUGUCAUAAGGAAUUUUUAAUUGUGUUUUUCCUUCAAACAGUAAAAAUUUCAAGUAGUUCCUUUCUCCUUCUUCUUCCACUUCAAACAGAAAGGAAAAUAAGAGGUGUUAAAAUAACAAUAUUCUUUUUCUUCUAAAUGAGUAUGAAGAUCUAUUGAAGGGAAGAGACUCUUAGCUAGUUGUAUCAUGUUUGUUCUGCUACUAUAAAUUCUAAUAAUUCGCAGCUCCUACACUAUUGUUGCACAUAUAUGAAUUAUGAAAAAGUUAUGCCGUCCAAUAUGCUUGUUUUUUGUUUUUUGUUUUAAUAGAAAAAGAAAAAGAAAAAGAAAAAGAAAACUAUCUGUUAUGCUUGUUAUGUUCUCUUUAUUUUGUCAAAAAAAUUUCUUGAGUUUGGCUAUUGACAAAAACCAUAGCACUUGCACAGUCCCUGAGGGUGGGCAAGGAGGGCGAUGGCCAUGGGCCUUGCAUUUGUAGGGCCCCGAAUUAUAUAUUUUAUAUAUGUACCAAGUUGAUGAAGAAUAUGAUUUUAGAGGAGAAUAAUUUCAAUAGUUUGGCAUUUGGAGCUCCUAAAUCUGAUUACAAGUGUUUCUAAAGAGUCCAAAUGAAAAUUAUGUAAUAGAUGAACAUCAAUUGCAUGUAUUUAAGUAUUUAAUUUCCAAAAAGUAUUUCAUUGCUAAAAGUAGCAAUCAAUGAAAGAAAGCCAAUAGGGACUAGAAAUUCUUUUAUUUAUCCAAAAAUUCUUGUUAGUAGAUUAUUUAGCAAGGAAAUAUGAAAGAGUGCAAAUUAUUUGUAUCCUCAUUCUUGUUUAUUUUCAGAUUGGGGCAGCGAUUAUAUGGCCAAUACUGGAGCCGUGUUUAUUUAUCCAAAUUGUAGUUAAUUGCAUAAUUUUUUUUCCAUGUUAGUUUAUUAUAUUCAAGAGAACGAAAGAGAAAUGGGCCUCAUUUUCAUUUCUAGCCUAGGGCCACUCAAAAGUCAGGGCUGGCCCUGUCUUUAGAGUAAAUACAGUGGUCUGCAUGUAGGAAAGAAUAUGAGACUGCUUCCUUGAUAUCUGUUGAUGGCAGAAUUAUAGGAGAUGACCUCGUGGUGUUCUUUUUAUCCGGGGGACUUCUCUCUUCAGAUAGCAAUAUCAAAAAUUAGUGUUGCCGGAGAGAAAGAAAAAAAGAAGAAGCCAACUAGCCACAAAAGAGAAGAAGAAAAAAAUCACCAGAUGACAAGAGAAAGAAGAAAACUGGCGGAGAGAAAGAAGAAAAAAAUAAAGAGAGAAGAGAGAAGGAAAGAAAAGAAAAAAUAAUAAUAAAAAAAGAAAAAGGAAAGAGGAGAGAGAGAAGAGUGAACUCAUGAUGAGAAUCACACGAUAAAAAAUUCAAUUCCGUAACAAAUUCGCAUUAUUGGACUUCACAACGGAGAAGCGCCCUUAGAUAAAUGGGCUAAGCACACAAGUUGGGCUCAAAUUAUUAAUACAUAUACUUCAAAAAUACACAUCUUUACAAAAUAGGACCGCACCUAAGAGCAACUCCACCCCUUAGGGCAAAGUCUAAGGCAAGGGCAAGCUAGGGCAAGCAAGGGCUGACACUAUUCACGUGAAUAGUGUCAGCCUUGCCAUUUGUGGUUCCACCCACAAGGGCAAAGUCUAGGGCAAUUACUAUUCAUUGUACUUUAUUUCCUAUUUUUUUAUAUUUUAAAUCAUUAAUUUUGAUAAUCUUUUUAAUUAAAUUUUCGGAUAAGAUUUUUGGAUGUGAAUCUCGGUUGCCACGUGUCUUAUUCCAGAUAAAAAGAUUUGGUGUGGAAAAUGAAUUAUGUGAGUGGAGAGUAGAAAAUAUUGUAUGGAGAAGAAAUUGUAUGAAGAUUUGGUGUUGAAAGUAGAUAAAAUGGUUAGGUAUUUAUAGGGAAAAAAUACAUACAUUUUUGGUAUUUUUUAAAAAAAAAUUUCAGAAUUUUUUCGAAUUUUUUUGGAUUUUUUAAAAUUUUUUUGGCCAAAAAAAUGAGAACCGUAGGAUUUAUGAAAAAAAUCCAAUCGGAGCCACCCGGUGACGACACGUGGCAGUAGCCGUUGGAGCUGACAUCAUUGAUGACGUCAGCGCACUUCAGUCAAAUUUUUUUUACCGUUGGCGCGUGUAUUACACGUGGGUCUGUGGGAAAAACUUGAUUUUAGUGCGCUGACGUCAUCGUGACGUCAGCUCAACUCGGGCUCGAGCCCAGUCUGAUUUCGCCCUUGGGCCUGCCCGGGCUCGUGGGACCCGCAGCUUGCCCGGGCUGGAUUGCUUGCGCUGGAGCUGGACUCGGGCUCCUUUUUGCCUUUUGCCUGGGCCAGCCUCUACCGCUGGACUUGCUCUAAGGCCAUAUAUAAUGUCCUCAUUAUAGAAUUCUUGAGGGCGAAACUCCCCACCAGGACGGAGAUUUGUAAGGAAAAUAAUUAUCUUAUUACUAUUCAGCCCAUAACUAUUUUAGAUAAAUGGGCUAAGCACACCAAUUGGACUCUUUGGGAGUCACCCAUCAAACCUUUAAUAAACACUGUAUCAUAUCAGAUCUUUCAGUUUCCCGCCAUUGCAAUUUCCCACCAUUUUUUGUCUCUUUUUAAAACUGAUCAUAAAUAAAUUUUUAAUUAUUAAUUUAUUCAGAUAAAAGAUUAUUUUAUUCUUGGAAUAUUUUAUUAGUAUAAAAGUUGACUUUUUGAUCAGGAAGGAAUUUGGACAUAUCAAUUAGACCACUGCGUAUAGCACAUCGAGAUGAGUUCGUAGACACAUAGUGGACUCAAAUCCGAGUUGUAAUGAGAGAGAUACGAUUAAAAUUCAAGUAGUGGCAAAAUCGUAGUUUUUCGAAAUUGGUUUUUAAAAACCAGAUUUUUCCCUCUCUCUGGGCGCGCUCUCUCUCCUCACUCUCGACUCCAAUCUCUCUCUCUUCGAUUCUCUCUGCUCAGGUCACGGCAAGAGCCGGCGCUGGUCUUGUUCCAACCGGCUCGACCUCACCGUCCAAACCCACCAGUUUUCCCUGCCGGAAAACUCCAAUCCUACCGGCGGUGACGACUGGUUUUCUCCGGUUUUUCCCGGCGUCGCCACCGCGUUUCCGGCGAGCUUCUCCGUCGAACCAGGUAUGGUUUCUCACCUAUUCUUCAAGCUGUAGCUGCCUGUUGGGUAGGAUUGGAUCCAAUUUUGCGGUUAGAGUUCCGUAUUGGAACCUAGGUUUUGGCCGGUUUCUCUCUCCACUCUUCUCUUCUGUAAUUACGUUACCAUUCUCUCUGCGCGCUCGGAGCAAUGAUGGCAGAGACUCCCAAGAGAGGCCUGCAAUCCCCUAAGAAAUCCAAGCGUUUCAACCCCAAACCCUCGCCUUCUCUCACUACUCCAACUCCACAAACCCUGACCACUCCUCGCCGGUCGGCGCGCCGAGCCUUGCUACAGUCCGAUUCCCCCGCCCCUCAGAAACUCUUCGAAGAUUCGACUAAGAAAACCUUGAGAAAAGAUGCGACGGCUGGAACAUUGAACUCCCAGCAAAAUGAUUCGCCCAAAACACGAAGAAAGGGGGAAAUUCCAAAAACCCCAAAAUCUGCAGGGAAGGGCAAGAAAUCGAAGUGUAAAGAGGAGGGAAAUUUGACUGAGGUUGAAGUUGCAUUCUCUCCAGAGACGCCAGGGCAAUCUGAGACUAAGAAGAGGAAGAGGGACGAGGAGAGCAAGGUAGUUACACGCUCGAGGGCCUCGAAAAAUGUCAACUUUGAGAAGAACAAGGCAGUAUCAAGGAGACGGGUUUAUUAUAAGAAGGUUGUGUAUGAUGGGGGUGAAUUUGAGGUCGGGGAUAAUGUUUAUGUGAGGAGGAGAGAGGAUGCAAGCUCGGAUGACGAAUUGGUUGAAGUGGAUGAAUGUAGGGUGUGCUUUAAGUCUGGGAAAGCUGUAAUGAUCGAGUGUGAUGAUUGUUUAGGUGGGUUCCAUUUGAAAUGCUUGAAACCUCCAUUGAAGGAGGUUCCUGAAGGAGAUUGGAUAUGUGGGUUUUGUGAUGCUCGCAAAUUGGGAAGGGAAGUCAAGCUUCCGACACCACCAGAAGGGAAGAAAAGGGUUAGAAUGUUGAGGGAGAGGCUUCUCUCGAGCGAUUUAUGGGCUGCCCACAUUGAAAGGUAGAUGUUUAAUUUGGUUUAAUUUUGUUUAUGGUGCAAGUGUGUGCUGUUAUUUUGGUUGUAAUGUACGUGGCCUUGGUUUGUGCUUUUGAAUUUGUGCAGUAUAUGGAAAGAAGUAGAUGGUAUCUAUUGGUGUCGAGUACGUUGGUAUAUAAUCCCGGAAGAGACUGUGGCUGGAAGACAACCUCAUAAUUUGAGGCGAGAAAUUUAUCGCACAAAUGAUUUUGCUGACAUUGAGGUGAUAGAUGACAUCUAAUCGAUUAUUUGUCUACUAGAAGAAUAAAUGGUUAUAUAGCUGUGGUUGCUUUAUCCCAUAGAAAUGUUCCCUCUGUUUGAAUAAAUUUGUCAUGAUAGGACCUUGUUGUUUUUCCGCAUGAAAGAAAUCAGAAUCACAUGAAGAAAUAGCGAGACGUCCUACUUGUUUUAUUCAAUUGUUCGUUUUAUAUUUUCUAGUAAAGGAUCCUUGCAAUUCUUCUAAAAAAAUGUAGUGAACCCUUGCAAUUGUUAAUUAGAGCAACCAAGCCAAAAACAUUCAUGGCAUAGUUUUGGAUCAGAUAUUAUGGUGAAAAGAGGUAUAUCUUGCCAUCCUUCAGUUUGUAACUGUAAUAUUUCAUAUAUUUACAGAUGGAGUCUAUUCUUCGACAUUGUUUUGUCAUGAAUCCCAAAGAAUAUGCCAAAGCGAAUGAAGGGGAUGAUGUUUAUUUGUGUGAAUAUGAAUAUGAUAUUCAUUGGCACAGUUUCAAGCGUCUUGCUGAGAUUGAUAAUGGUGAAGUGGUAAGCGUUUCUGGAAAUGAGACUCAGCAUUUGAAAAUUCUUCAAAAAUUUCAAAUGGAUUAAAUUGAGUUGAAUUUAUGGGGUUUAACUAUUUGGUAGGAUGAUGAUGGAGCUGAAAGCGAUGAAGAUUGGAAACUUAGCAAAGACUCAGGCUCUGAUACAGAAGAAGAAAUGGACUAUGACGAGGAGAGCAUAAAAAAUAUACUAGCCAAACCAUCUAGAGCUCAUGAACUGGCUGCAGUAUGGACACUAUCUUCUAAUUCUAUCUCAUACUUGUGGCUUUAGUUUGUUUACUUCCCCAAAUUGAACUAGUCAAUUCUGUAUCUACAGAAUUCACAGAAGGGGCGGUUCUUUGGACUUCAGAAGAUAGGAGUUAAGAAAAUCCCAGAGCAUGUAAGAUGCCACAAGCAGACUGAUCUUGAAAGAGCAAAGGCAGCACUUCUGUUGGCAUCAUUGCCUAAGUCUUUACCUUGCAGGGAUAAGUAUGUGAGAAUCAGUUCAUUAAAGGUUUUCUUGAUCUGCGUUACUGUAACAUUGUAAUCAUGGAGACCUGCUUGUGUGCAGAGAAAUGUUGGAGAUAACUGCAUUUAUCAAAGAUGCCAUCUCUGAUGAUAAAUGUCUGGGACGUUGCCUGUACAUUCAUGGUGUUCCUGGAACUGGCAAGGUACGGUCUGUGGUUGUGUUUAUAAAUAGGUAGCUACAUUGUUUCAGAUAGGCUGUAAAUUUCAUUUAUGUACUUUUCAUGGAUAAAAUGAGUUUUAUUUAUUCCUUUUGUAAUAUCUGUGUAACUGCAGACAAUGAGUGUACUAGCAGUAAUGAGGAAUCUAAGAACUGAAGUUGAUGCAGGAAGUAUAAGACCCUACUCUUUUGUGGAGAUAAAUGGUCUAAAGUUGGCAUCACCAGAGAAUAUUUAUAGGGUAAACACAUAUUUAUAUUUGAUGUUCUAUGCUUAUCAUGAUGGCAUGCAUUGCUGCCUUGUAACACACGUGUUUGCACAGGUUAUAUAUGAAGCAUUAAGUGGGCACAGAGUUAAUUGGAAGAAGGCUCUCCACUUGCUAAAUGAACGAUUUUCUGAAGGAAAGAAAAUUGGCAAAGAGGAUGACAAGCCUUGCAUUCUUCUCAUUGAUGAACUUGAUCUUCUUCUGACCAGAAACCAGUCGGUAACCCUUUUUUCUUCUAUCAGUUGGUACCUUCUGCAUUUUAUGAUGUGACUAUUUUUUAAAAACUAUUCCAGUUUUGUGUUAUAUAUAAUAUAGUUGUUACUACCCAUGAUCUUGAAAUAGUCAAAAUUACAUACUUGUAGUGUUUUUUUGGUUUCAGGUUCUUUACAACAUUCUUGACUGGCCUACUAAGCCACACUCAAAGUUAGUUGUAAUAGGUGUGCUUUUAUUUAUUUUCAGUAGGCAUCCUCGUCAAAUGAUUUUUGUAUUCUUUUAUCUCAAAACGAAAUAGAAAAAACAAUGAUGAUGACUAUGAGAUUGUUAAUGAUUGCAUCAUUAACUGUUUGUAAUGAAAUACAUGUUCAGGCAUAGCAAAUACCAUGGAUCUUCCUGAGAAGUUGCUUCCUCGUAUUUCAAGUCGUAUGGGAAUCGAAAGGCUUUGCUUUGGCCCCUAUAAUUACCAACAGCUUCAAGAGAUAGUUUCUAGUCGUCUUAAAGGAAUUAAUGCCUUUAAAGAACAAGCUAUAGAAUAUGCUUCAAGAAAGGUUAGCUGCAUGUUAACUGUUUCAUCAUAAAAUUGAUUUUCUUUUGUCUUUUUUCUAAUAGUUAUUAUUUGGCCAUAGUGGAUGAGCGCAUUGGAAACUCCAUCUCUGAUAGUAUUUGAACAUAUAUUCAGGUAGCAGCUAUUUCAGGAGAUGCCCGUCGUGCAUUGGAGAUAUGCAGGCGUGCAGCAGAAAUCACAGAUUAUCGACUUAAGAAGCUAAUCUCAAAUUCUAAUAAUGCUUUUGAAGGUAUAGACUUCAACCACAACCCCUUUAAAGUUGGAAACUUGAUUUGAACAAUCCUUAUUUUGUUAAUGUUUUGGUAAUCUGUCCUAUUCUCCUUCCACUUCAUUGAAACUGUAUCACCGUAAGUUUCAAUUGCUGGAAUUAUGUAGUAGACAGAAAUAUUUUUGUUUGGUUUUAUUUCUGUCAAUGGUCAUGCACCCGCGGGAAAGAUGUUUUCUGUUAGUCAUAUUUCACACUUUUUAGCUAUUUCUUGCGAUUGAUUGCUUUAAUUUAGUUCAGAUUAAUGACUAAUUUUGGCUUCUAGUUUCCACUCACCACAUCAACAGAACAUAGAGUAUAUAAGUUAACCUUCCAUGAACAUCACUUGAUAUUGAGGUUUGACAUGGCUCCAUAUUGGGACUUCCUCAGAAUAUUGACACUUUGUUCUGAUGUGGUGCCAACUUGCCCAGUUGCAUCUUUAUUUAACAUCAUGGUGUAGACUAUUGAUGCAUUAUUUUGAUUUGUUAUUUAACAUCAUAUUGAUUCUAGUUUGUAACUUUUAUUUUUGUGCUUUUGUUUUCAGUUUUAUGUUAGUGAAACAUUUUACAUUUUAGGAUUACUUGAAAAAUCCAGAAUGCGUUCUGUCAAAGCAAGCUUUAAACUAUACUUCGUAGAGAAAUGUUCUCUUGCCAGACAAUCUGGCAGCGUAAAAUGCUUAUGUUGCAAGACUCUGAAUUUAGGCCAUUUAUUAGGUUGGUUCUUGUCUUAGUGUGUUAUCCAAAUUCACAAUCUAGCAACAUAAGCAUCAUUAGAGUAGUUUAGAAUAUUACUUUUGUCCGAAAAAAAAAAAAACAUGGCCUUUCAUUGGCAAAGAAUCAACUGGUCCCAUAAUGAGAGUUUGUGUCAUAGAAGAGCUGGUUUAAAUAUCAAAUAAUACAUGUUUUGUUUUUUUGUUCUGUUUUUGGUAUUGGUUUUGUUUCAUUUUCUUUUAUUUGAAAAAAAUGAAAAUUAAGCAGCCUUUAAACCAGUAUUCUUUUUUGGUCAACCAAGGAAUUAGAAAUGUCAACUUCUCUUCUUUCCUGUAUCCUGAAGUUUCAAAAGAAAUACUCUGUUACUACAUUGGUAUUAUUAAGCACCAGCAUCUCAUGUAGCUUAAACUCUAUGUGCUUGCUUUGUUUAGGAGCGUUAUUAUCUUGCUUUGAGGCUUUAAUUCUUGACACUUACAGGAUUUAUAUGUACCUGCUUUGCAGGAAAAUCACUUGUUGGAAUGGCAGAGGUUGAAGCAGCCAUACAAGAAAUGUUCCAGGCACCUCAUAUUCAAGUGAGUCAGAUUAUAUCUUACAGUCAUGAUAAAAAAUGAUUUCUGUUGGUGAAACUUCGUUUAUUUAAAUGGUAUGUUACAUCUUAGAAGACAUAAUCAAUACUCUUGAGUGAGGCAUAUGAUGCAGUGAUUACUACCUUAGUAUGCAUUCCUAAUAUGAAAUACAUGAGAUCCAGAUAGCUACAUAGUUUUUUGGUCGAGUAACAAAGAUGAAAAUGGUGUCAGUUGGAGUUUGCUAACUCUUAUAAGUGCCAUUCUUAAAAGGAGUAGCAUGGGGAAAAAUGGCUUUCAGGACCCAAAUUAUCUUUUAAAGUAGUGAAUUUCUGCACUAGUAGCAUUCAACUCCAUACAACUUUAGCUGCAUAAAUUGUUAUUGGGUUGAAAGGAAGUUUUGUUUAUCUAUGUUGUAUCUGGAAGAACAAAAAUUUUUUUUUUAAUAAAAAUUCUCUCUACCUUCUUCAGAGAUAUAUUAAUGCUAAUUCUUUUCUUUGUUUUUUCCUGGCAGGUGAUGAAAACUUCUUCCAGGCUGAGUAAAAUAUUUUUGACUGCCAUGGUGUAUGAACUCUACAAAACAGGAAUGGGGGAAACUACUUUCGAAAAGGUGAACUUCUCAAGAAUUUUCCUGAACAAUGUGUGCAUUUACUUUUUUUGUAUCAUACACUCAGAGUAACUUCGGUUUAAAUAAUAGUAUUUCACACUGGAGGUGAUGAUUAUUUUUGGGCCGCAGGCUUGCAUUGAAAUGCUGACUAAAAGAAUACUUAUUGUUCUUGACUGCUAUACUGCAUCUCAACUACAAACCAGAUUAUUUUUAUUAUGGUUCACCAGUUUCUUUGAUGCCUUCACUGUAUCUAGCUCUGGAAUUUUAAGAUUAAUUGAUAUGUAAUAGUGUUUUCAUUGAAGUUAUGUUUUUCCUUGCAGUUGGCAAUGACAGUCUCAUGCCUCUGUACAAGCAACGGAGAAGCAUUUCCUGGACAUGACAUGCUAUUAAAAAUUGGGUAAGACAUGCGAUGAUACUAAUAACUUGCUAUAUGCAUGUGUAGAAACAUAGUCUAUUGAUCUCCUCUGGUCCUUGUUGUCUUGUCAAAUGGGAGUGUUCUGAACCUGAAGAGUGGCACUAGUUUUGGCUUUUGACUAAGAAAAUAUUGAGUGUUAUAUAAAAUGACUGCUUUCAUUUCUUUUGUACUUUGCACAUACAAUUUUAGGUGAUGGCCCCUCUUCAUUUUAUGUUCUCUUUGAUGCGGAUGUCAGGUUUCUUUUUUAAAUGGCUUUACUCUUAUGAUGUCCAUUUUCGAGUGCUGUUAUUUGUGUCUGCAAUUGCCUUUCUGGAGAAUAGUUAGUGAGAACGAUUAGUGGUUAAUUUCUGGAGUUGAUACUAACUUUAUAUAAGCAUGGAUUAUUUAAUAUCUGAAUUGUACAUUUUUGGCAGUUGUAAACUUGGGGAGUGCAGAAUUGUUUUAUGUGAAUCGGGAGCAAAGCAUAGGUUGCAGAAGCUGCAGCUCAAUUUUCCAAGGUUAGUUUUCUGUCCAGCUCUUGACAUCAUCCCUCCCCCAAAAGUGAUUUCUAUUAGAAUUCUGUUUAAUCCAGCUACUUUGAACUUUGGAUUUGAUGGUUCACCCUUUCAUGCAACUGCAUUACCAUCAGAAGAAAACCUUGGACUAUUCUGUGACCUCAUAUGAUUUUAUGUCUCUCUUUCAGCGACGAUGUCGCAUUUGCACUCAAGGACAGCAAGGAGCUACCUUGGUUGGCCAAGUAUCUAUGAUUCUUCUAGAUUCAAUCAUUUUCGAUUCUUCAUUCAAAAGAAGAGUUUUGACCCUCAUUCUUCAUUUGUUUCAAUUGCUACAUUCUCGUCAUAAAUUUAUGUCACUUCCAAUUGCGAUAUCACUAUCUUUAUUUUCCUCCUAAUAAAUUAUUAUAUCACAUUUGAGACUUUGCGAAAUUUUAGCAGAACAUACUUUAAGCAUCUUUAUUUAUUUAUUUUGGCGAAACAUAAUAUGAAAUAAACAAUUAAAAUCUAAACUUUAUAAAAUAAAAUUAUAAAAAAAAAAAAAACUAAUUAAAAUCAAGUCUUGAAGGUUGAAACCGCGCGCUCGAGCAACCUGGUAAACUGUCAAUUGCAGAAAAGACUAGCUCCUUCCAAGCAUUGAAUUGCCAUUAUGCUAUGAUCCCUGCUGGAGUAGAAUAAAAAUUAGACUUAAUUGAAUUCCAAUUAAAACAAUAAAACUAAAUAACAUCUAACACUGUUAAUAAUAAAGUGAAUGUGGGUGAGAUGUGUUUCCCAAGUGAGGGAAACAUACCACCACCGGCGGUGUUCCCUUUGUUUAAUAGGGUUGGAAGUUUCCGAACGAAGGCCCGAAUACCAUGUUUAGCGGUGAUCCCGAAUAGCUCAGGGGCUUGGUCAGAUCGAUUAAAAGGUUGAGGAGAAGACAGAGUGGAAUUGCAUGCAUGAAUAUUGAUAGAAAUAAUGGAAGAGAAUAAAAGGAUGAAAAUGAAACAGCCAUGUUGGAUUGGGUGAUGAAACUGCACUAGCAUGUUUCUUCGUGAAUGCGCCAUGUCUUUUUGGAAGAUUUAUUUUGCCGACAGACAGCUCGAUUGUAUAUAUUUUUUUUGGGGUUCUUAUAUCUAGGUCUAAAAUGAUUAGCUGUCAUUGGAUUUAGUCCAUGCAUUUUUGGUUUUAGAUGUAGGUCAUUUGACUUUUAUUACUCUUUUUAUUAUGUCGAUUUUACCAUUUGAGAUACAUAAGAAAAACAUUGAAAAUCUAAAUUUAAUGAAUUAUUUACUUGUAAUUAAAUUUCAAGUUUUUAAUUUAGAAUUCUUUCAUUGAUAAUAUUUACCUAAUAUAUGGGUAAAAUACAAAUUAAUCAAUUGAAGUAAAGGCCCACAUAUUAUACUAAUCAAUUAGGCAAGCACUUACAUUAAACUAUGUACCUAACAUACAGGUAAAUAGUGUUCUUAUUAGCAUAAAAAAAAAUUUAGUGAUAAAUCGUGUUACCUAUAAGUCAUGAACAUAAAUUAGAAUACUACCUAUAAGUUAGGAACAUAAAUUAGAAGACUACCUAUAAGUCAGAUACAAAAAUAGACAAAUAAAAUUGUAUGUUGCCUAUAAAAAUGUACAUAAAAUACUAUUAUUCAUUGUCUAAAAUAGGAAAAAACAAAUAUAUACCUAUGCAAUAGGCAAUAUGACAAUAUACCUACACCAUAGGAUAAUUUAUCUACAAGAGUAUAUACUAUACCUCUACCAUAGGGCGAACAAAAAUAAAAAUAAUGGCAUAUAAAUUCUCAUCUUACUCAUUUUAGACAAUAGGGAUAUAAUAGGAACAAAAAAAUUUAAAUACAAAUCAGUUAAAUACAAAAGUUUGAAUCAACAUGUUAAAGAUGGAAUGUAAUCUACGUGGCAAACUAGUCAAGGGACUUGUAUCAAUAAACAAUAAUUCGAGGACUAGACCCAAUUAUUGGUUGGAUUUUUGAACCUCUAUCAAAUUUUCUAUAUUUUUUUUAUGCUACUGGUUUGUAUGUAGAAGCAGCAAGUUGAAGAGUGGGUUGGGGGCAAUUACUUUAAGUAUAAAAAAAUAUUUUUAGUUAUUGGAGUUAGGUUUGAAAACAAUUUUGUUGACCGUAAUUUUAAUUGAGUUCCACUAUUUUCACUCCCUAAUUCUAUUUCUGUAUAUACCUUAUUUUAAAAUUUUGGCUAAAUUGUAACGGUUCUUCGACUAUGACCCAACUUCAGUUUUCGUCCCUCAUGUUGCAAAAUUGUUAUGAUCAUCCCUCAUGUUUAAAAUUAGCUUGAAUUAUGAGAGAGUGGAAGGAUGGGGACCGUGGGGUGGCUAUGAUGGGCAGUUGUUGAAGUCUAGUAGUUUGGUUAAGGGGCGGAGCCAGAAUUCAAUGUCUGGGAGCCAUAAGCUGAAAUUUUAUCAUUGUUUCUUAUUAUUAUCACCUUCCAUUUAUUAUACAUAUACUGAAAGAUAUGUACAAGAAAUUUCUUUUAGUUUUAUUUAAAGUUAAGUCUUUAUUAAGUGAAAGGUGAAAGUACAAUUUUACCCAUGCAAGCGCGCAUCACAUGCACUCAAAUUGACAUAAUUGAGGAAUAUGACUUAAUUUAUUAACCACUACAAAUGCGAUGAUGAAAUUGGAAAAAGUAGAAUAACAAAAACAAUGUUUUUUUAUCGUUAAUUUAAACCCAAUAAAAAUGUUGAAACUUUGAUAAGAAGGUAAAACAUCACCGAGAAAGUGGAAAACACUUACAACAAUAUAAUACAAAUUGCAAGGCCUCGUUGUGUGUGAUGGACUUGUUGACUUGGAAAAUAUUGUGUUACAGGGAAUUUGACAAGAAGUUUCAAAUUUGAAAUGACUUAAAAGAGAUUUCAUUGGGUGGUGCCAAACAUACUUUUUGUCCAUUCUUUUUCUCUUUUUCCUUUCCUCUUGACUUCCUCAUUUUCCCAUUCUCUUUGCUUUCCCUUCAGCAUUGUCUUCUUCUCUGUUUCUUCAGCUCAUUUAUAGCGUAAUUGCUAAAAUAUGAAUAUGGUUUGAAUGUAUUAAGUUGAGUUUUAUUCUUCUCCAUAAGGAGGUAUAUAUAAGAGUUUACAUGUACUAUACAAGGAAUUAGAUACAGUAAAGAAUUAGGAAAGUAUCUCCUAAUUAUACAAUGAUUUAUCAACUAUAUAAAAAUAGGAAAGUAAAUUCCUUAAUUAAUCAAGGAAGUAAAUCUCCUUGAUUAAUUAGGAGACUCACGUCAACACUCCUCCUUAAGUUGGUGCAUAUAUGUCACCAAUGCCCAACUUGGUAAGUGAGUCAUAAAAUACUCUUCCACAAACAGCUUUGGUUAAGAUAUCAUGCCAAUUGAUCUUCUGAUUUUACGAAUGGUAGGUGGAUGAUCUUCUUCUCAAGUUUUUCUUUGAUAAAAUGUCUAUCCAUCUCAACAUAUUUAGUUCGAUCGUGUUGAAUUGGAUUAUGGGCAAUAUCGAUGGCUGACUUGUUAUCACAAUGUAACUCCAUUGACUUUUUUGGCUUGAACCCCAAUUAUGUUAAUAGUCUUCUUAUCCAUAGUAAUUCACAAACUCAUUGAGCCAUUCCUCGAUACUCUGCUUCAGCACUAGAUCGAGAAACUACAUUUUGUUUCUUACUCCACCAAGUGACUAGGUUACCUCUCACAAAAGUGAAGUAACCUGAAGUAGAACAUUUGUCAGUAAUAGAGCCAGCCCAAUCAACAUCUGUAUAUCCAACAACUUCGAGAUCUCUAUUUUUGGAGAACGUUAACCCUUUCUCAGGUGCUGACUUUAAGUAUCUUAAGAUCCAAUCAACUGCAUUCCUAUGGGAGACACAGGGUGAAUGCAUAAACUGACUAACCACACUUACAGCAUAUGCAAUAUCUGGUCUUGUGUGAGCUAAAUAUAUCAACCUUCCAACAAGGCGUUGAUACUGUUCCUUAUUGGUUGGUUCUUGAUCCAUGUCUUCACAUAACUUGUGAUUCAUCUCAAUGGGUGUAGCAAAUGAGAAAAUGAGGAAGUUUGAUGGUGCAAAGAAGGCAGAUGCUAAGAAGUACAGAAGUUUGGUUGGUAGUUUUUUGUAUCUUACGGCAACUAGACCAGAUAUUAUGUUUGCUGCAAGUUUACUUUCACAUUAUAUGCAAGAGCCAAGUCAGAUUCAUUUUAGAGCUGCAAAAAGGGUGUUGAGAUACUUGCAAGGCACACUUGAUUAUGGAAUUUUGUUUACGGCAGUAGAAAAAUCAAGGCUUAUUGAUUACACAAACAGUGAUUGGGCAGAAUGUCUUGACAAUAUGAAGAGCACGUCAGCCUAUGUUUUUUCACUUGGUUUCGGCAUAUGUUCAUGGGCAUCAAAGAAGCAAAAUGUGUUGACACAAUCUACUGCUGAAGCAUAGUACAUUGCAGCAGCUAAAGCAGCAUCACAAGCUGUAUGGCUUAGAAGGAUACUUGAAGACAUUGGCGAAAAGCAAGAAGGCGGCACCAAAUUAUAUUGUGACAACAAAUCAGCCAUUGCCAUUGGGAAAAAUCCAGUGAGUCAUGAUCGUACAAAGCACAUUGCCAUCAAAUACCAUUUCAUUCGAGAGUCAAUUGAGAAAGGUGAAGUUGCACUUGAAUACUGCAAGACAGAGGAGCAGUUGGCAGACAUACUCACCAAGGCACUUCCACAAGAGAAGUUUUGCUAUUUAAGAGAGCUCAUUGGAGUUAUGAAGAAAGUCCAUUAAGGGGGAGUGUUGGAAUUAAUGCACUUCCUUCAUUCUCUAGAAUAUCUCUAUUUAUUGCAGUAGCUAUAGCUGUCCUUAAUUAAUUUGGUAGAGUUCCUAUGCAAUGUCUUUUAGGUUCUUUAGGAAGUAUUCUCUAGAAUAUUUGUUCUCUUUUUAAAAAGCCUUUGAGCUUAUCAUUGUAAACACAAGUUAAGUGAAUCAGAAUACAAAGAGCUCUGCUGAAGCAACUCAUAUUUUUAGCACCUCAUAUUCCAUCACAAAACAACACAAUCUGACAGCAACAAAGAGCAUGACAAGGGGGAGAAGGCUCAGUCUUCAAUAGAGAGCAUAAGAAGGAGAAAGGGCCCAAUCUUCAACAGAGAGCAUUACAUGGAGAAAGAAAUGCAUGGCUCAAUCUUCAACAGAGAGCUAGACACGGAGAGAGUGAAAGAUAAAGGCUCAUCAAUGAGCAGAGAGCUUAACAGGGAGCGUUGAAAAAUAAAAGGAAAUGGCAGCGGCAGAGAGAGAAGAAAAAUUACUGAUUAUAAAAGGGAGGAGAAGAUGGAGAACUAUACAGAAGCAAACACCCUUUCGGGCGAGGAGAGCCAACAACUCUCAAUGUUGGCCAAUGAAGGAUCGCUAAUUGGCGUUAGCCAUUAGCUCUGAUACCAUGAAAGAUUUGAUGAUUCAAUGAUAUUUUCCUUGAUUGAUUCAUCUUCAUAUAGGAGGUAUUUAUACAAGAUUAAUAAUAAUAAACUAAGAGAGAAUACAAAGUGGUACAUGGUGGAUGCAACUAAUACAAACAUAAAACUAAGACAGCGGUGGAUAAUGAGUUGGUGGAUUGGUAGAUUGGUGGAUAACAUGUUCUCUAAUAUAUAUAUAUAUAUAUAUAUAUAUAUAUAUAUAUAUGGGGGCGGAUCCGUGGCACUACGUUUUUGACACAAGUUUUGACAUAAUUUUUGGGCCAUUAGAUUACUCCACUUUUAAUGGUUAAGAUUAAAUAUUACAUGGUAAGUAGUUUUAAUUUUUUUUAAUAGACAAUCAUUAAUUUUAUUCUCUCUCAUAAAAAUAAAAGGAAAUUUUUCUCUCUCCAACUUUUUUGCUGGAAGACGUAAUCUCUCCUGCCUCUUUAAUCUCAAAUAUUUAUUAUGGUCUAAUAAAUAAAGAAUCUCACCAAAAACUAAAUACCCAAACCCCACAUUUGCACGUCUCUCUCUCUCUCUCUCUCUCUCUCUCUCUCUCUCUCUCUCUCUCUCUCUCUCUCUCUCUCUCAGUUUUUGCCUUCUUCGUUGGGAGAAAAGCUUUGCUCCAGGUACAUAUUUCAAUUUUCGAUUUUCUUGAUCAGAUUUGGUUUAUUUUAAUUUUAUUUUUGUUGGAAUUAAACUAGAAUCUCUAGAUUAGGAAUUUAAGGAAUUAAUAGUUUCCAAGGGGAUUAAGUUUAUUUCUUAGGUAUCUAUGAUUAAGCUAUUCAUUUCAAUUUGUUUCAAAUUGUUGGUAGGAUUUCUUAUUUUGAGGGUUUGAUUUAGGGAUUUUAAUCUUCUCAUAUAUGAAAAUUUUGACUAUUACUUUUUUUUUUUUGUCCCGAUUAAUAGGGACAGAAUACAAGGAGAAAAUUUGAUGCAACACCAACUUGCUUCAACCUCCUCCCUCUUUGGGGUUGGUUCUAGAAAUUGAUGGAUUACCUGUGCAUUGACAUAUGGAAUUACAGUUUAUGAAUUGUCUUUGCUGGGCUGUCCAAAAUGAGUGUUUCUUCAAAUGGCCUCAACACCCUGGUUGUACUCUGCUCCCAUGUGGUCCUAUGUAUGUUUGGUUGUUAGUUUUGGGUUUUUGCCCACGGGUGGCUUUUAUGAAAGUUCAUUUUUCUGAUUUUGCUGUGGUUGUCACUGGGAAGAAAGAGCUGCUUGAGUUUACAGCCCAACCUUUUUUAUUACUAUGAUUUCACCUAUGGAAGGUGAUCUGCUGUAGAAGAUUAUUUGAUGAGGAAGAUUUCAUUCGUCUACGUGUUAUAUGUGUAUGAAAAACAAAAAUUGUUUAUUCACCGUAGUAAAGUGAUUAAUUUCCUUAAUUAGAAUAACAAGUUUUACACAAGUUCAUUGCAAAGUCCAUCCAUUGAUUUUUGCCUUUUUUUUUUCCUGAAGACAGAGACUGCCAUCUGAAAUCAUUUAAGUGGGCACCUGCAAUAUUUUACUAUCACGAAACACCCAUAAACAACGGAUUAAGAACAGUUUUGAAACACAUUGUGUAUCAAAUAGUACGUAAACAUUCCUGAUACAAGAUAUCAUAAUCCAAAAAGCAUAUAUUCAUAUAAUUUGUCUAUGUAAUGCCACAUAUACGGAGAUAACAAGACCAAUGAUCACCAUUGCAACAAGAGCUUCCCCCUGAUGAACAUAAUAGACUAUUCCUGAUGCAAGACAAGAUCAAAAUACACAAAUGAGCAUAAAUUAAAGUAAAAGAAAAGAAAAUUGAUCACAACUUUAAAAAAACAAAACUCACCAUUAACAAUAUUCUUGGUCAUCACUCUCCAUAUCUUGGCACAAAUCUUCUGACUCUUCAUUGCCUAAAUUUAGAUUCAUAAGAAUUAAAUUAAACAUAAGCUUUUGACCUUACUAUUAGAAUAUAAAAAAACAAAAAAACAAAGUGAACCAACUUACAUAGAUUUGUUGAUUCAUUCUUUCUUCUUUUCAGAUUUGAUGGACAAUUUCUUUUGUCAUGUUGGGCUAUCUUUUUGCAUAAUGCACACUUUCUUUUCUUCUUGUUUUGAGCCAACUCAAUACCACUUUUUAGCCUUUUUGAACCGCUAAUAUUGUCCUUCUUUCUACCCUUAGUUUGUGAGAUAUUAGGGUCCAAAAGCAACAAUUGAGAGGAAUCAAUAUUAGUACUACAUGGAUCACCUGUGGUUGAGGAAGGAAUUGUUGCAUGCUGAGUAGAAUUGUCUGACAGUUUCUUGGACAAUUCAUUUAGAGCUUCGAUAAAAGUUGUGUAUGCCUCAUUUGAAGAUGCUGCAAUGCAAGCCAACUUUGUUGCUUGAUGACACAUAUGGCUAAGUCGCAAAGCCUCUGAUUCUUCUUUACCAUCAUUUGUCACCAAACUUUUAAAAUCCAUUAUCCUAAAUUUGUUUGCUUCUUGUCUCCAUCUUGGAAGAAUAAAAUGGUCAGGUAGUGUAUCUAUAUCAAGGCGAACAAAUACUUUCAACAAAUGUCGACAAAGUAUUCCAACAAACUCAAAAUUUUGGCAUUCACACAUACCUUUGUAUGUUUGCAAAUUUAACUUCACCACAAACUCUUCAUGCUCUCCAAGUUUUGUUUUCACUAGGUAUGCAUGAUAUUCGUCGUCACAUGGAAUUUCUUCAACUUUGUAGAGAGUAACUUUACUCCAUUCAUCCUUAAACUUGUUGAAAACAUUUCUAGUGUAAAACUUUGCUGCAUGUUUCAAAAGGAAUUCUCCUUCAUUCACAAUGCGAUACUUGUGUUCUGAUUCAAAAUCUUCAUCACUUUCUCUAUCCAUGAUCCUCUUUAGUGCUUGCUCAUAUUUGACAACAAACUCUCUAAGAUUUGUUGUCGGUGUGACGAAUCCAUCAAAAAAAGAAUUAAUACCCUCACUACGUCCAGUAGUGUUCAUUCCUGCAAAAAAUAUGCCACGAUUAUAAACAGGAACCCAAGAAGAACGUAUAUCAUAUAAACUAUUCAACCAGUCAUCAUUAGCCAAUUCACAUUCUUUCAUCAAUUCCUUCCACUUUUCUUCAAAUUCCUCUAUCUUGUAUGUUGACCGAAUACAUUUCUUCAUCUGAAUUUUGAAUUUGGACUUCUUGAAGUACACAUGUGACAAUUUUUCUGCAAACUUCUUUUUAAUAUGCCAGAGGCAUAACCGAUGGCGAGUGUUAGGAAAAAUCUUGGCAAUUGCUCCUUUCAUUGCUAAGUCUUGAUCAGUAAUAAUGGAAACUGGAUGACGUCCUCCCAUUGCUUCAAGCCAUGUCUCAAACAACCACAAAAAUGUCACCUCUGUCUCAUCUUGUAAAAGUGCACAUCCAAAUUGUAUUGAUUGCAAAUGGUGGUUUACUCCUGUGAAUGGUGCAAAUGGCAUAUCAUACUUGUUUGUCCUAUAGGUUGUGUCAAAUGUGACUACAUCUCCAAAAUAGUUGUACGCCAUGCGUGAUCGAGCAUCCACCCAAAAGAAAUUAGCUGCCCUUCCGUUUUCAUCACAUUGAAUGGCAUAAAAAAAUUGAGGAUUCUCAGCUUGCUUCUUCCUAAAGUAAGUAAGGACUGACUGUGCAUCACCUCCAUCCAGUUGUCUAUGCCGGACAUUUCUCAAGUGGUUAUAACAAUCUCUAUUGUUAAAACCAAUAUGCGGGCCACCAAAGAUUGAAGGAACUUUUGCAAUUGGCAAAUUUUCUUCAUGAAAUGUUUCAGUCAGAAUUUUAGCUGCUUUCGGCAUAACCCUAUUUGACUUCAUUUUCAUUCUUCUUUCCGGUGUAACUGGCUUGUGAUUGUGAGAGUCUUGGAAACUUGAAACUUUCCAUUUGUUUGACCAUCUAUCAAGCUUAAUUCUCAUACUUGCUUUGCAUCCACAUUUCACUGUAGAACAAUUUUUACCCGUUCUCUUCAUAUUCUCAAUCUCAUUUAUGUCUUUCUCAUCAUUCUCUUCUAAAGCCUUCUGUGAUGUAUUUUUGGGCACGUAUUUUCCUUCAUGUGCACAAACAAAUUGUCUACUCGUUACCUCAUCUAAACGCCUUCUUGUCUUGGAGGAAGAUCGAGUUCUAAUCCAGAAUCCCUCUUGUCGGCCAUACUCUUCAUAAUAGUUUCUUGCUUCUUCCAUUGUGUCAAAUACCAUCCCUGAAUAAGGCGCUUUUAAUUGUGUCACUUUCUUUUUUGGAGUACUUGUUUCACCAUUCUCCACUUGAAUUAUCUCCUCUACCUAUUGAACAUAUAUUAAUCAUUCUUAACGAUGCAACUUAGAAACAUAUUAUACAUAUGUUAAACUUUCAUAUUGACACAAGAUGAAAUAUAAUGGAAUAAACUUUCAUACUGAUUUUAAAAAAUAAUUCUUAUGUUAAAAACAAUCAUUAAUGGCACUACGAAAUAUUUUUUAACAUAAGAAUUCUUAAUGGCCCAAUAAUUCAGCAAUCCUAAGAUCGUAUAAACUUUCAUAUAACAUCAUAUUUAUAAAAAAUAAAAUAUAAAAAAUUCAGCAAUUCUAAUUGUCUACAGGAAGAGCUACAACAAAGAUUAAAAAAAAUAAAAAAAUAGAAAAAUAAAAUCUCAGAUGAAGGUAACAUACCAAAGAUAUGCACUGAGAGUUGGAGGAAAUAUCUUGUGUGCGCUCCAACAUUUUGAUGAGGCAAUAUUGUAUUCAGAUAUGAGAAAUUGCUUUGACAUAAAAGAACUAUACUGAAGAUGAAUUCAUGGUUGCGUAUAUGCUGUGCAUGAAGAAGGAUGAAGAAGGAUAAACUGAAAAGAGUCCUUAUUAGACCUUAAUAAAUAUUUGAGAUUAAAGAGGAGAGAGAGAGAGAGAGAGAGAGAGAGAGAGAGAGAGAGAGAGAGAGAGAGAGAGAGAGAGAGAGAGAGGCGUGCGAAUGUGGGGUUUGGGUAUUUAGUUUUUGGUGAGAUUCUUUAUUUAUUAGAUCCUAAUAAAUAUUUGAGAUUAAAGAGGCAGGAGAGAUUACGUCUUCCAGCAAAAAGGUUGGAGAGAGAAAAAUUUCCUUUUAUUUUUAUGAGAGAGAAUAAAAUUAAUGAUUGUCUAUUUAAAAAAAAUUAAAACUACUUGCCAUGUAAUAUUUAAUCUCAACCAUUAAAAGUGGAGUAAUCUAAUGGCCCAAAAAUUGUGUCAAAACUUGUGUCAAAAACGUAGUGCCACGGAUCCGCCCCCUAUAUAUAUAUAUAUGGUAAUCAACUAUAUUGGAAAUUUGACUAUAUUCUACGUACAGUGUACGUCGGUUCGAAACCAAACAAUUUAGUUCAUUCACAAUCGCAUUCGAUCUAAUAUAAAUUGAAAUGUGAUUUUUUCAUUCCGAUCCAAUCAUAUUAAAUGUUUAAAUUCAAUUCAAUCUGAUCCAAUUAAUAUUGAAUUGGACUGGAUUGGAUGACCGAUUUUGAUAAUGAAAAAAGACAAUAAUUAAAUAUUAAAUAUUUAUCCUUAAGUUUAAUCUAAUCAAACAUAUUAAUAGACGUAAAUGUAAAAUAUAAAUGAAAUACUUUUAAAAAGAAAAUUAUUUUGAUUAUAUAAUAUAUUAAACAUAACUUCAUCAAAUGACUUAAAAUAUUACAAAUACCUACAGGAACAAAAUAAGCAUAAAACUAACCAUAUUGGAUUGAAUUUGAUUGGAUUCUAUAAGUAAAUUCGUCAUCCGAUCCAAUCAUUAAGGAAUAGAGUCGCGAGGGUUUUGCUUUGUGUUAAAAUACCUUUAUGCCCAUUCACGUGCGAUGCACAUGUCUGUUUGACAGAUUGUCCUACAUAUUGGCUAACAUAUGUAAAUAUAGGGGACUAAAUUAGCCAAAUUAAAAACAUAGAGACUAAAUUGGCUUAAUGGGUAAACACGGGGACUAAAUUAGCCAAAUUAGAGACUAAAUUGGCAAAUACAGGGACUAAAUUAGCCAAAUCAAAAACAUAGUGACUAAAUUGGCUUAAUGGGUAAAACAAAAGGACUAUUUUGACUUUUAAGCCUUUAAUAAAUUCAAUAAUAGUCACAUUUUAGGGCAAGAAGAAAUCAAACCCCAACAAUUAAUAGCUGAAAAUACAUAAAAAUACUUAAACAAGUUUCUAAACUUUCUCUGCAUCCUUAUGAUCAUAGAGCCUAUCAUGCACGCACUUUUUUCAUCACACAGAGCCUAUCUUGUACAUUGUUUAGGAAUUGGAAAUAUGCAUCUCUCCACGUCUUUUUUAGCAUUAAAGGACCACAAAAUCCACCAAGUCCUACGAUGAAGCCAAGCACAACCGAAGUAUGAACCAACGAAAGUUGGGGCUCAUUCUCCAUAUCUUGGCUAUUACGGUGCAUUAGAGGACACACAUUCCGAAGAGGGGCACCACAAAGUUUCGGAUUCCCCUCAAAUGCAGAGACAUCAAAGCUUUGGAGCUGAGUGCCUUUGGGUAUUGGCCCUUCAAGAUUAUUGUACGAGACAUUCAAAAAGGACAAGAAAUUAAGGCUCGUCAAUGAUGGUGGGAUUUCUCCGGACAAGUGGUUCAUUGAAAGAUCCAACGUCUCCAACUUUUUCAGGUUGGAUAUUUUGUCGGGAAUGUUUCCAGAGAAAUUGUUGUCGUCAAGAUUUAAUGUAUGAAGAAGGACCAAUUGGCUGAUCUCAGUUGGUAUAUUCCCACUGAUGCUAUUUUUGUGUAGGUGUAUAGCUGGUGGAAAGAAAGAAAGGGAACUGUACUGCAAAAAUUCUGCAUCACUUGCUGGUUUGACGAAGAAAGGCAAUUGGAGAUAAGUAUGAUCUACUUGAGCUGCAGUUUGUUCAGACACCAACAUUGGUAAUUUGCAAAGUUGCUUUGGAAGCUCACCUGAAAUUCGGUUGUUGCCCAAGUUUAUGUGAAAGAGGCUUCGAAAAUUCCCUAACCAUGUUGGAACUGAGUCUGUGAAUCUAUUAGAGGACAAAUCCAAGACCUCGAGCUUUUUUAUUUUGGAUAACCAUACAGGUAAGGCACCAGUGAGCUGACAACCACGGAAAGACAAAAUACCAAGAUUUUGGAAUCCAUCAACACCAACGAUGCCAUCACCAUUUGGCAUUUCUUCACCUAUAAAAUUGUUUGAAAGGAUUAGAACCUUCAGACUUUUGCAGCCCAUCAGUAUAUUAAGUGCCCUUGUGAUAUUGGACAAUCUGCUCGCAGAAAGCGAGAGGAAGGACAAAGAUUUCAGUGAAAGAAUCUCAGGUUGUAUUUGUCCGUCUAAGUCAUUUAAGCUCAGCCGAAGUGCUUUCAGGGACUUGCAUGAGUAAAGGCUAGUUGGGAAGACACCAGUGAAUUGAUUACUCAUAAUGUCAAGUUUAGUAAGGCGACUAAGUUUGGAGAAAUCAAGUAUGGAGAGCUUUCCUACAAAAUGGUUGAAUCCGAGGUUCAAUUCUCUAAGGUUUGUGCAAUUCAACAAAGACGGGGGUAGAGAACCUGUUAGAUUGUUGAAAUGAAGAAGAAUGAGUUUCAAUUUGGAGAGCUUGCCCAUAUUCGUCGGGAGCAUGCCACUGAAUUGAUUAACAUAUAGUUCAAGGAUUGUGAGGUUGGUGAGGUUGACAAUUUCAUCACUAAUGUCUCCAUGAAGCGCAUUGCUAGGUAACGAGAUUUCUUCAAGUGUGGUAGCAUUAUAGAUAUCUUCUGGAAGUGGUCCAGAGAGCCUAUUGUAACCAGCACGAAAAACCUGUAGUUCGGAACACUUCCCUAGUCCACCAGAAAUAUUGCUGCUGAAUUUAUUGAUGGAAAAAUCCAACAGCCUAAUCAGGGUAGAAGAAUGUAGACAUAUAGAGGAUGGGAUAGAACCUGAGAAGGUGUUGUUCUUGACAUUGAAACUAGUCAAAUUCCUAGCUCGUCGGAAGAAUGAUGAUGGAAUCGCACCAUGGAAGUUAUUGUUGGACAAGUCCACCAUGCGAGUGCUGGAUGGAAUGAAAAGUGGUAGCUCUCCAAACAGACGAUUAUAGCUCAAAUCAAGGAUCUCAAGACAAUUUAAGGACAAGAAGAAACGGGGUUCAAGUGAACCGUAGAGUGAAUUGUGAGAGAGGUUCAAAAGAGAGAGAUACGUGAGAUUUUCAAGUGAGGGAAAAAUACCUCCGUUGAGAUUGAGCCCUGAUCUGGAGGGCAAGUCCAAAUCUGUGACCCAACCGUCGUGAUCACAGGUGAUGCCCUCCCAAUGGCAACAAUCAAUGGAAGUCCAGUUCAAAGAAGGAGAAGACAGUGUGAGAGCAAAGGACAAGAGAGAGCUACGUUGAGUUUCAUUGCAUGCAUAAUUUGUGGACAUAAUGGAGGACAAUAAGAGGAAGAAAAGGAGGCCACGAGCCAUUUGAUGGUAAGGGAUAUUCUCUACUUGCAUGUUUCUGUGAUGUAUUUGCUUAUAUUAUGUGUAUUUAGAUUUCACAGGUUUGUAUUUAUAAUGGGGAAAAUUUAUAAGAGUUUGAAGCAAUGCAACUAAAAAGCAUAAUGUCUAUACAUCAAUAUAUAUUGAACGACUCAGAACAUCUCCUAACUAACUGAGAAAAUGGUAAUUGCCAAAAAAAUAAAAAUAAAAAAAAUACUACACUAAUUAUAUUCAGGAAAAUAUGUGCUUAGCUUGACAAUCGACAGUAUUUGGAGUCAAUUAGACUUUAAAAUAAGAGUUCCGGUCCUCCCACGCAGCUCUCGAGAGCCAGUGAGGUCUGUAUUGGAAGUCUCUCUAUGACGGGUAGGAAAACUUGUAGUCUGUAUUGGAAGUCUCUCUUUGACGGCUAGGAAAACUCUUGUAUGGCUCUCGAGAGCUGCAUGGGAUGACCAGAACUCUUAUUUUAAAGUCUAAUUGACUUCAAAUAUGUCGAUUGUCAAGCUGAGCACAUAUUUUCCUGAAAUAUAAUUAUGGUAAUGGAAAAUAUUUCAGAUAUAGGAUUAGACGAUACAAGUCUUUUCUCUCAUAAUCAGCGAACUUCUUGUUGAGAUAGUUGACUGUCAAUUAAAUGCAUUAAUUUUUAGGUUUGAAAUGCAAAACAUUUGGUUGAUUUUUUUGUUUUUGGUUAAUAGUUCAAACUACGUUUGGUUGAACUUUUUGUUUUUGGUUAAUAGUUCAAACUACUUGAUACGUUUUGUUGAAAAGUUGUAAUUGUAAGAUACGGAAGAAAAGUUGUAAAAGCCAAGCCUUUGUACACCUACAAAGUCAUAAGUCGCUUCACCAUUACUAGUUCUAUAGUCUGCCAUUCAAGUAUAUUAUAGACUUUGUACACCCAAUUAAUGAGGUCUUCGCUUCGGUUUUCUUUUGUGGUAAAAUCUCUCUUCGACGUAUAUAUUGAUCGGUUUGAAGAAUAUGUGGCUGUGGUUGUUUCCCACUUUAUCAGUUUGUAAGCGACGUUUUGAAGUUUCAUUUCAAGCUAAAUUUAAAAAAAGAAAUACGAAUUCUUUGUUAUUGGCUUUAAUUGCUCCUAAGUCCUAGCACUCUGAUUUGCUCCAAUAUAUAAACACAAACCUGCAGACAAUCUAAAUCUAUCAAAAACCAGACACAUUCAAGAAGAAAUAAACAUGCUACUGCAGUCUGCUCUCCCACUGUCUCAUGGCUUCCUUUUCAUCCUCUUGUUCUCUUCCAUUAUUUCUACAAAUAUUCAUGCAUGCAACCAAACUGAAUGCAGAACCCCCAUGUCCUUCUCCCCCAAUACGUCUUCUCAUCCUAUAAAUUGGACUUCCCUUAGUUCUUUCCAUUUAGUGGGCAUCCCUCAUCGUCAACAAGGUCGGCUUCUAGAUGCAGGAGACACCAGUAAAGGCGGUAAUUUUCCCCCACUUAAGAAACAUAUUUCACCCACAAUUUAUAAUUUAGAUCAAUGGAAUUUGAUUGCUUGGGUCCAAAAGUAUUGUAUAUGAACAUGGCAUCCCGACGUGAUGUUAUCGAUUCACACAAAUUUAGAAUAUGUUACUUAUGAGUCACCACAUGUUAUAAUUUGAAUGAAUUGGUAACGUGCCACAUGGUGUUAUAACUAAACACAAUUCUUCAUAUCUUUUUAUUUUUUAGGAUUAAAUACUUUUUGGUUAUUGGGUUUUAUAUGAAAAUUCAAUUUGGUCACUGAGAAAAAAAUUUAGCCAAAUUUGUCAUUGUGUUUCUCAAAGUACACAAUUUAUAGACAUUCGCAUGGUUUUAUAUAUACUAAUCCAUUGUCUGGUUUUAUUACUUUGAGCAGGGGUCAUUGGAAAUAGGAGUUAGAUUUCAUGGAUGCAAGCUUUUUCAUUGUGGAUCUCCAUUUUGGUGGCGCUCCACAAUAUAUCACGUUACUCGGUUUCAAGAGUUUAUUCGAAUUGUAUCUUCAUAUAUUUUAGAAUGCUCCAUCAAUCUUUUCAGCGACACCUUCACUCUCCAUAUCUGCAGGCAAACGCGUGAAUAAGCCUUAAUGCAUCUAUAAAAAAAUACAUACAUUAGUACCAACUUAUUUAUUUACUUCCAAUCUCAGCAGCCUCAGAAAUUGGCCAAGAGAUUAUCUUGUAUCCAAGCUUGAUGAAUCAAUGAUAACUUGGGCUUUACGUAAUCCAUCUCCCAAAUCAAACUACUUUGAUUGCACUUUACCUCAUAUGAUUUUUCAGUCUUUUUAAUAUAAUAGCUUGCAGGCAUCAUAUAUUUACAAAUUAGAAAUCAUAUGAGGUAAAGCCUAGUAGGUGUUGGGGUAUAUCAGAAAAGGCCUCGGUACUAUUAGUAGUGGAACCAUUCAUAAGGCCUCGGUGCUAUUAGUAGUGGAACCAUUCAUUAUAUGUUGUAUUUUAUUUAGUCAAUUUUUCAAUUGUGAGACUUUAUACCCUUCAACAGAAAACUACCACCAUCUGCGCUUUACAUCAUGCAACUUCUUUCUGUAGGGACAAGUACAGGUUAUAUAUACAACUAUGAUGUCAUACAUAAUUUAGGCUGACCUAUCUUAACAAGAAUCUAAAGCUUAACAAACAUCUAUUAGAAGAUGGAGCAACAUCAAACUAAACUCAAAUAUAACCCAUCACAUCCAUCAUAUUGACAACAAAUUGAAAACUUCUUCCAGUUAAAGGUGCUCCUAUCAUUUAUCUUGUGGUGUGAAUAGAGAAUAAGGGUUUCUUCACAUACAUGAAGUUAGGUAAAGACUGCAGUUCUUAAGCUAUAAAAGAGAUGAUGUUAACAGAAAACAUACUUGUCAACACUUUGAACAGCUAUUGCAGUUGAAUACACAAUAGGUGCCCAACCAAGAACACGAAGCUUUUCCCUAACAUCCUGCUCAUAGUAUGUUGCAGUAUGCUGGUUUUUAUUCGGUAUGGUAUCCCAUUUGUUUACAACUAUCAGGCAGCCUUUACCUUCUCUUUCUAUCCUAAGAGAUACACAAGAAAUAUACAUGUGGAAAAGAAAACAUCUCAUUAAUCAAAAUUCCAAGAUGCCAAUAUUGCUUGAAGAAAUUUCGAGACGCAUAUUAUAUGAUCAAAGCUUAAAAAAAUGUCUUGGAAGAAAAAAAAGAGGCUAAGUUUUCACUAUUACUCAUUCUUCUAUGAGUUAUUAGAUAAUAAACUAUAAACUAAAUACUACAAAUAUGAAUAUCUUUAGCAUCAAAGAGCUUUCAUAAGAACUGGACCAAAUAUAUAUAGUUGAAAGUUUUCUAAAACAUGACAACUUUUUUUGCUAUCUUUUCAGUGAACACUAGUAAAAAAAAACCCCUUGCGCGACCAAAUUUUGCGCGACGAAAAACUAUUCGUCGCUCAAAGUCACUUUGCACGACGAAACUUGAAACUUUGUCACUCAAAGUCUUGCGCGACCAAAUUUUGCUCGACGAAAAAUAAUUCGUCGCGCAAAGUCACUUCGCGCGACAAACUUUUACGCGACGACAAUACAUCGUCGCUCAAAGUCUUGCGCGACCAACUUUGCGCGACGAAAAAUAAUUCAUUGCUCAAAGUGACUUUGAGCGACGAAAAGUAAACUUCGUCGCGCAAAGUCCUUAUAAAAAUAAAUAAAAUAUUUUUUAAAAUCUUUGCAUGACGUAAUCCAAACAUUUUGUCACUUAAACCAAUUUAUUUUUGUUUUUUUAUUUUGUAUGCAUAACACUUAAGAAAUUAAACGGUAUAUAUAUUUAUUAAGUAGCUUUAAAUUUAUUAUUUUAGAUCGGAUCAGAUUUUUAUUAGAAAAAUAUAUUAUUGUUGUUCGGAUUGAGUUUUGUUAGAAAAUAUAUAUUUUAAAUUGACGAUCGAAUAGUUCAUUGUAUUCAUAUAGGGUCAAGGAGUGUAGCGGUAAAAAAUCAUCAAAAUCGGAGUUAAAAUAACCGUUAAAUCGUAAUUUUUCAUUAUAACCGUCGAAAAGUUUUGUCCCAUUACUUGAUCUCUGAAUGUUUAUUUUUUCCGAUUUUUGGCGUAUAUGAUCUCGAAGUAUAAACAAACAAGUUUGACGGUUGGAUCGUUGAAACUAGUUUUUUUGAAUGCAUAUGCCAUCAAAACAAUAUAUUCACUAACAAUUAAGAGUUUAUUUAUACUUUCGUUAAAUAUAACAUAAGAUUUUGUGGUAUCCACUAGUGUAAAUAUUUUAAAUUGAAGAUCAAAUUUAGUCAUUGUAUUCAUAUAGGGUCAAGGAGUGUAGCUGUAAAAAAUCAUCAAAAUCGGAGUUAAAAUAACCGUUGAAUCAUGAUUUUUCAUUUAUAACCGUCGAAAAGUUUUGUCCCGUUACUUGAUCUAUGAAUGUUUAUUUUUUCCGAUUUUUGGCAUACAUGAUCUCGAAGUAUAAACAAACAAGUUUGACGGUUGGAUCGUUGAAACUAGUUUCGUAGAAUGUGUAUGCCAUCAAAACAAUAUAUUCACUAACAAUUAAGAGUUUAUUUAUAUUUUCGUUAAAUAUAACAUAAGAUUUUGUGGUAUCCACUAGUGUAAAUAUUUUAAAUUGAAGAUCAAAUUCAGUCAUUGUAUUCAUAUAGGGUCAAGGAGUGUAGCUGUAAAAAAUCAUCAAAGUCGGAGUUAAAAUAACCGUUAAAUCAUGAUUUUUUAUUUAUAACUGUCAAAAAGUUUUGUCCCGUUACUUGAUCUAUGAAUGUUUAUUUUUUUUAUUUUUGGCGUAUAUGAUCUCAAAGUAUAAAAAAACAAGUUUGACGGUUGGAUCGUUGAAACUAGUUUCGUAGAAUGCAUAUGCCAUCAAAACAAUAUAUUCACUAACAAUUAAGAGUUUAUUUAUACUUUCGUUAAAUAUAACAUAAGAUUUUGUGGUAUCCACUAGUGCAAAUGUUUUAAAUUGAAGAUCAAAUUCAGUCAUUGUACUCAUAUAGGGUCAAGGAGUGUAGCUGUAAAAAAAUCAUCAAAAUCGGAGUUAAAAUAACCGUUGAAUCAUGAUUUUUCAUUUAUAACUAUCGAAAAGUUUUAUCCCGUUACUAGAUCUCUGAAUAUUUAUUUUUUGCGAUUUUUGGAGUAUACGAUCUUGAAGUAUAUACAAACAAGUCUUACGGUUGGAUCGUUGAAUGGUGUGUGUAUAUAUAUAUAUAUAUAUUUAUUAAGUAGCUUUAAAUUUAUUUAUUUUGUACGUAUAACACUUAAGAAAUUGAAUAGUAUAUAUAUUUAUUAAGUAGCUUUCACCUUUAUUAUAUUUUAAAUCAUAAAAUAAAUUUUUUUAUUUUUUAUUAUUCAAAACAAUUAUUUUUAUAAAUAUUGUGCUACGUUUUCGUCUCUCAAAAGUUUGCGCGACCAACAGUUCGUCGUGCAAAACUCAAAAAAUUUGGGUGAGUACCAAAAAUGGGACGCGGGUUUUUAAAAUAAAAAAAAAACUUUAGACUUUGCGCGACCAAUAUUUUUUGUCGCUCAAAACUUUGCGCGACCAAUAUAUAUUUUUCAUCGCGCCAAAAUUUGGCGGGUACCAAAAAUGGGACGCGGGACUUUUUUUAUAUAAUUGUUUUAGACUUUGCCGACCAAUAUGUACUUUUCGUCGCGCAAAAAUUUAAAAAUUUUGGCGGGUACCAAAAAUGGGAUGCGGGAAUUUUUUUUAGACUUUGCGCGACCAAUUUUCCUAUAUUCGUCGCGCAAAGUUAAAUUUUUGGCGGGUACCAAAAAUGGGAUGUGGGAAUUUUUUUUUAAAAAAAUAAAUUUUUUAGACUUUGCGCGACCAAUUUUCCUAUAUUCGUCGCGCAAAGUUAAAUUUUGGCGGGUACCAAAAAUGGGAUGCGAGAAUUUUUUUUUUUUAAAUAAUUUUUUUUAGACUUUGCGCGACCAAUAUGUAUUUUUCGUCGCGCAAAGUUAAAUUUUGGCGGGUACCAAAAAUGGGAUGCGGGAAUUUUUUUUUUAAAAAAAAUUUUGUCGCUCAAAACUUUGCGAGACCAAUAUGUUUCGUCGCGCAAAACUUUGCGCGACCAACAAUAUGUUUCGUCGCGCAAAGUGAUACGAUUUUUAAAACCAAAAUAACUCCUCCACCAUUUUCUCAAUGCCUUUCUCUACUCUUACCUCUCCUCUCUCUUUCCCUCUCCCCAAAUUCCACCCUUUCUCUCACACUCACUCCUCUCACUUAAUCUCUCAUAUCUCUCUUCACUAUCUCUCACUCUCACUCACUCUCUCAUCUAUCUUUUCACUAUCUCUCACUCUCUCAUCUCUCUAUCACUAUCUUAUCUAAUUCUCUCACACUCACUUCUCCCUCUCAUUCUCACUCACUCUCAAUCUUGCCAAAAGGUAUAUUCUCUCCAAAUUUGAAAUUUUUUUCAUUAAUAUGUGUUUUUGGAGUUAGUUUUGAGUUUGUGUGGGGUUUGGGGUUGAGUAUAGGGGAGAUAUUGGAGUUUGGGUUGGAUUUGUGGUAUAACAAUUUUAGGGGAGAUUAUGCAUUCUUUUUGUUGUUGUUGUUGUUAUAUGACCAUAUUUGUUUUUUUGUAGGUAAUCAUCGAGACUUUGAUGGCUAAAGUUGAGGAUUAGGAAGCUAUCAAAAGAUUUCAUCCGCCACUACCACCACAAUACGCUUCUAUCUUCCAAGCAAACAUCCUUUUUUUCCCCUUAGCUACCUUAAACUUGUGCAUAAGCUCUUGAGCUAUCAUUAUAUUAUCAGUUAUAUGGCGGCCUGGCACAAAACUACUUGAUUGGGACUAAUCAAGUUGGGCAAAAUAGUGCGCAGACGAGAAACCAAAAUCUUAGAGAUGACUUUAUACAAGGUGCAGCACAAACUGAUUGGUCUAAACUGAACCAUAGAGUGAGGAUUCUCCACCUUUGGCACCAAAGUAAUUAAAGUGACAUUAAGUUCCAUAGGGAAACUACUCUUCUGAAAAGCUUCACACACCAUAGUAUAUAUAUCAGGAGCACACAAGUCCCACUGAUGCUGAUAAAAACAAGCAGGAAACCCAUCAACACCAGGGGCCUUAAGACCACCAAUACCAAAUACAUUAUCCUUCACUUCCAAAAAAUCAAUUUUUUUCACCAAGGAAGAAAUCUCACCAUCAGUGACUGAAGGGGAAAAACAGGGAAGACUCACAUUAAUAGCAGCUUGAGCAGGAGCAAAGAGUUUGGAAAAGAAACCCACAACCAAAUCUCUAAUACCUGCAGCAUCCUCCACCCAAACCCCUUCAUUAUCCUUUAAUCGUUCAAUUCUAUUUCUCCUCCGUCUAAUUAUAGUUGUGAGAUGAAAAAACUUAGUAUUUCUAUCCCCUUCCUGAAGCCAUCUCAACCUGGAUUUCUAAUGCCAAAACAGAGCUUCUUGAUCCAGAAUAGAAUUAAACUUAUCGUGCAAUUGCACUUCCAAAUUACUCAGAAAAGAAUUGGGCCCCUUACAAAGGGCUCUCUGGAUCCCAGACAACCUAGCCAACACCCCUGCUUUCUUUUGUCUAAGAUGCCCAAACACAUUUUUAUUCCACAACUUAAGGGGCUCAACAAAAGCACAAGACUUAUUGAAAGCAGAGCCAGAACAGCCCAACCAAUUCUCGGAAACAAACUAACUGAACUGAGCAUGCUUCAACCACAUUGCCUCAAACUGAAAUGGCCGCAAAUGAGGAGUAUACAUAAUUGAAGACUGCAAGUAAAUCUUAAUUGGACUGUGAUCAGAUUUAGUUCAAGGCAAGUGCCUCACAUAAGCUUCAGCAAACACACGCCUCCAAAGAAUGUUACAAACAGCCCUGUCAAGCCUUUCCAAGAUCCUUUUGUUAGUCCAAGUGUACUUAGGGCCAGUGAAGUGCAAAUCACACAUUUCAUUCUCAUCAAACCAAGCUUUGAAACCUCUUAAACGACCAGAGGAACUCCACCUAACUUGUCAUCAAAAUGAAGCAAAUCGUUGAAAUCCCCAGCCAAGAGCCAAGGCAUAUCAUGACAGCUAGUGACGAAAUUAAGAUAAUCCCAGAGUUAAGCCCUUUUAACCUCACAAGGCUUAGCAUAAAUAGCUGAAAAGAGCCAAGGAGACUGCCCAGGCCAAGAAACACACGCAGAGAUAGCUUGAUCAUGAGUACCAAUGAUCUCCACAUUCACCUUGGAAUCAUCCCAAAGCAGCCAUAGUCCCCCAAAAAAACCCACAGGAUCAACAAUCUCAAAACAAGGAAAACCCAAAGACUUAACCAUUGACACAGCUUUGGAGCCACUUAUCCUUGGCUCACACAAAUAAAAUCUCCAUAUGAUGAACACGAAUCAAUUCCAUCAUAUUAUUCCUAAACUUAGUGCCUGAAGCACCCCUUGCAUUCCAACAAAGAAUAUUCAUAAAAACAAUCAAUAAAGGUGAAUAACCUAAGGGCUAACCCUUAACAGUCAAAAUUCAUAUCUUCACCUGUGGUGAAGGUACUAUCUGCCAACGCCUCAUUAGGUCCACAUGACUUGCAGCCAGGUCCACUUUCUCUGUUGGAAUCAAGCCCUCCUGAGCAGAAGCAGCCAGAGAAUCAACAUCUACAUCGAUAUCCACCUCUUCCUCAGUAUCAGAACAAUUAGUGGCUAUCUUGGGUGGUCGAUGGCCAAAGUGAUAGACCCCUGUAGCCCGAUACGCAUCUUGACCAUUCGUCCAAAUAUUCAAUUGGUCAGUCAAAGAUAUUUUCCCACCAAAUUUCUUACCCUCAUAAACCAGAUUACUUUUGUUCACCAACUGUCCAACUUUAGAAUAGCUAGCAUCCUUCACCUUAUCAACAGUAGCCUGCACUUUCCCCUUUUCCUUUCAUAUUAGAAAUGUCAUUCAGGACAGUUCUAGCUUUACCAAGAUUAGUCUUAGACUUGGUCCAAACUUUUGAUCCCUUUCCAGCAUCUUUAACUUAUGAUCCCAACUACUCUGUGCAAGUUUGAGUAGCCUCAACCCUCUCAGCCCUACCAUCAAUCCCAAAAUUCUCAUCCACCUGUCUCAAAGCAUCAAAUCUAGAACCCGUAUUUCGACCUCCCUUGCCUCCAACUUCCUGAGUCACACCUUUAGAUCUCCGUCGAGCUGGAACAUUCAUCCAUGGCCCAAGCAAAUUCUCAGUAAAAGCAUUAAUACCUUCUUUCCCCAUUACAGUAUCACCUUCUACCAAACCAUCAUCACCCAAAGUGGAUCCAUCACCAGUCUUCUCCACAGUGGCAGCAUCUGGCACAUCACAGUGCUCCCUUUUGUGACCAUAUCGACCACACAUAUAACAAAUGUCCGGAAAGCCUUCAUACUCCACAUUGUACCAAACAUUGUUAAUUUGGACAAAAGCCUCAAGAGGCCGAGACAAGUCCAACUCUACACAAAGUCGUGCAAAUUUCCCCCGAUUCUGAGAAGUAGUGAGAGCAUCAAUCUUCAGCAACUUCCCCAACAAAUUCCCAAUUCUUUUCAAAGCUCAUACAUCGAAACACUCCAGUUGAAUCGCAGAGACACGAAUCCAAGCGGCCAUUCGAGUGAUCUUCGCAGUAGCAGGACAAAACCCAGGCCUCCAUUUCUGCAUAACCAAAUACUGGCCAGCGAUGAUCCAUGGUCCCCUAGUGAAAACGAAAUUAAUAUCCUCCUCAAGCUCAAAGCGAACCACAAAGUAAUCAUUGACCAAAUCAACUAGUUUCCACCCUCCAAUUAGGCUCCACUUUUGUUGAAGUCGAGCAUGGAGAUAGUUGUAGGUAUGUGAUCUCCCAAGGAGUUUGAUAAUAAGAGCAUUCUGCCAAGGUCUGCAGAGACGAUCCAUGGCGCGAUCCAAAAACUGGAUGCACGGCCCACGAUCACCACGAGAAAUAGUCACAUCCUCAUCGUCAUUCAAACCCUCAUAUUCU